CAAUUAAUCCGACUACACACGAGCUUCUCUCCCUGGCCAAGACACAAUCAUAGUAUGAUGAAGAACAUGGCACUAGCCGGCAAUGGUAUGAAGAAGUUAAUCCUCGCUGUUCUCUUACUCUGUCUAGUUAUAGGGCAGAUACAAGUGGAAGCUAAGAGCUGCUGCCCAUCCACCACUGCAAGAAAUAUCUACAAUACCUGCCGUUUCGGGGGUGCAUCCCGUUCAAUGUGUGCAAAACUGUCAGGCUGCAAAAUUAUCAGUGGGAACAAAUGCAAGCCCCCUAACGACCACCUCACCCUUGACCCGGACACUGGUAAAUAAUAAAUUUAUCUCACUUGAUUUCUUCGUGAUUUGAGUCGUUAAUGUAUUUUCCAUCUGAUGAAACGUAUUGGUUUUGCAUUGAAGAGGAAGUUAAUGUGCUUAACUUCUGCAAGUUGGGGUGUGCGUCGUCUGUGUGCAACAACAUCAACGCUGGUAAGCACCUUUUGCUCAGACGGAGAAAACAAUAAUCAUUAAUUAGCGGCAGCUAGAAUCCUAUAAUCUAAUAUAUUUAUAUAUAUAUAUAAUUUUAUCAGCUCUGGGAAAUGAAGAGGCGAACGAUGCCGUUGAGAGUUGCGACCAAGCCUGCUCUAGCUUCUGCAGCGUGCAUGUUGGCAGCGCCACCGUGGUUGCUUAAGCAAAUGCAUGCAACUAGAUCGUCCUUGUGCUGAAUAAUUGGAUAUCGUAUCCACUUAAAGCUGCCUUGUGUAGUACGUCUUUGUUUGUGUCUCUCUUUAUAUUCCACUAAGGUCGGUGAUCUUGAUGCCACACACACUCAGAUGUGUGUUCAUCUCCAGAUACUACUCCAUGCUACCUGCCCUUUUUGUUUUGUUCAAUAACUGGGUAUCAUAUCCCGGCCAGUGUGCCAUCUAUUUUGUGUUUGUUUCCUUCUAGUUCCAAAGGGGUCAUCAUGAUGUUACCUUCUUUCGAUAUGGUGCUUUGCAUGACAACUGUUGUAUGGUACCAUCUUGUUGGCCAAUAAAUACAUCUUAUCCUAUGACCCUUUGCUAUGACCCUUUGCAAAUAAGUACAAGAUUGUUAUAAGCGUCAAUACUCAGUAUAAUUGAUCGCUGCUGUGAGUUCCCUUUCAGCUUAUCGUAGGCACACAUUAUUGCUAGCACGGUAAAGACAACCAACACGAAUGAUGAAGUAAACGUAGCGGUACUUUUGUAUACCAACACCCUUACUUAAAUGUACUGGUGUCAUUCCCUACUGGCACAUAUAUUCUUAUAUGCUAGCCAGAUUGGAAAAUUAACCAAUUAAAAUAAUUAUUUCAAGAUAGAAAUAACUUAUCGGCUUCUCGAAGCAUGUGUAAUUUUAAUUCAAGGACUCAAUGGAAGUUGAAUCACUUCAUCUAGAUUGCCUUCUGGAUUUUGGUUAACUAAAUUUAACAUUUGUGUCGGGGGGAAAUAUUAACGAUUUUCUUACGCUCUCUAAUUAACGGAUACAAGGGCUAGGGCCCACCCCUAAUACCCAUAAUCUCCGCUAACAACACAUCCCAGAGGCACUCCGCUCCGCCUCGCCCGACUUCAGGGUCGCAGGGUCGGACGUGCCCGACCCCCCAAGGCCUCGCCUCGUCUCAGCCGAUGGAGUUCCGCCUCGCCCGACCCUGAGCCCAACGGAUCGGACGCGCCCGACCCCUCGAAGCAGGACUCCGCCUCGCCCGACCCUGAGCGCAAGCGGUCGGACGUGUCCGGUCCCACCUGACAGAGCUCCGCCUACCCGAAGGUACGAGCAGGUCAUCAGACGGAAGCGCGGGCUCUGUGAGUCCCCCUGGGCUCACCCAACCGAUGGGACCGCGCAAGCUUCCAGAUACAGUUCUGACACAUGGAGAGGCGCCCGCGUUCCUCGACAUGACCUGUCAAAAUGUUGGUCUGCGCACUGCUGCCACGACUGCACAGGGCUACACCUGCACCGUCCUACCCCACUGUGACAUCUGUCAUAGGGCACUCAUCGCUCAUACCAUCUAAUGGAGGAGGGAAAACCGCCUAGUUUUCCACGUGGGCUAGCAAGAAGAGCACGUCAGCCACGCCGCCCCGUCAGGGUGCAUGGCUACAGUGGUUGACCAUCACCCGCGACGUGCACAGUCACAGUGGCCAGUCGUCACCACCAACUUGCACAGCUACAGUGGUCGGCCGCCAUGCACGACUCGCGUGUCCGGCUACAGUGACCGACCGCCGAGUCACCGAUGGGACCCAACGGCAACCCCUAUCCCUUAGUAGCAGUACCGACAAGACGCAGAGACAAGAAGGGAAGACGACGUCUCUAGUAGCCCCACUUGCUUCCCUUUUUACCUUUCUACCUGUUUACCUUCCUUACUCCCGGCUCAUUUGUAACCUCUGUAUCCUCCUUGCACUAUAAAAGGAGACCAGGGGGUCUGAGGGCAAGGGACCCUCGGAGACCGAACCCCGAAUUCACCCAAGUACAAACCAACCGAACCACCAGACGAGAAAGACUCACAGAGAUCUGGGAACCAGCUUCCCUCUCUCACCUAUUUGUAGCCUCUACUCCAGACUUGGUACGAGUAACACGAGCAGCCACCCGCACUGGACUCCUCCGCCAGAAACUGGUCCAACCAGUCGGGUCCCUCCCCCUGCUCUUCGUCCUCAUCAUCCUCAUCAUCGUCGUCCUCAUCCGUUGCCGUGUCUGGCCCCUCCGCAGCCUUCAGAACUCCGCUGCAGCUUUCUUUUUCUUCCUCACCGUCUCCUUGUCCUUCCUCUUCUUCUGUGCUUCGUCGAGGAGGCGGUUCCGCUGCCUCUGCACCACGUCCUCUGGCACCGGUGGACGGGAGGCUGUGACAUGGUUUAAGUUACCCUGCAGAUUCGAAGACUCCGCGUCAGAAUAGCAAACCAGGAAAUGCAGGAAAGAAGAACGAGAGUGCAAAUUUCUAACCAGCAGGACAUAGGCCUCGUCCGGGCGCAUCGGAGGGUGCCCCGGCACCGGGAACACGACAUCCCUGUCACCCAAUGCAUCCCGGACACGCUGCUCGAUCUCGGCGUCGGCAAUUGCACCCGUCGCAAGGACGGUGCUGUGGUACGCCCCAACAACUCCGGCCCCGGUCAGGCCCUCCUCCUUCAGAAGGUUGAUGGCUUCGAGGAGACCCCGGAUAUUCUUCUUCUCCUUCUCAACAGGGCCAUAUGUCCACGUUCCCGGUGCCUCCACGAUGACGCGGCCAGUGAACUCCGUCAAGAGGACAUCGGGGCGGUUCUUCACAUAGAGCCACUGCUGAUGCCACCCUUUGUGGGAUGACGGGGUCUUCAUCGAUGUAUACUCCUUGGGCCGAUGGCCACAGAGGUGGAUGCCGGCACACCCCAUCAGCAUCGGAAUCGUCCGCGUCUGGUUUCCUCUCUUCUCGGUCCUCUGAUGAAGAGUGACAGCGAAGAAGUACUUCCACAGGGCGAAGUUGGGCUCGAUCCCCAGGUAUCCCUCCCAAAGCACGACGAACGCCGCGAUGUGCUGGAUUCCGUUGGGGUUGAGGUGCUCCAGCUCAAUGCUAUAGUAGUGCAGCAGCCCCCGGAAGAAGCGACUUGGGGGAACCGCGAACCCCCUCUCGUGGAAGUGCGCGAAGGAGACGAUGUACCCGUCCUCCGGCUGUAGCACGGCCUUGUUCCCGGGAUACCGCCACUCGUUCUCGGCGAUCCUAUCGCGAAGAAGGCCCUUCUUCACGAGACCGAUCACGCGCGCGGUGUUGAAGAUUGACCAAGACCUUGAAUCCAUCGCCGAGGAAGGGGAAGGCUCGACGGCGGUGGUGGAAAGGUGAAUGCUCUGGCUCGAAAGAGGAUGAAAAGUGAACAAGGAGGCGAGAAAGGCUGAAGACGAGUGCGGAGCGGAGCAAGCAAGGUAAGCUCUCUCGUUUUACAGGGGGCGUGCGAGAAACGAAAGGCGAACCGAACGCAUUUAUUGCGACGUCAGGUAUGCCCCAUCGCCUCCGCCUUUCUUCGGAAACCGUACGCAUGAUUUCUUUUUAACCGCAGGGAACGCUACGCCCCCUCGCCCCACGAGCCCGGUGUUUUUUGCCGCUUCGUCUCCUGGAGGUCAUGCGCACAACUUCCUCCACAAGCGGCCCAGGGCCCGCUUCAGGUAAAAAAGGGAUACAGAGCUGAAAACACUCUAACGGCCCAUUACGGUCCAGGGGUUCGAAGGCUGGCCCUCUAGAGGGUUCGACAUCCACCCCAGGACAUUUCUUGAGCAAGGGGUGAGAAGGGACGGGUCCGCUAGCGACCACUACCCUGGUGAACAAAAGCCAAGGGCGUCCCGACCUCACAUUUGAGUCUCGAUUGGCGUUUAAGUUCAUGGUUUUUCCCCGAAGAAAGGCAAAGUGCCCCCGGAUCCGGUUGAACAGACCUGGGAACUAUAUGAACUGGCCGUCCGAAAUCUGGAGUACGCCACCAGCUUGGCCCAAGCCGGACCCGCCCGAACAGGGACCGGGACUCCACUCGAACUGACCCGUUAGCAGCUCACCGAGCACCAUGGUUCGUCCGAUGAGGAUAACAUGGCACGGCUCACCCCCUCCGUCCCAACGAACGGACGCUGAGGGGUAACGACUAAAAGACGAUCCGACCUCUCGAUCGGUCCCCUGCAAUGCGCGGGGGCUCGAGGGCUGGAAUCACAACGAAACGACCAUGCGCAUGGUUACGACUCGGAAUUUUGAGGCAGGAAUGGUCAUUGAAACAAUAGGGAAUCUUCCCAAACCGUACCAUCCUCAGAACACUCUGGCUACCCAAAACUCCCCGGCCAGGCCAAACAAGCAAAACUUUUCUCCUGAUCAAAUCAAGGUACAUGUUAAACAAGACCCCUGACAAACACUCUGCCGAGAGCCAAUCACAGCCUCUGGAGGAGCACCUUGCUCCACCAAAGGCUCGGGGCCUACUGUCAGGGGGAAAUAUUAACAAUUUUCUUACGCUCCCUAAUUAAUGGACACAAGGGCCAAGGCCCACCCCUGACACCCGUAAUCUCCACCAACAACACAUCCCAGAGGCACUCCGCUCCGCCUCGCCCGACUACAGGGUCACAGGGUCGGACACGCCCGACCCCCCGAGGUCUCGCCUCAUCUCAGCUGAUGGAGUUCCGCCUCACCCGACCCCAGGCGUAAGGGGUUGGACGCGCCCAACCCCUCAAAGCAGGACUCCGCCUCGCCCGACCCCGAGCGCAAGGGGUUGGACACAUCGGAUCCCACUAGACAGAGCUCCGCCUCGCCCGAAGGUAUGAGUAGGUCAUCAGACGGAAGCGCGGGCUUUAUGAGUCCCCCCAGGCUCACCUAACCGAUGGGACGCGCACAAUUCUAGAUACAGUUCUGACACGUGGAGAGGUGCCCGCGUUCCUCGACAUGACCUGUCGGAAUGUUGGUCUGCACACUACUGCCACGACUGCACAGGGCUACAACUGCACCGUCCUACCCCACUGUGACAUCUAUCAUAGGGCACUUAUCGCCCAUGCCGUCUAACGGAGGAGGGCAAACCGCUUGGUUUUCCGCGCAGCCUAGCAACUACAGCACGUCAGCCACGCUGCCCCGUCAGGAUGCAUGGCUACAGUGGUUGACCGUCGUCCGCGACGUGCACAGCUACAAUGGCCAGUCGUCACCACCAACUUGCACAGCUACAGUGGUCGGCCGCCAUGCACGACCCGCGUGUCCGGCUACAGUGGCCGACUGCCGAGUCACCAAUGGGAUCCAACGGCAACCCCCAUCCCUCAGUAGCAGUACCGACAAGACGCAAAGACAAUAAGGGAAGACGGUGUCUCCAGUAGCCCUACUUGCUUCGCUUUUUACCUUUCUACCUUUUUACCUUCCUUACUCCUGGCUCAUUUGUAACCCCUGUGUCCUCCUUGCACUAUAAAAGGAGACCAGGGGGCCCGAGGGCAGGGGACCCCCGGAGACCGAACCCCGAAUUCACCCAAGUACGAACCAACCGGACCACCAGACGAGAAACACUCACAAAGAUCUGGGAACCAGCUUCCCUCUCUUGCCUGUUUGUAGCCCCUACUAUAGACUUGGUACGAGUAACACGAGCAGCCACCCGCACUGGACGUAGGGCUAUUCCUGCCCGAACCAGUAUAAACCUCGCGCCCUCUCGUACAACCAUCCAAGCCUUACGCGUAGAGAAACAAAUUUACUAAGCCGGUAGUCUUGACCCGUGAUUCGUGAGACCGACAAUUUGCACAUACAAAUGUUAAAGUACAAAUGUUAAAUCUAGUUACCAAGCAGAAUACGAAAUAGCGGGCUAUAGUGAGGCUAUAGCGGCGCUAACUGCUGCAACAACAGUGUUGUACUAAUUAGCAGGCUAUAGCGGAGCUAUAGCGGUUGAGCACAGCUCUACGCUAAAUAUCAUAGCCCUCAAUUUUGUACAUUGUAUAUACUAUAUAAAUCUAGUUAACAUUUAGUCUAAAUGUUAAAUCGAGUUACCUAAAAUCCUGAAAGCAAAAUGUAUAAAUAUAUAUCUUUUAGGGUAGUAUAAGCUUCGAUUCCUUUUGCUGCUCUGUUAAAUCUCAUCUUUCGUUGUAGCCCAACACUCUAGUAUUGAUUUUGCACCAAGCUUCUUUGAGCCGCUCUGCCCUCUGAUUUUGCUGCGUAGGGGAAUCUUUAUCAGGUUGGGCUACUUCCAGUCGUGCGAUGUAUACCUUUGUAUCUUCUAGAAGGUAGACAGAAAACCCGCGUUCUCUUAAGGCAACAACCAGAAGAUUCUGCAGCGCACGGGGCAUAUCAUUGUUGUAGAAACGACCUUUAGUAUCGAUCUCCAACCCCUUAUAGUACUGGUUUUGCAACCAGUACCGUUAUGUCGGACCUUUAGUACCAGAUCAAAUAACCGGUUCUAAAGGGACUCCUUUAGUACCGGUUGGUAACCAGUAUCAACUUGUUUUGCGGCCAAAAAAAUAAAGAAAAAAAUAGCCAGAAGGCUAGCACACACACACAUCCCACGAAAUAUGCGCGUGCGCGGUCCAUGGGAUUCGAACCCAUGAAAUCAAGCUGCGCGCAACCCUUCGUUACCAUCUCACCUUCAGUACCGGGUCAUAACACCACCCGGUACUAGUAUCGGAUGCUGUAAUGACUCGAUACUAAAAGGCCUCUAGGGACCCUCAAAUUUGGACCCGAUACUAAUGCUAACAUUAGUACCGGGUCAAAGUGCAGCCAGUACUAAAGCAUGGGACGAAAGGUCAUAUUUCUAGUAGUGUAUAGUUGUUGUGUAGGACUGACUUGGCUGUCCUCUCUCUUCUCCAUCCCAUUGGUCUUACGCCGCCGCUCGCACGCGAGCCGGCACCCAACCAGAGGAGUGAGAGCUAGGGGCGGGUUGGGAGGUGGGGGUAGCGACUGGUGGCUAGGGUGAUGGUUGAUGUUGGCGGGGUUAGGGUUUCAUGGUUUUCAAGCUACCUACGGCCGGCGAACCUAGAGGAGGAGGUCGACAUCAGCUGCAACCCGCGGUGGUGGUGGUUUGGCCGGCGCCCCAGGCGAGGCAGCGUGGGAGUGCUGCUGGCGGGUUGGUGUUGGCGCUCAUUAUUGACACAUUUUUAGUACUAUUUUGUUCAUGGAAUAACACUCAAACGUGCUGGUGCUGCUGCCGCCAUCGCCGCCCUAGCCAUAAUAUAAAGGCAAAAUUUGCUAGAGGACAUGCAAAAUGAUGCUAGUUUGCUGGAGGGCACCGUUGACCAUGUAAUAUGCUACAAGACACUCUAGUUGUUCUAGAGUGUAUCAAUUUGCUGAAAGACAUUGCUACGACUAAAAUAAUGUUUCUGGACUGAGUUGGAGAGAGAGAUGGAGUGAAAUGUCUGUUUUGCCCAUGACCCCACUGAUCAGAUCCUUCUUCUUCCACCCUCCUUUCUUCUUUCUUCAACCAUUACCCAGCUCUAGUGUGUUGCAGAUCUACGAGGGUGGCGGCCCGGGGCGAGGGGCAUCGCUUGCCCUCAGACGAGCGCCGCGAGCGACGGCGCGGGGGCAGCAACGGCGCGUCGGAACCUGACCGUUCGUUAGCUCCUCUCGCUGCUGGGGAAGGAGGGGGAGGGGCCAUGGACGGGGUUCCCUCGAAAACCUUAGCCUCGAGCUCAGGCGGCUACGCGCAGGCAGCACUAGGCUCUUCGCGGGGAGGGGGCGCGGCCAAUCAUUGGCACCCCACUGGUCCAAUGCUGAUGAAGAUGGUGCCAGCGUCGUGAAGAUGGUGCCAGCGUCGUGUGAGGACCUCUCAUCUCCUCGAGUUCCAUGGCCAGCACAGGUGAGCGUCCGCUACCACAAAACAGAGGUGUCGUGAGAGUCAAAAAAACUCAUGAAAAUAGCUAAAACCAUCAUGAAAAUAAUCCAUGACACGACACUCUAACGAAAAUCCUCUCACAAAUAUGGUGCCAUCAAAAUACCAUUUUCAUGAGAGUGAACUGUCAUGAUUUUAUUUCGUGAGAGUAUUUCCUAUCAAUGACCUCCACGAAAUACUUUGUGCCACCAGGUCUUCAAGAUCAUUUUCAUGAGAGCCGAACGUCACGAAAGGUCCGCCACAAAUGUUUUUCCUGGGAGCCUCUAACUCUCAUCAAAAGCAUGUGGGCCGCCGCGAAAAACAGCCUGACCAAAUGACAAUUUUCAUUUUCAUGUGCUCUUACCGCCAUGAAAAUGGUCAUUUUCAUGAGAGUUGAUGAAACAAAAAAAUAGUGCCAUUUUCAUGAGAGUUCAAGCAACCAGGAAAAGGCACUAAUAAACAUCCAGAUCCCAUCCAGCACACAUCCAUGCACAUAUAUAACCCACAUAUUGCUCCAGCAACAUCCAUGCAUAUACAAGAUCCAAAUGUCUUGGUAUGAACCUACAUGCAUGUGAUGAACCAGUAACCUGCAAAAAGAGCUCAUAGGAUCUUGUCCUCAUAUUGUAGCUGUGAAAUUCUUGCAAGUAGUGUUGCAAUCAGUUCACUUUGAACCAAAAGAGCUCAAAGGAUCAUGUCCUCAAAGUUCCUCUUAAAGCUUAUGGGUUUGCUGGUGGAACUGGAAGGGCUUGAUGCAGCAUGCCAUUCUGCAAUAGAGAAAAAUUUAGAAAGCUGUACUAGUUAAAAUUGGAUGCAGCAGAGACACAUGAAACUAGUAUUUAUACAAUUCUAUAUAUAUAAUAAUUUGUCCCCUAAAUUUUUAGGAUCCUCUCGACGGUGGUGAGUCUUCCAGUAAGGCAAUUGAAUGUCCAUCGUGAUAAAAUUCUCCUUUGGAUUUAUCAUCUUCUCAACCAGAAAUCCUAGGAGUUCAUCCUUAAGCCUUACCAGUUGUAAUUUGGAAAUAUGUGAAAGUUAAACGAACAAUUAAAAUCUAAGGAUCCUUAUCAUCAUUUCCAUACGUUUGCGAAUUAAAAUAAUGAAGGAUACAAUGUUAGGUGAAAAUUCAAGAAACAAAAUUUUGUAUAGAGAUAAUGGUCCGACAUUAUUACAAGUUAAAGUUGUUUUAAAUAUCCUUGUAAUCUUCCUUUGGUUUCCUCGACGAUUCCAAGACAGUAACCUUGCUUCUAUCAAUGAUAAUUAUAAGGAGAACCCAAUGAAAACUGUGUAUUCAUAUUAGAACUAACUAAGGUUAAUUCGGAUAGGAAAGGAAAUCAAAAAUAGAUGGUACCCACACUUACUUAAAGUUGUAGGGUAGUAGUAUGUAAUGCUUGUAAUUCUGUUGCUCCAAGAAUUUGUAUAUGUGGUUCAAUGUAGACUUUGGUUGAUCCUGUAUCUGCUGUUGGUUGAAUAAGUGUUUCUAACCAUUUCUAGCCGUUAGAACUGGGACUAAAGGGAGCUCUUAGUGCUGGUUGAUAUUACUAGUCGGGACUAAAGAGCCCCCGUUAGAGUUGGUUUUCGGACGUGGAACUAACCACUCCUUUAGUCUCAAGUCCAAAAAUGAUUGAGACAUUUGUUGCUGGAUGGAACACUAGUAGAGAAUUGGCUUUCGAUGCGCCCCCUUUUGUCCCGGUUUAAAGUUGGACUGGGACAAAAGAGGGUGCGCCACGGUAGGUAAAAAUGGAGGGGGGAGUUAGUCCCGGUUGGUAAUUGCAACCGGGACUAGAGGCCCCCCUUUAGUCCCGGUUGCAAUGGCUAGCUGGGGGGCGUCGGUGGCGGCACCUUUUUGUCCCGGUUGGAGUCUCCAACCGGGAUAAAAGGUCCACCCUUUUAUCCCGGUUGGAGGCUCCAACCGGGACAAAAAGUUUAGUCCCGGUUGGAGCUUCCAACCGGGAUAAAAGGGUGUCCCUUUUGUCCUAGUUGGAGCCUCCAACCGGGACUAAACUUUCAACCGGGACAAAAGGUGUGGUUGGAGUUUUUAACUGGGAUAAAAACUCAUCCCCCAUUAUAUACCAAGACAGAGGACUUUCUUCCUCCUCCAGCCCGAGCCAGUCCAGCACAUUCACAGAGAGUUGACCUUCACCUACUCUCCGGUGGUGCCGAAGCAAGGAGGUGCUGCCCGAAGUUUUUUCCCUCAUUUUCGUGGGAAUUUCACUCAGCUAACACAAGUGUUGUGAAGGUUUGCUACUUCAUCCUCGUUUAUGCUUUGAUUUAUGCUUUGGAGAUGGAAAGAUUAUUUGUUAGAAUGUGAUGAAGUAGAAAAUGGAGAGAAUAUUUUGAGCUAGAAUGUGAGGGAGAUUGAUGUGUCAUAUAUAGUAUGCAUUCUUGCAGUGGUUUAAGAAUGAUGCUACCUUGUCCAGACAAUUUAUCUUAUCAAAUUCAAUAUAGUUUUUCAAAUCCAUACUUGUUGAACUUGCAUACCGUGUUCAUCUCUACGAGGAUAUUCUCUGCCGAGCAGCAACGUAUGUCAAGAAGGAGGUUCGAUUCUACGAGGAAGAGUGGAUACGGACAUCGUGACCGUGUCCCCUUUUCCGUAGCAUCUAACCUCUUUCAUGAUGAAGUGCGGUGCCGCCCAGUUGAGAACAUGCUCGCGAGAUGAACACAGUAUGCAAGUUCAACAACUUCUGCAGUAGUAAGGAAAGAAUUUUUGUACAUAGAUGACUUCUGCUACUUGUUGAACUUAUCAAAUUCAAGAAGGUUUUUCAAAUCCAUACUUGUUGAACUUGCAUACCGUGGUCAUCUCGCAGAGGAUGUUCUCCGCCGAGCAGCAACGUAUGUCAAGAAGGAGGUUCGAUUCUACGAGGAAGAGUGGAUACAGACAUCGUGACCGUGUCCCCUUUUCCGUAGAAUCGAACCUCUUUCAUGACGAAGUGCGGUGCCGCCCAGUUGAGGACAUGCUCGCGAGAUGAUCACGGUCUUUAAGUUUAACAACUUAUGCAGUGUUAAGGUAAUAAUUUUUGUACAUAGAUGGCUUCUGCUACUGGAGAAAGUGGCGAUGGUGGGGGUGAUCGUGGUUCCUCUUUCGGCAAGGGGAAAAUCAUAGUUGGCCCUCAGCAUAAGCCAAAGAAAAAGAGCGCACUGGAAAAAGCAAUGCUUCGUUAUUUGCAGCAACGUCAUGAAGAAGUUGUUGCCGCGGGUCAGGAACCUCCUUUUGGUCGUCGUUAUGCUCCACCCUUAGUCCCGGGUGUUUCACAUCCACUUAGUACUACCGUUUCAGGCGGCACAAAUAAACCUAAGGAUGAGGCUAGGUCAGCGGAACUUUCGUCUUCACUGUCCAAGGAUGCUUAAAGUCCUCCUAGAUAAUAACCAGUGGAUGGCUUGUUGUAUUGUAUCAUGUUGUUUGGAUCUUUAAUUUAAAUAUGUGUAUUUGGAUCUUCAUGUUGUUGUAUUGUACCAUGUUGUUUGGAUCUUUAAUCAAUUUUCACACGUAAUCCAUUGUCAAGUGUAAUCCAUUUUCAUGCAUAAUAAGAUGCAGAUGGACCGGCAAUGGAUGUAUAAUGCAGACAGGCAGAGCAAGGUGUUUAUUGAUGGCUUGCAUUAUUGUCUCGAAGUGGCCAAAGCGAACAAGCCAGAGAAUGGGUUCGUAUGUUGUCCAUGCUUCCAAUGCAAUAACAAGAAGGAGUAUUCAUAGGAUUCCUGGGGGACUAUUCACAGCCACUUGUUUAAAUACGGUUUCAUACUUAACUAUUUGGUUUGGACCAAGCACGGUGAACGAGGGGUCGUAAUGGAAGAUGGCGAGAAGGAGGAGGAAGAUGACACCAUUCCAGACUGGGUUGUAGGCCAAGCUUUUGCAGGUACUACAAUGGGCGAGGCUCAUGAAGAUGAGUUUGCAGAAAAUGGCCCUAUUGAUGACUUUGGUCAGGUGAUACGAGAUGCAUACAGAGAUUGCGAAAUUGAGAAGGAAGCAGCAAAGUUGCAGCGCAUGAUAGAUGAUCACCAAAAAUUAUUGUACCCAGGUUGCCAGCUGGGCCAUAAAAAACUAGGUACGACACUAGAAUUUGUGCAAUGGAAGGCAAAAAAUGGUGUGUCCGAUAAGGCAUUUCAGGGGAUGUUGACCAUUGUCAAGAAGAUUCUUCCCGAGAAUAAUGAAUUACCGUCCACAACAUAUGAAGCUAAACAGAUUAUUUGCCCUCUCGGAUUGGAUGUUCAGAAGAUACACGCAUGCCCUAAUGACUGUAUCCUCUAUCGUGGUGAUGACUACGAGAAAUUGGAUGCUUGUCCCGUGUGCGAAGCCCUGCGGUAUAAGAUUAGGUGAGAUGAUCCUUGUGAUGUCGAGGGGCAGUCUCCCAAUAAGAGAGUUCCCGUGAAGGUGAUGUGGUAUUUCCCUAUAAUACCACGCUUGAAGCGCUUGUUCAGGAAAAAGGCGAAUGCUAAGUUGAUGUGAUGGCACAAAGAAGACCGUAAGGAAGAUGAGAUGCUGAGACACCCCGCAGAUGGGGCACAGUGGAGAUCAAUUGAUAGAGCAUUCUCGGACUUUGAAAGUGAAGCAAGGACAUAAGGUUUGGUUUAAGUACUGAUGGAUUCAAUCCAUUCGGUGAGUUGAGUAGUGGCCAUAGUACUUGGCCUAUGACCCUAUUUAUGUUGAACCUUCCUCCUUGGCUAUGCAUGAAGUGGAAGUUCAUUAUGAUGCCGGCGCUUAUCCAAAGUUCAAAACAACCCGACAACGACAUUGACGUGUACCUAAGACUGUUGGUUGAUGACCUUUUACAGCUCUGGAAGGAAGAAGGUGUACGUGUGUGGGAUGAGGAUAGACAAGAGAUCUUUAAUCUACGAGUAUUGUUGUUUGUAACCAUCAAUGAUUGGCCUGCACUGAGUAACCUUUCGGGACAGACAAAUAAGGGAUAUCGGGCAUGCACCCACUGUUUAGACGACACAGACAGCAUGUAUUUGAAGCAUUGUAAGAAGGUCGUCUACAUGGGUCAUCGUCGAUUUCUCCCUGCUCACCACCAGCUGAGAAAGAGCAGGAUGCAUUUCAAAGGGGCGCCAGACCAUCGUAAAAAACCUGCACACCAUAAUGGAAAGUGUGUCUUCAAGAUGAUGAAGGAUGUAAAUGUAGUCUUUGGAAAGGGUCUUGGUAGCCAACCUAUUCCAAACGACAAUAACGGACAUGCACCCAUGUGGAAGAAAAAGUCAAUAUUUUGGGAGCUACCUUAUUGGGAAAUCCUAGAGGUUCGCAAUGCAAUAGACGUGAUGCACCUGACGAAGAAUAUUUGCAUGAACGUGCUAGGCUUCAUGGGUUUUUAUGGGACCUCAAAAGACACAUUGGAAGCACGACAGGACCUGAAAGCCAUGGGGCAACGAGAUGACCUACAUCCGAAAAAGAGAGAUAAUGGAUAGCACUACUUACGUCCUGCCAGUUACACUCUGAGCAAGGAAGAGAAGGAUAGCAUGUUUGAAUGCUUGAAUAGUAUGAAGGUCCCGUCUAGGUACUCCUCGAAUAUAAAGGGAAUAAUAAAUAUGAAAAAAAAGAAGUUUAUAAAUCUCAAGGCCCAUGACUGUCACAUGUUGAUGACCCAGUUGCUUCCGGUUGCACUGAGGGGUGUUCUACUAGAAAAUAUCCAGUUGCCGCUCGUAAAGCUAUGUGCGUUUCUAAAUGCGAUUUCACAGAAGGCAAUCGAUCCAUCCAAGCUAUCAAAGCUACAGAACGAUGUGGUGCAAUGUCUUGUCAGUUUUGAGUUGUUAUUUCCACCAUCCUUCUUCAAUAUUAUGACGCACUUACUGGUUGACCUAGUAAAAGAGAUUGGUAUUCUCGGACUUGUAUACCUGCACAAUAUGUGGCCUUUCAAGUGUUCAUGGCAGUCCUAAAAAACUAUGCUCUUAAUCGUGCCCAUCCAGAAGGAAGCAUCGCCAAGGGAUAUGGAACAGAGGAGGUGAUCGAGUUUUGUGUUGAUUUUAUUGAUUCAAUUGACUCGAUUGGGGUUCCAACUUCACGCCAUGAGGGGAGGCUCCGAGGAAUGGGCACCCUUGGAAGGAAAUCAAGUUUGAGCAAUGAUACUGAUUUGUUCGACAAGGCACACUACACGGUUCUACAACAGUCAUCCUUUGUGUCUCCAUAUAUUGAGCAGCACAGGCAGAUGGUAGUUUCCAAAAACCCGACCAAAUCCGAUGCUUGGCUUACCCGUCUUCACAUGGAAACUUUUCCCUCCUGGUUGCGCCAACAACUUAUGGGUAACUCUGAGAUUCACCCACAGCUUGCCUGGUUAGCCAGGGGACCUGCUAGCACAAUUGUGAAAUUUCAAGGCUAUGAGAUAAAUGGUUAUACAUUUUACACGAGAGCCCAGGACCAGAAAAGCACGAAACCAGAAUAGUGGUGUCCGCAUACAUGCCAUGGACAGAAAUAAUAGCAAGGAGUCGUAUUAUGGUUUCAUAUAGGAGAUAUGGGAACUUGAAUACGGACCGUUGUACAUCCCUCUAUUUCUUUGUAAUUGGGUGAAGCAAACUGCCGUAACCAAAGAUCAGUACGGAAUGACAAUAGUAGAUCUGAGCAAGACUGGAUACAGUGAUGACCCAUUCGUACUUGCCAACAAUGUGCAACAGGUGUUCUAUGUGAAGGACAUGUGUAGCAAACCCAAGAGAAAUCCAGAAGAGACAUGGGAGCCAAAGUGCCACAUAGUUUUUCCAGGUAGAAGAAAAAUCGUGGGAGUCGAGGAUAAAACAAACCAAUCAGAUGAUUAUGAUUAGUUUGAUGGCAUGCCUCCAUUCGCCGUUGAAGUUGAUCCAAGCAUCCUGCUAUCCAAAGAAGAGGCUCCGUACUUACGCCGCGAUCAUGAUCAAGGAACUUUCGUGAAGAAGAAAUUCUACAACGUUGUAUUGUAAUGCGCUAAAUUUACAUGACCUUUGUGUAGUAAUUGAUACAAUUUUUAAUUUACCCUAUGUAUGAUUUGAUGUGUUCUUAAAUUUGUUAGGUGAAGAUUUAUUAGAUAAACAUGAACAAUGUUAACCACAUACAUACAUGGAUUUUUCUGCGCAUUGAAAUUAUUUAAUGGAAUAAUUUCUUGAUCACAGCGAUGUAGUAAAAUAAAUAUUUUAGAGCCUAAAUGAACUGGUAUAGAAUUAAUGACUAACUCACACUUAUUGUCAAUUUACUCGCUAAUUAAAUAUAUUUUUGCAUGUACAAAAUAUGUGAAGGUUUUUGUUUUUCAUCCUGAAUUGCAGUGAAAAGAUAAAUAAAAUCCAUUUCCAAAAAACAGGCGGGAGAAGAAAACUGGGAAAAGGACCUUUUGUCCCGGGUGCCAACAGAAACCGGGACAAAAAGCCCCCCCCCUUUUAUCCCGGUUGGUGGUGGCACCCGAGAUAAAAGGGUAGGCUCCAAGCCCCACUUGGCGGACGCACCCUUUUGUCCCGGGUCCCGUCACCAACCGGGAUAAAAGGGGGGGCCUUUUAUCCCGGUUGGUGAGGGGACCCAGGACAAAAGGCCCUUUAGUCCCGGGUGUCAUUACGAACCGGGAUAAAAGGGGGGUUAAAAGGCACUAUAGCCCCUUCUACCCCCCACGCCAGUUACAGUUAGCAAAAUUUUCACCAAGAUCCCGCGCGCACUCUGCUCCGUCGCUGCCCGUCCGCCUUCCUCGCCAGCCGUCAUCGUCGUCGUCCCCCAUUGCCCCGGCCGUCGUCGUCCCGCCGGCUGACCGUGCCCAGAUAGCCUCCUCCUCCAUCGCCCCGGCCCGCCUCGAUCCUCCUGCGUCGUGCCCGGCCCCUACCUCAUCGACGCCGGCCACCUCCAUCGCGGGGCCUCAUCGCCGCCUCCAUCCUCGUCGCCACCUCGACGCCCUGGGUCGCCGCCUCGUCGCCCCUCGUCGCUGCCUCGUCGCCGUCCUGCCUCCGCCGUCUCGCCGUCCCGCGCGCCUUCGCUCCGUCGUCGCCUCCGCCGUCCCACCGCCCCAGCCACCGCCAUCCCGCCACCCCGGCCACCUCGUCGCCCCGACCACCGUCGACCGCGCGUGAGGUCCGCCGCACCGGCACUGGCGCCGGGAGUACCGCCUUGCUGACGCAAGCCCACCGGCUUGCGUCAACAAGGGCCUUUUUUAAGUUAGAAAAUAAAUAGAAAGGAGUAGUAAUUAGGUAGAAAUUCAAUAGAUUUUUGUAUAUGUGUUACAAAAUCAAAUUAGUGUAAAUUAGUUGUAAUUAGGUUCGUCGCUCUGCCUAGGUUAGAAAUGAAUCGUGUUUCGUCGUGGUUCCGUCCCCGCCUCCGCCGUCCCGCCACCCUGACCGUCGCCGUCCCAACCUAGGCACCGUCUGUGGUUCCGUCCCCGCCUCCGCCGUUCCGCCUCCAUCGCAAAUUCAUGUUAUUGCUAGAAAUUCCAAUAAAUAUGAACAAAUUAGUAGAAAUUUGGUAGAAAUUAAUCAUUGCUGCGGCCACCUCGCUCCACAAAUUCAUGUUAUUGCUAGAAAUUCAUAAAAAUUCAUGUUAUCACUAGAAAUUCGUACAAAAUUCAUGUUAUUGCUAGAAAUUCGUAAAAAUUCAUGUUAUUGCUAGAAAUUCGUACAAAAUUCAUGUUAUUGCUAGAAAUUCGUACAAAUUCAUGUUAUUGCUAGAAAUUCGUCACAAAGUACUACUAAUUUGCAAAAAUUUGUAUAAAUAUUCCGGACUUUGUGGGAUUCAUGUUAUUUUCUGAUUUCAUGUAUAUACCCUUAUGUACAUAUAACUAAGGAGAUUUCUAUGACUUUCAUGUAUGUUUCAAUCAAUAGUUGAAAUGGCAGACGAUGAGACCGCAAGGUAUCUCAUGGAGCAGAUAAUCGCUGGUGAUGGUAGUGGCGACAACCUUCCACUAUCGUACACCGAUGAAGAGGGCACCCAGGCGGACAUGUUCCUCAACAUGUCCGCCGAUGGGAAUGAAGAGCAAAAGCCCCAGCAACACCUUGCCGGGGCGGAAGGUUCCGGCGAGGUAUAUAUAACGAUUCUUGUAUUGUUUCACACCACCGUUACUACUACGUACUAAUUAACGAAUCAUGAACCGUUAGCCCUCUGGAUCGACGCAAGGGCAGAAGACACGAGGUCGUACAAAGGUGAUGGAAGGGAGGCUUGUCAUCACGGAAGUGAUAGAAGAGGGCAGGCCGGUUGCUCCCGAGAAAGUAGCAAAGAAGUACGUGAGUCAGAUCGGGGCAAUCGUCCGGGACAACGUGCCUAUCAGCAUCAGAGAAUGGAAGGGCAGAAGCACUAAUCCGUACGCCCUCCUGGAGACAGAAAGAAUAUGCUGUGGGAAGAUGUCAAGAGACAUUUCACAUUCACCGAAGGAUAUAUUGAGAAGGAUGUGAAAGCGUGGACGCUUAAGAAGAUGGCUACACAAUUUCCAGACAUUUAAGAAGAUGCUAGAUACCCACUACAUUAAGAAGGGCCGAACUCCAGACUUCAACGCGUGGUCAAAGUUGAGGGACCACUAGGAUGCAUUUGUUGAAUAUAAGAGGAGUGAAUACGAUGUGAAAAAGAUCACGACCAACACAACAAAUGCUAGUCAGAAGGGCUACCAUCAUCAUCUGGGGCGAGAUGGUUAUGGCUCAGCAAUUCCCAAGUCGAGGAAGAUGGAACAAGAUCUGAUUGAACGGGGAAUCGUACCGGCAACUAUUGAAUGGCCCGAACGAUCAAAAAAUUGGUACUACGCUCAUGGAGGCUCCCUGUGCCAAGAGGAUGGGACGUUGAUUUUCAAUAACACAAUACGUUAGAAGGCCAAACAUCUUGUGAAGAACAUUGAAGAUUCUAAGGCUGGGAGGUUGAAGGUGGACCGAGAAAAUGAUGAGCUCACAUUGGCCCUUGGUAAUCCAGAGCACCCAGGAUGUUGCCGAGGGUUCGGGGUCGUUCCGUGGAAGUUUGUUUUCCGAGGCGACAGCGCCUCGUACAGAAGCCGGAAGCGAAGAAAGGAACAGAUCGAGGAGAGCUGGUGGCAGAUGCUAGAAUCCAAAGUGCAGGCACAAGAACAAAGAAUGAUGGAGGAAAUCAAUCGUCGAGUGGCCCACGCAGUUGUGGAGUUGGCCCAAUCUGGAGCAUUGCCGAAUCCUAACAACGCCAGCCCUUCUCAAUGCCUCUUGAGCAGUUAUGCUUCUACAGGGGUCCCCGAUGCGCACACGCCCAGGUUACCCGUGGAGGAGCAACGGUUCCCCGUGGAUGCCAUCACGCAACACACCACAUGUGAGCUGCAUGCACCGGUCGGCAACCUCACUAUUAAGGUAUACUUAUACAUAAUAUUUAUGCAAUCUUGUCAAUUGAUCCACGCCUCGAUAUCGGAGUUUAACUUGUUUACUUCUACUAUAUGUACAGGUAGCGUACGGGAGUGCGUUAGCAACCCUGGCGGGGCAGAGCAGUCAUGGCAUGAAGAUUCCACCUGGCUACGCUAGCGUCCGCGUAGAGCAAAUAGUUGAUAGCCAAUAUGAAGGUCUAGAGCUCGACCUCCCGGGAGGUGACAGGGAAAGAACACUGGCAGAUGCGCUUCAUGGGAUCAUUCUAUGGCGAAAACGCUACAUCAUUAUUCCCGGCACGGAGCCAUCUCCUCAGAGCUCAAGACCACUCCCCGUAGAUCCCCAGCAGCGACCUUCUCCUCAUAGCUCGAGACCGUCAUCUCCUGCACAACCUGCUCCAGGACCGUCCCUUCCAUCUAUAUCAAGGUCUCCAUCUCCACCACAUCCUGGUGGUGGGAGCGACGACGACAAUAACAACACCCCUUCCUGAUCACCAUCGCCGGCACCAAGAGCGGCCCCCAUGAAGGAACCUGCACCACCACUAAAAAAGUCACGAGCACCGCCUCCCAAGCAAAGACAGAGAAAGAAGAAAACAAAGGAGCCUGAAGUGACUCGUAAGGAACGCUGGGAGACAAUGUCUCAUGCGGAACAGUGGGCAGAAAUCCAACAAGAGGCCAGUGAGUGGUUCAAGAAACAAGCCGAAGAAAAAAAAGCAACGGAGAUGCAGCCACCGCCAGUAAAUCGAAGAGAUUUAAACUUUUUUAUCAGGAUGGAAGAAGGAGCCAAGAAAAGGAUACCACUCUUAUCAAACUAUGAACGGGCUUUAGUAAAGGCUGAUGAAAAGGAUAAAAGGAAAGGAAAGUCAUCUUCCAGCGGUGCUGUCCCCGACCUCAGCCAUUUAUCAAAAAAAGAUGCUCAACGGGUAAAAGCAAUGCCCUUGGAUCAACAAGCAGAAGUAUUGAAGUUCAUGCAAGAAACAGGUCUGGGACUUGAUGAAUGCCUAGGGCAAGUUGAGACGCCAACUGCACCGCCCCCUGAGCCGAGAUGGCCUUAUGAGCUAGGCAAACCUCUAGUAAAGCCUUCAUUGGUACGAAAGCUAUCAACAAAGAUGUACGCAUUCCAUCAAUGGUACAUGAUGGCAUCCGCUGACUCAAGGGAGAUGCUCGGCCUGAAGGUAAAACCGAUGGAUUUUCACGACAGAGGCGAGAAAGUGCUGUGGCUAGACUUCAAGGAUAUAUACGAAGUGUACCAUCAUGAUGCCAUAGACGUCUCUCUGAUCCGCGCUUGGGUUCUGUAAGUGUCCGUUUAUCUCUACAUGUAAAUUUUGGCGUGCGUCACCGUACUAACUUCGUCUUCCAUUUCAUGUAGGAUGCUAAUUCAGACAUGCCGCCGAGAGGCGUACCUACAUAUAGGCUUCAUGGAUCCAUCUGUAGUUAACCAACAGCAGAUACAAUUAGCAUCGGAGAAAACCUUGGUGGAAGUAUACAAUUUCCUAGACAAACAAACAUUCAAGGAUUUCAUACUAUUUCCAUACAACUUCAAGUAAGUGUGUGUAUACCGUCUACUUUCGAUGUCUUUUUCCUUAUCUCUACAUGUUAGUUAGCUCUAAUAUGCAUGAACAUUUUACGCACGCAGCUUCCACUGGAUCCUUAUUAUAAUUGAGCCUCAAAGAAGCCACGUCACUGUCUUCAAUUCGUUGAGGAAAGAUCCAGUGGAGCACCAAGAAAUGCAACACAUGCUAGGCUUGUAAUAAUUCUGGACCUUUAUCUCUAUGCAAAAGUUUGUUUCCUAAAUUCUAUCCCUGUUACACUAUAUCAUUCAUUAUUCUAAUCCACAGCGUAUGGAAACAAUUCAUAAGGACACAAAAAGGUCCAUUCAAAGAAAAACUUACAUGGAACACAGACUUCCCGGUACAUAUGAAGUCUGCACAUUUAUUACAUUGUAUAACACGAAUAUUUCAUAACUUAUUUUUUUCCGUAUUGAAGUGCUUAAGACAGGAACUCGGAAAUAAUCUAUGUGGCUACUACAUCUGUGAGCACAUGCACAGUUUUAUGGGACCCAAGGGACUAAAGAUGACGCCGCACAACUUUAAAGUACGUAAAAUAAAACUAUUACUAGUUAAUUAUUUUCUAGCUCCUUAUAUGUAUUUGUUCACGUAACAUUCACAAAUUUCCAAAUUAUAGAUGUUAAAUAUUCAACAAGGACUCUUGAAGGAAGAAAGAGUAGCGGCAAUAUGUGAAGGUCUCAUUGGAUUCCUAAUGGACAAGGUGGUAGAUCCAAAAGGAGAAUUUUAUUUUGAUGGACGACAAUUAGACACUCUGAUCAGCAACACCUCGAUGGGAAGAUUGUAGAUAGAUACUUUGAUUUAUUUGUAUAUAUAAUACGCGCUAAUUAUGAUCGAUUUGUACUAGUUGAAUUCUGUAUAUGAAUUGUGUAUAAGAAUUGUGUAUAUAUAUAGUAACUGUAUAAUUACAAAUCCCAUUCGUUUAAAUACUAGUUAAUUUCAUUCUAAAAAAAUCUCAACUACUUAAGGUUAACAAAAGGGCUGCGGUACUACGUACGUGAUGCAUGCAUGAAAAAUUCAGGCGCCAGGCAGGUGCCAUGCAGGGCAUCAUUUAGUCCCGUUUGGAAUCCAGCCGGGACUAAAGGGUAACCCUUUACUCCCGGUUGGGAAACCCAACCGGGACUAAAGGGGGACCGUUACUCCCGGUUAAAAGACCCGGGACUAAAACCCCCCCUUUUGUCCCGGUUGGCUUAUCCCGGAUAAAUUUUCGGGAGAUAUGCACCCUACCAACCGGGACUAAAGGCCAAUUCUCCACUAGUGGAAGGUCCUUUCUCUACCAUGAAUAUUGCCAGAAAGAAUUGAAAGAGACCGCUUGCUAAAAACAUGUCAUAGAUGCGGACCAAGCUACCAAGGAGGUAGACCAAACAUGAUACACACCAUGCGUACCUUGCUGUGCAGACUAUGCAUGGACAAGAUACCCGACCACAUGUUGGCUUUGGUCACAUCAAAAGAAUCAUGUAGGCCAUUAAUAAACUACUUGAAGCGUCAUUCCGUAUCUUAUAUCCAUCAUCUGCAUUACAUUACAUUAAAUAUUAUUAACUAUUUGAAUAAAAUGAACCAAUUUAAAAAUAAUGAAUUGUACAUUACUACAAAAAGCCCUAGCACUGCCAGUUCCAAAAACAUCAUUGUUGACGGCCGUUAAGUACCAAAUAUGACGGUCAAUAUCCUAAAGAAUAAAGGACAAUUGGCAUUUCUUACACACAUAUUUGGUUUCGAAUAAUGUAGUUCUACAUGUCCUUGGAGAUUAUUUGGGUGUGGGUGAAAUAAUACAAAAAGAAGGAGAAAACACACUCCCAUGGCAAAGAAACAUAACUCCGACCAAUGAGAGAUAGCCACAGGGGCAGCACAUGGAUCCAUGGGCCCACAAACUGCAUCAAACCAUCUUACAAGGCGGGUAGCACCCACAACUGUCAUUAGGACCCACCUGGAAGUCUAGCAAAGAAGAAGGUUGUGAGUGGGGCCACGAGGGGUUCGGUUGAAUCAUCUCUAGCUCCCUUCAUCCCCAGCUGGCGCGUGGCGGUGGUUCAUGGUGUCCCGACAUCGGUUAGAGGACAUUCCCCCAAAUAUUCCUCCUGUAAACCAGCUCUAUGAACCUAUAAAUAGAGGGGUGUGCUCUCCAUUCCAACACACACCACAAGUUGAAGCACUCUCUCCCUCUUUAGUUUCCAAGUUUACGGAGAUAGGCUGGAGUAGCUCUGCUAAAGGUUCCAAGUCCACUUGGAGUUAAGCGUAUGUCUCUUGUAUCAUUAUUUCCUAGAGAGACUUUAUGCUAUUCAAGUUAUUUAUCUUCUUCAUAUAGUGUUAUGCUUAGUUCUUAUAUGCAUGAGUUAGUCUAAUACCCUUGCUCUAUUGAUAUGCUCAGCUUAUGUGCUCGUAUGCUAGUCAUGUACCCUUGCUGUCAUAGUAUAGGGUUAUAUGCUGUCAUGUGUGCCUAUAGACCUUGCUACAGUAUAUACUUGUUGUGUAUACAUACCAUUUGUAUAUACAUUAUUACAAGUUAAGGUAGUUUUAAAUAUCCUUGUGUUGACAACCAAAGCUUGAUCUUUUGUUUCCAUUGCCAGCGGAUUCAUCGGCUCAGAGUAGGAUCAAGACAUCAAGUUGAUGGAGUUCUUUAUAUUUCAAGAGGAGUCAUGGAGUUCUUUAUAUUUCAAGAGGAGUUGAUGGUGCUUUCAAUAUUGCAACCAGACAUCAUUGGCUCUGAAGACACCGAAUCAUCGGAGUUCUAUGAUCAGUUUCGGAACAUGAAGCCUUCAUACUCCGAAACUGGGGGGCCUGUGUUGACACCGAAUUAUCGGACUUCUAUAAUUAGUUUCGGAACAUGAAGCCUUCAUACUUCGAAACUGGGGGGUAUGUGUUUACACCAAAAUUUAGAAAUGUGCUCUGAAAGGAAGGACCUGGGAGAUCUAUUGGCUGAAAUACAAAUCCAUCGAAACUAGCCUUAUGCUAAGAGAUCAGAAUAUUGUACAAAGUCUAGAAAGUUCUAUUUACAUCUAAGUAACUCGAUAACUAGCCUUACGCUAAGAGAUCAGAAUAUUGGACAAAGCCUACAAAGUUCUAAUAUAGGUAACGUAAUGACCAGGUGAGGAUAGUUACAAGCUCGCUUGAGAUCGAAGCCGAUGUAGCCCUGCGCGCAAGAAGAAACUCACCUAUUUCUACUCUACUCUUACUCCUAGGGUUUGAUGGCGUGGCGUCAAAAGAUUGUAUUGAUUGAUUGAUUAUUUGAUACAAAGCUCAUGGGCCUAUAUUUAUACCCUUGAGAAAGCUAAAAUCCUAAUCAGUUAUGACAUGAAUCGUGACAGAAAAUCUAACUAAAGAUAGAUCUCCAUGCUUUCCCUUAUUUGGUGGAGUCGAUUUCACUUCAUAUCGGAUCCCUCCCGAUCUUCUAUCGGCUUCUAGCAUCCGGUCAUCUGCGACUGGCCUUGGUCAACAUCAGGUGUCAACAGACUUAUUUCUUCUACAAGUUCAUCGGCUGUCAGAGCCUUGUCUUAGUCAGUUGACUCUAGUAAAAAAUCGAUGUCAAUACAUGCCCCCCAAUUUUUGAAUAAAAUAUUAUAUUUCAAAAUUCUCUUCUCUUGUCAACAGCUUUUGAAAGAAAAAGAGUCACUGCUGCAAUCAUAAUCUUUUUCCCCGGGUUUUGUGAUAGCACCCUCCUCAUUUUAAGGGAUUCACCAUGUGGAAAUUAUAAUAUAACUGCUUCACCCAUUUCGUUUUCUUCACCAAACCAACUAUUGUCAGCCGCUACAACCAAAAAUCAAUUAUUCCCUUCACAUGCCUAGCGACUGCAUCCAUCACUCAUCGUCACCAUUAGUCUCCAUGUGUCAAGGCUUCUUCAACCAGCAAUGGCGACAUUAUCUUCCAUUCCACAGGUACCAUGUAUCCUAGCCAUUCCUUUCCCCUUUCAACCUGAAAUCCAAUCUAGUCACUAUAUAUCAAACCUGUGUUCUUAAUCAAUACUUGCCCCCUUGUACUUAGAAACACCCUUUUGAUCCCCAUAUCCGAUACGCAAGCAGAAUACUUUCUAGGCCCCAUGGGUAGUGAAGACCCAAUAGAAUCUAUUAAUGCUGAAAUACUUGGACAAAGUCUAGAAAGUUCUAUUUACAUCUAAGUAACUCGAUAACUAGCCUUACGCUAAGAGAUUUAAAUAUUGGAUAAAGCCUAGAAAGUUCUUAUAUAGGUAACUGAAAAGUGUGUUGACGCAAAAAUUGGAUGGUUGACUCCUGCGUACUAACACACGGAACCAGGGAGAAUCUGCUUAGCUACUGUUCGGGUUAUAGCCCUCUCGAUCCGUAGCGUGCCAGUUAAUCUGACCUGCUGAUUGACAAGUAAAAAUGUCAAAUUAAGAGCAAAUCAGCUGGUGUUCCGAAUCGCUCCACGGGACGUAUCAGUAGACAGCCGAUACGGGCAAACGACAAUCAGCUAGAUCAGCCGAUUUGCUCUUGUAUUUGACGUUUUACUUGUCCUUCUCAAUCAGCAGGUCAGAUUGACUCGCACGACGCAGAUCGAGAGGGCUAUAACCUAAACAAGAGCUAAGCAGAUUCUCCCGGGUUUCAUGUCUUAGUACACAGAAGUCAACCGUCUGAUUUUAUCAUCAACACGCUUUUUGGCACGCUCAGUGGGACCCGAUUCAUAUCUUAAUGGUAAUUGGUGAUCAAGUUUCAAACAACGUAUCCACUGGUAGAAAACUGAGCAUUAGUCCCGGUUGGUAAGGGUCAUAUCUCUCGGAUAUCCAUCCGGGAUAAACCAACCGGGACAAAAGGGGGGGGUCUUUAGUCCCGGGUAUUUUAACCGGGAGUAAAGGACCCCCUUUAGUCCCGGUUGGUGUCACCAACCGGGACUAAAGGGCCUGCCACGCCAGGCGCGGGACAGGCCCUUUAGUCCCGGUUGGUGACACCAACCGGGACUAAAGGGGGUCCCUUUAGUCCCGGUUGGAUUUCCCAACCGGGACUAAAGGGGUCCCCUUUAGUCCCGGCUCAAUUCCAACCGGGACUAAAUUGCGCUUGCAUGGCACUGGUGACGCCUGAAUUUUUCAUGCAUGCAUCACGUAUACGUAUAGUAGUACCGCGGCCCUUUUAAUUUGUUAACCUUGUAGUUGAGAUUUUUUUAGAAUGAAUUAAAUCAACUAGUAUUUAAACGAAUGGGAUUUGUAAUUACACAACUACUAUAUAUAUACACAAUCCUUAUACACAAUUCAUAUACACAAUUCAACUAGCUUAAUUAGUACAAAUCGAUCAUAUAUACAAAUAAAUCAAAGUAUCUUCCUACGAUCUUCCCGUCGUGGUGUUGCUGAGAGGAGUGUCUAAUUGUCGUCCAUCGUAAUAAAAUUCUCCUCUUGGAUUUACCACCUCGUCCAUUAUGAAUCCAAUGAGACCUUCACAUAUUGCCGCUACUCUUUCUUCCUUCAAGAGUCCUUGUUGAAUAUUUAACAUCUAUAAUUUGGAAAUUUGUGAAUGUUACAUGAACAAAUACAUAUAAGGAGCUAGAAAAUAAUUAACUAGUAAUAUAUUUAUUUUACGUACUUUAAAGUUGUGCGGCGUCAUCUUCGGUCCCUUGGGUCCCAAAAAACUGUGCAUGUGCUCACAGAUGUAGUAGCCACAUAGGUUAUUCCCGGGUUCCUGUCUUAAGCACUUCAGUGCGGAAAAAAAAUAAGUUAUGAAAUAUUCGUGUUAUACAAUGUAAUAAAUGUGCAGACUUCAUACGUACCGGGAAGUCUGUGUUCCAUGUAAGAUCUUCUUUGAAUGGACCUUUGUGUGUCCUUAUGAAUUGUUUCCAUACGCUGCGGAUUAGAAUAAUGAAUGACAUAGUGUAACAGGGAUAAAAUUUAGGAAAUAAAUUUUUGCAUAGAGAUAAAGGUCCAGAAUUAUUACAAGCCUAGCAUGUCUUGCAAUUCUUGGUAGUCCACCGGAUCUUUCCGUAACGAAUCAAAGACAGUGACGUGGCUUCUUUCAGGCUCAAUUAUAAUAAGGAUCCAGUGGAAGCUGCGUGCGUAAAAUGUUCAUGCAUAUUAGAGCUAACUAACAUGUAGAGAUAAGGAAAAAGACAUCGAAAGUAGACGGUAUACACACACUUACUUGAAGUUGUAUGGAAGUAGUAUGAAAUCCUUGAAUGUUUGUUUGUGUAGGAAAUUGUAUAUUUCGGCAAAGGUUUUUUCCGGCGCUAAUUGUAUCUGUUGUUGGUUAACUACAGAUGGAUCCAUGAAGCCUACAUGUAGGUACGCCUCUCGGCGGCAUGUCUGAAUUAGCAUCCUACAUGAAAUGGAAGAUGAAGUUAGUACGGUGACGCACGCCAAAAUUUACAUGUAGAGAUAAUAAACGGACACUUACAGAAUCCAAGCGCUGAUCAGAGAGACGUCCAGGGCAUCAUGAUGGUACACUUCGUAUAUAUCCUUGAAGUCUAGCCACAGCACUUUCUCCCCUUCACCGUGAAAAUCUAUCGGUUUUACCUUCAUGCCGAUCAUCUCCCUCGAUUUGGCGGAUGCCGUCAUGUACCAUUGAUGGAAUUCGUACAUCUUUGUUGACAGCUUCCGUACCAUUGCCGGCUUCACUAGAGGCUUGCCUAGCUCAUAAGGCCAUCUCGGCUCAGGGGGCGGUGCAGUUGGCGUCUCGACUUGCCCUAUGCAUUCUUCAAGUCCCAGACCUGUUUCUUCCAUGAACUUCAAUAUAUUUUCUUGUUGAUCCAAGGGCAUUGCUUUUACCCGUUGAGCAUCUUUCUUUGAUAAAUGGCUGAGGUCGGGGACUGAACCGCUGGAGGAUGAUUUUCCUUUUCUUUUAUCCUUUUCAUCAGCCUUUACUAGAGCCCGUUCAUAGUUUGACAAGAGUGGUAUCCUUUUCUUGGCUCCUUCCUCCAUCCUGAUAAAAAAGUUUAAAUCCCGCCGACUUACUGGCGGUGGCUCCAUCUCCCUUGCCCUUUUUAAUUCGGCUUGUUUCUUGAACCACUCACUGGCCUCUCGUUGGAUUUCUGCCCACUGUUCCGCAUGAGACAUUGCCUCAAAGCGUUCCUUGCGAGCCACUUCAGGGUCGACCUUUGUUUUCUUCUUUCGAGGCUGUCUUUGCUUGGGAGGCGGUGCUCGUGACUUCUUGAGUGGUGCUGCAGGUUCCUUCGAGGGGGCCGCUCUUGGUGCCAGCGACGGUGAUCGGGGAGGGGUGUUGUUAUUGUCGUCGUCGCUCCCAGCACCAGGAUGUGGUGGAGAUGGAGACCUUGAUAUAGAUGGAAGCGACGGUCCUGGAGCAGGAGAUGCCGGUCUCGAGGUAUGAGGAGAAGGUCGCUGCUCGGGAUCUACGGGGAGCGGUCUUGAGGUCUGAGGAGAUGGCUCCGUGCGGGAAAUAAUGAUGUAGCGUUUCUUCCAUAGAAUGAUCCCAUGAAGCGCAUCUGCCAAUGUCUUUUCCCCGUCGCCUCCCGGGAAGUCGAGCUCUAGACCUUCAUACUGGGCAUCUACUAUUUGCUCGACGCAGACGCUGGCGUAGCCUGUUGGAAUGUCCAUGCCAUGACUGCUCUGCCCUGCCAGCGUUGGUAACGCACUCCCAUACGCUACCUGUACAUAUAGCAGAAGUAAACAAGUUGAACUCCGAUCUCGAGGCCUGGAUCAAUUGACAAGAUUGCAUAAAUAUUAUGUAUAAGUAUACCUUAAUAGUGAGGUUGCCGACCGGUGCAUGCAGCUCACAUGAGGUCCGUUGCGUGAUGGCAUCCACGGGGAACCGUUGCUCCUCCACGGGUAACCUGGGCGUCUGCGCAUCGGGGACCCCUGUAGAAGCACAACUGCUCCCGAGGCGUUGAGAAGGGCUGGCGGUGUGAGGAUUCGGCAGUGCUCCAGAUUGCGCCAACUCCGCAACUGCGUCGGCCACCCGCCGAUUGAUUUCAUCCAUCAUUCGUUGUUCUAGCAUCUGCCGCCAGCUCUCCUCCAUCUGUUCCUUUCUUCGCUUCCGGCUUCUGUAAGAGGCGCUGUCGCCUCGGAAAGCGAACUUCCACGGAACCACCCCGAACCCCCGGCAACGUCCUGGGUGCUCUGGAUUACCGAGGGCCAAUGUGAGCUCAUCAUUUUCUCGGUCCACCCUCAACCUCCCAGCCUUGGAAUCUUCAAUGUUCUUCAUGAGAUGUUCGGCCUUCUCACGUAUUCUGUCAUUGAAAAUCAGCGUCCCAUCCUCUUGGCUUAGGGAGCCUCCAUGAGCGUAGUACCAGUUCUUUGAUCGUUCGGGCCAUUCAAUAGUUGCAGGUAUGAUUCCCCGUUCGAUCAGAUCUUGUUCCAUCUUUCUCCACUUGGGAAUUGCUGAGCCAUACCCACCUCGCCCCAAAUGAUGGUGGUAGCCCUUCUGACUAGCAUUUGCAACGUUGGUCGUGAUCUUUUUCACACCUUCUUCACUCCUCUUGUAUUCAACAAAUGCAUCCCAGUGGUCCCUCAACUUGGGCCACGCGUUGAAGUCUGGAGUUUUGCCCUUCUUGAUGUAGUGGGUGUCCAGCAUCUUCUUGAAUGUCUGGAAUUGAGUAGCCAUCUUCUUAAGUGUCCACGCUUUGACAUCCUUCUCGCUAUAAUCUUCGGGGAAUGUGAAAUGCCUCUUCACGUCUUCCCACAGCAUAUUCUUUUCUGUCUCUGGAAGGGCGUACGGAUUAUCGCUUCUGCCCUUCCAUUCUCUGAUGCUGAUAGGCACGUUGUCCCGGACAAUUGCCCCGAUUUGACUAACGUACUUCUUUGCGACUUUCUCGGGAGCAACCGGCCUGCCCUCAUCUGUAACUUCGGUGAUGACAAGCCUCCCUUCCAUCACCUUUGUACGACCUCGGGUCUUCUGCCCUUGUGUCGAUCCGGAGGGCUAACAGUUUAAGAUUCGUUAAUUAGUACGUACUAGUAGCGGUGGCGUGAAACAAUACAAGAAUGGUUGUAUAUACCUCGCCGGAACCUUCCGCCACGGCAAGUUGUUGCUGCGGCUGUUGCUCUUCAUUCACAUCGGCAGACAUGUUGAGGAACAUGUCCGCCUGGGUGCCCUCUUCAUCCGUGUAUGAUAGUGGAACGUUGUCGCCACUAUCAUCACCAGCGAUUAUCUGCUCCAUGAUAUACCUUGCGGUCUCAUCGUCUGCCAUUUCAACUAUUGCUGCAAACAUACAUGGAAUCAUACAUGACAGUCAUAGAAAUCGUCUUAAUACAAAUUUGUAUAUAAUCACAGUUCGGAAUCAUACAUGUAUAUAAUGAAAUCAUAAAAUAACAUGAAUCGUACAAAGUCCGGAAUCUUUAUACAAAUUUCUAUGAAUUUAUACAAAUUUCUAUGAAUUUAUACAAAUUUCUAUGAAUUUCUAUGAAUUUCUAUGAAUUUCUAUGAAUUUCUAUGAAUUUCUAUGAAUUUAUACAAAUUUCUACGAAUUUCUAUGAAUUUCUAUGAAUUUCUAUGAAUUUAUACAAAUUUCUACGAAUUUCUAUGAAUUUCUACAAAUUUCUACGAUUUUCUAUGAAUUUCUACAAAUUUCUACGAAUUCCUACGAAUUUUGACGAAUUUCUACGAAUUUUGACGAAUUUCUACGAAUUUCUACGACGGCGAUAAGGGCGGCGAAGGCGGGACGGCGGCGGUCAGGGCGGCGGAGGCGGGACGGCGGCGGUCAGGGCGGCGGAGGCGGUUCACCGGAACCACGGGCGGUGCCUAAGCUACUACGUUGUGAUGGGCGGCAGGACGGCGGCGAUCACGGCGGCUACUCGGCGGCGAUCACGACGGCUACAAGGCGACUGUCACGGUAGCUACUCGGCGGGACGGCGGCGAUCACGACGGCGGGACGGUAGUUAACAACCUAACUACAAAUCUAACUUAACAAACUAACUAGAAAUCUAAAAAUCUAACUUAACAAAAUUAGAAAUCUAAAAAUCUAACUUAACAAAAUUACAAUUCCAUCUAAAAAAACAAAAUUAAAAAUUAAAAGAAAACGGCCAGCUCUCCCGGCGCACCGGCCGGCGCGGCAGACCUCUCGCGCGCGGGGCGGCGGCCGGGGCGGCGGGACGGCGGCGGCCGGGGCGGCCUGACGGCGGCGGCUGGGGCGGCGACGAGGACGAAGACGACGACGGCGGGAUGACGGCGGCCGAGGCGAAGACGACGACGGCGGCCGGCGAGGGGCGACGAGGAUGGAGCUGGCGACGAGGGGCGAUGCAGCCGGCGAGGGAGGCGGACGGGCGGCGACGGGCGGAGAGGGAGGCGGACGGGCGGCGACGGGCGAGGGAGGCGGACGGGCGACGACGACGGCGCAAUGCGGGACUUCGACGGCGCAAUGGGGGACGACGACGGCGGCGGCCGGCGAGGGAGGCGGACGGGCGGCGACGGGCGGAGAGCGCGGGACUUGCGAAAAUUUCGCUAAGUGUGGAACUGGCGGGGGGUAGAAGGGAGUACAGUGCUUUUAACCCCCCCCCCCUUUUAUCCCGGUUCGUAAUGGCACCCGGGACAAAAAGGGCCUUUUGUCCCGGGUCCUGUCACCAACCGGGACAAAAGGCCCCCCCUUUUAUCCCGGUUGGUGACGGGACCCGGGAUAAAAGGGUGCGCUCCCAGCCCCACCUGGCGGGGGCACCCUUUUAUCUCGGGUCCCGUUACCAACCGGGACAAAAGGCCCCCCCUUUUAUCCCGGUUGGUAACGGGACCCGGGACAAAAGGGUGCCCCCGCCAGGUGGGGCUGGGAGCGCACCCUUUUAUCCCGGGUCCCGUCACCAACCGGGAUAAAAGGGGGGGGCCUUUUAUCCCUGUUGCAAAUGGCAACCGGGAUAAAAGGGUACGUUCGGGCGGGAGACGAAACGUACCCUUUUAUCCCGGUUGCCGUUUGCAACCAGGAUAAAAGGGGGGCCUUUUAUCCCGGUUGCUGUUAGCACCCGGGACAAAAGGUCCUUUUUCCUAUUUUUCUUCUCCCGCCUGUUUUUUGGAAAUGGAUUUUAUUUAACCUUUUCACUGCAUUCCAGGAUGAAAAACAAAACCUUCUCAGAUUUUGUACAUGCAAAAAUAUAUUUAAUUAACGAGUAAAUUGACAAUAAGUAUGAAGUAAUCAUUAUUUCUAUACCAACUCAUAUAGCCUGUAAAAUAUUUAUUUUACUGCAUUGCUGUGAUCAAUAAAUUAUUCAAUUAAAUUUUUUGAAUGCGCAGAAAAAUCCAUGUUAGUAUGUGGUUAACAAUGUUCAUGUAUAUCUAAAAAAUCUUCACCUAACAAAUUUAAUUACAAAUUUUAUCAAUUAAUACACAAAGGUCAUGCACAUUUAACGCAUUACAAUACAACGUUGUAAAAUUUCUUCUUCACGAAAGUUCCUUGAUCAUGAUCGCGGCGUAAGUACGGAGCCUCUUCUUUGGACAGCAGGAUGCUUGGAUCAACUUCAACGUCGAAUGGAGGCAUGCCAUCAAACUGAUCAUAAUCAUCUGAUUGGUCUGUUUUAUCCUCGACUCCCACGAUUUUUCUUUUACCUAGAAGAACUAUGUGGCACUUUGGCUCCCAUGUCUCUUCUGGAUUCCUCUUGGGUUUGCUGCACAUGUCCUUCACAUAGAACACCUGAUGCACAUCAUUGGCAAGUACGAAUGGGUCAUCACUGUAUCCAGUCUUGCUCAGAUCUACUAUUGUCAUUCCGUACUGAUCUUUGGUGACGGCAGUUAGCUUCACCCAAUUGCAAAGAAAUAGAGGGAUGUACAGCGGUCCGUAUUCGAGUUCCCAUAUCUCCUGUAUGAAACCAUAAUACGACUCCUUGCUAUUAUUUCUGUCCAUGGCAUCUAUGCGGACACCACUAUUCUGGUUCGUGCUUUUCUGGUCCUGGGCUCUCGUGUAAAAUGUGUAACCAUUUAUCUCAUAGCCUUGGAAUUUGACGAUUGUGGUAGCAGGUCCCCUGGCUAACCAAGCAAGCUGUGGGUGAAUCUCAGAGUUACCCAUAAGUUGUUGGCGCAACCAGGAGGGAAAAGUUUCCAUGUGAUGACGGGUAAGCCAAGCAUCGGAUUUGGUCGGGUUUUUGGAAGCUACCAUCUGCCUGUGCUGCUCGAUAUACGGAGACACAAAGGAUGACUGUUGUAGAACAGUGUAGUGUGCCUUGUCGAACAAAUUAGUAUCAUUGCUCAAACUUGAUUUCCUUCCAAGGGUGCCCAUUCCUCGGAGCCUCCCCUCGUGGCGUGAAGUUGGAACCCCAAUCGAGUCAAUUGAAUCAAUAAAAUCAACACAAAACUCGAUCACCUCCUCUGUUCCAUAUCCCCUGGCGAUGCUUCCUUCUGGACGAGCACGAUUACGAACAUAGUUUUUUAGGACUGCCAUGAACCUCUCGAAAGGCCACAUAUUGUGCAGGUAUACAGGUCCGAGAAUACCAAUCUCUUUUACUAGGUGAACCAGUAAGUGCGUCAUAUUAUUGAAGAAGGAUGGUGGAAAUAACAACUCAAAACUGACAAGACAUUGCACCACAUCGUUCUGUAGCUUUGAUAGCUUGGAUGGAUCGAUUGCCUUCUGCGAAAUCGCAUUGAGAAACGCGCAUAGCUUUACGAGCGGCAACCGGACAUUUUCGGGUAGAACACCCCUCAGUGCAACCGGAAGCAACUGGGUCAUCAACAUGUGGCAGUCAUGAGCCUUGAGAUUUGUAAACUUCUUUUGUUUCAUAUUUAUUAUUCCCUUUAUAUUCGAGGAGUACCCAGACGGGACCUUCAUACUAUUCAAGCAUUCAAACAUACUAUCCUUCUCCUCCUUGCUGAGAGUGUAACUGGCAGGACGUAAGUAGUGCUGUCCAUUAUCUCUCUUUUCCGGAUGUAGGUCAUCUCGUUGCCCCAUGGCUUUCAGGUCCUGUCUUGCUUCCAAUGUAUCUUUUGAGGUUCCAUAAACACCCAUGAAGCCUAGCACGUUCACGCAAAGAUUCUUCGUCAGGUGCAUCACGUCUAUUGCGUUGCGAACCUCUAGGAUUUCCCAAUAAGGUAGCUCCCAAAAUAUUGACUUUUUCUUCCACAUGGGUGCAUGUCCGUUAUCAUCGUUCGGAAUAGGUUGGCUACCAAGUCCCUUUCCAAAGACUACAUGUACAUCCUUCAUCAUCUCGAACACACGCUUUCCAUUACGGUGUGCAGGUUUUUUACGAUGGUCUGGCGUCCCUUUGAAAUGCAUCCCGCUCUUUCUCAGCUGGUGGUGAGCAGGGAGAAAUCGACGAUGACCCAUAUAGACGACCUUCUUACAGUGCUUCAAGUACAUGCUAUCUGUGUCAUCUAAACAGUGGGUGCAUGCCCGAUAUCCCUUAUUUGUCUAUCCUGAAAGGUUACUCAAUGCAGGCCAAUCGUUGAUGGUUACGAACAACAGUGCUCGUAGAUUAAAGAUCUCUUGUCUAUCCUCAUCCCACACACGUACACCUUCUUCCUUCCAGAGCUGUAAAAGGUCAUCAACCAACGGCCUUAGGUACACGUCAAUGUCGUUGCCGGGUUGUUUUAGGCCUUGGAUAAGCGCCGGCAUCAUAAUGAACUUCCGCUUCAUGCACAGCCAAGGAGGAAGGUUGAACAUACAAAGGGUCACAGGCCAAGUACUAUGACCACUACUCAACUCACCGAAUGGAUUGAAUCCAUCAGUGCUUAAACCAAACCUUAUGUUCCUUGCUUCACUUUCAAAGUCUGGGAAUGUUCUAUCAAUUGAUCUCCACUGUGCCCCAUCUGCGGGGUGUCUCAGCAUCUCAUCUUCCUUACGGUCUUCUUUGUGCCAUCGCAUCAACUUAGCAUUCGCCUUGUUCCUGAACAAGCGCUUCAAGCGUGGUAUUAUAGGGAAAUACCACAUCACCUUCACGGGAACUCUCUUCUUGGGAGACUGCCCCUCGACAUCACCAGGAUCAUCUCGCCUGAUCUUAUACCGCAGGGCUUCGCAGACGGGACAAGCAUCCAAUUCCUCGUAUUCAUCACCACGAUAGAGGAUACAGUCAUUAGGGCAUGCGUGUAUCUUCUGAACAUCCAAUCCGAGAGGGCAAAUAAUCUGUUUAGCUUCAUAUGUUGUGGACGGUAAUUCAUUAUUCUCGGGGAGAAUCUUCUUGACAAUUCUCAACAUCCCCUGAAAUGCCUUAUCGGACACACCAUUUUUUGCCUUCCAUUGCACAAAUUCUAGUGUCGUACCUAGUUUUUUAUGGCCCUGCUGGCAACCUGGGUACAACAAUUUUUGGUGAUCAUCUAUCAUGCGCUGCAACUUUGCUGCUUCCUUCUCAGUUUCGCAAUCUCUGUAUGCAUCUCGUAUCACCUGACCAAGGUCAUCAGUAGGGUCAUUUUCUGCAAACUCAUCUUCAUCAGCCUCGCCCAUUGUAGUACCUGCAAAAGCUUGGCCUGCAACCCAGUCCGGAAUGGUGUCAUCUUCCUCCUCCUCCUCGCCAUCUUCCAUUACAACCCCUAGUUCACCGUGCUUGGUCCAAACCAAAUAGUUAGGCAUGAAACCGUAUUUAAACAAGUGGCUGUGAAUAGUCCCCCAGGAAUUCUUUGAAUACUCCUUCCUGUUAUUGCAUUGGAAGCAUGGACAACAUACGAACCCAUUCUCUGGCUUGUUCGCUUUUGCCACUUCGAGAAAAUAAUGCAAGCCAUCAAUAAACACCUUGCUCCGCCUGUCUGCAUUAUACAUCCAAUGCCGGUCCAUCUGCAUCGUAUUACGCACGAAAAUGGAUUACACUUGACAAUGGAUUACGCGUGAAAAUCGAUUAAAGAUCCAAACAACAUGGUACAAUACAACAACAUGAAGAUCCAAAUACACAUAUUUAAAUUAAAGUCCCAAACACUGCAUAAGUUGUUCAACUUGAAGACCGUGAUCAUCUCGUGAGGAUGUCCUCAACUGGGCGGCACCGCACUUCGUCAUUAAAGAGGUUAGAUGCUACGGAAAAGGGGACACGGUCACAAUGUCCGUAUCCACUCUUUCUCGUAGAAUCGAACCUCCUUCUUGACAUACGUUGCUGCUCGGCGGAGAACAUCCUCGGCGAGAUGAACACGGUAUGCAAGUUCAACAAGUAGCAGAAGUCAUCUAUGUACAAAAAUUCUUUCCUUACCACUACAGAAGUUGUUGAACUUGAAGACCGUGUUCAUUUCGCGAGGAUGUCCUCAGCUAGGCGGCACCGCACUUCGUCAUGAAAGAGGUUAGAUGCUACGGAAAAGGGGACACGGUCACGAUGUCCGUAUCCACUCUUUCUCGUAGAAUCGAACCUCCUUCUUGACAUACGUUGCUGCUCGGCGGAGAACAUUCUCGCCGAAAUGAACACGGUAUGCAAGUUCAACAAGUAUAUGGAUUUAAAAAACCAUAUUGAAUUUGAUAAGAUAAACCGUCUAGACAAGGUAGCAUCAUUUUUAAACCACUGAAAUAAUGCAUACUAUAUAUGACACAUCAAUCUCCCUCACAUUCUAGCUCAAAAUACCUCUCCAUUUUUCUACUUCAUCAUCACAUUGUAGCAAAUAAUCUUUCCAUCUCCAAAGCAUAAAUCAAAGCAUAACACGAGGAUGAAGUAGCAAACCUUCGCAGCACUUGUUGGCUGAGUCAAAUUCCCACGAAAAUGAGGGAAAAAAGUUCGGGCAGCACCUCCCUUGCUUGGGCACCACCGGAGAGUAGGUGAAGCUCAGCUCUCUAUCAAUGUGCUGGACUGCUCGGGCUGGAGGAAGAAGAAAGUCUCUGUCUCGGGGUAUAGUGGGGGAUGAGUUUUAAUCCCGGUUAAAAACUCCAACCGAGACAAAAGGAAACACCUUUUGUCCCGGUUGGAAAGUUAGUCCCGGUUGGAGGAUCCAACCGGGAUAAAAGGGACACCCUUUUAUCCCGGUUGGAGGCACCAACCGGGACUAACCCUUUUAUCCCGGUUGGUGCCUCCAACCGGGAUAAAAGGGUGUCCCUUUUAUCCCGGUUGGAUCCUCCAACCGGGAUAAAAGGGUCCCGCCACCGACGGCCCCCGCUAGCCGUUGCAACCGGGACUAAAGGGGGGCCUUUAGUCCCGGUUGCAAUUACCAACCGGGACUAAUGCUCCCCUCCAAAUUCCCGCACCCCGGCGCACCCCCUUUUGUCCCGGGCCACUUUUAAACCGGGAUAAAAGGGGGUUGAUCGAAAGUCAGUUCUCUACUAGUGAUCGGUGACUCCGCUCGAGGAGAAUUGUUUAUAUCAAGCAUAGAAAUGACAACGUUGGAAGUGGAGGAUAUAUUUUGCUCUGUUGAUUUAAUUGCCGCGAGAGUGGCGGACAAGUUCUAAUGAUUGAAGAUCAGAAGCGUCUCGUGGAGAAUUUUUCAGAAGCUAUAUUUGGAAUUAUUAUAUUAUCUCAGGAGCAGAUUAAAUAUAACGCCACCACUGAAAGCCGAUGAGAUGUAUCUAUCGGCUACAUGCUAUUCAGAUGAAUUUGAUGACAGAUUAAUUACGGAGGAGACCGACCGAUACAACAUUAUGGUUUCUUACUGCUGAUCUGUUAUGAAAGAGGAUGUGAGAAGCUGAUAAUCAAGCAACAAUAAAAUGAUAUACACGCAGGGCAUUAAAUAUUGAGUUAAUGAUUGGGAGUACUACCAUUAUCUUAUGAAAAGUCCAUCGGCUAACCAAACAGCGUCAGCCGAUGGAAGCAAAUAGUGUCAGCCGAUAGAAUGAUGUUAUAUAAGUAUAUAUAUCGGCCUCCGAGCCAAUGGGAAGUAGGAACUAUCAGCCGAUGCACACAUCCAUGGACAUAGCCGAUAAGACAUUGUAUCGGCUGCUUGGCAAAUAAAAAUAGCAUCGGCUGACCGCUUGUUAAAAUAUUAUCGGCCGAUUGCUUGGCAAAAUAGUAUUGGCUGACUGCUUGGCAAAUAAAAAAAUAAUAGGUUGACCAAAAAAGGAUAGCAUUGCCUGAUUGCUUGGCAAAUAAAAAAAAUUACGUCGGCUGAUUGGUUCCAGCAAAAUAGUAUCGGCUGCUUGUUGAUCAGAAAAAGCCGAUACUGUUACAGCUCCCGCAACUGUGCUUUGCUGUCAUCGGCUGGGUUGUUCGUGCUCCAUCUGCAAAUAUUUGUCCCGGCUAGAAAGUAUCGUACGUGCAUUGGGAUUCGGCAGUACAAAUCACGUACACGCGUAUGGUCUGCUCAGAAGCUGUCUGUUCGACGAAGUUCCAGGCCAAUGGUGGAGACUUGAUGACCAUGGUGACCUGCAUUAAUCAACAUGAAGUAUGUAUCGGCUGUUCGGUGAUUGGUAGCAAAUCAGCUUUCUCAUAGCCGGUGACAUAUGGGGCAAGAAAUAUCAGGCUUAAAAAAGGACAGUACGAUCAAUGUCGAAAGUUGUAGCCGACGGUUCUAUUAUUGUGCAGUCGAUGGAACAUAGAAGAUGCAUCUGAAUGAGCAAAAGGAAGGGAGCCGAUAGAAGGGAAUUUAAGUUGCAUGAGAUCCAAUUAAAUUAAGAUGACGAGAGGUGUUGACAUCGAAUCAUCGGACUUCUACGAAGUCUUCAUACUCCGAAACUAGGGAGUCUGUGUUAACACCAAAAUUUAGAAAUAUGCUGAUGCAAAAAAAUAAUGAAAUCUCCUAAAUAAGGCUCAAGAAAGAAAAAGCAAGAAAAGAAAAUCAAUCGCACGCGGCAAGAAUUGAAUAAAAUAUUCUAGAGGUAGAGUUGGUUAGGAUAAGCUUAAUUAGGGAUAGAGUUGGAUUAGUUAGAGAUAGUAUUUUGAUUAGAAAAGAUUGUGUACAUGACUUGUACGUGGUGCGUCAGAGGCCAUCCGCCCUAUAAAUAUAAGGGGUCGUGGCCAUUGUAAUUAUCAUCACACGAUCAAUAUACAACAUAUUUAUCUUUUACCUUUUCGGCUUCACGCCAUUGUAUUAGGAGUAGGAGUAAUGUAGCUUCCUGACGAGUUCCUUCUAGCAAGCUGUGCUGCAUUGACCUUGAUCUCUGGCGAGCUGCAAAGUUCCGUCACCAGGUGUUCUAGGCUUUAACCACCGGGCGCAUCGCUUGUGGUUUCGUCUAGUUUCAUCUACAAGGUAUCGAAUAUCAUGGAUCUUUAACUUACGCAUCGCUUCUGUCUUGAUCUACGGUAUUCACCAGUUAUCCUGCCUUGGUUAAGUCUGCAUCGGCUGAUAUUUAUCUGUUCUAUCAUCUUGCCGUUCAGUUUGCUUUAAUUAGCUUUAGAUCGGUUCAUUAUAGAUGAUAGAUCGCUUAAUAGCCUGUUGCAUCUUAAUCUUGGUUACCCCUUCAAGUGCUGUUGGGAUUAAGUUUCGUUAUGAUUGGAUUCAUCGGCUGGUGGGGUUGGUGGGGUUCAGAUUAACAUCGUGCUAAAUAUUUCUAGACUGCAACUACUGGACGCAUCGCUGUGGUUUCAUCUAGAGAUAUUGGUAGAGAGUUUAGUUUAGAUCUCAUCGGUUCGUGGCUCUAGCUAUGGUGGAGCGGCAGCUGAAUAGCAUCCUGUUUUCUAUCGGUCGCCUGGCCGAUAGUUAUUGCAAAAUAUAUUAAAUCGCCUGGAUGGCCGAUGGAUCACUCACGCUCGUCAAGGAUCAUAUCGGCCUGAUCGGCCAGUUGCCUCGGACUUCAAAGGAUUAUUUUCACCUUGUCAGUUGAAUGGUCAAACUGGCUGGCACGCCCGCGCACACCAUGCGCGCCGAUUUGGAUUUUGCACUGGAGUUAAGUAGAUCUUCCAGGUCCUCAUGUGGUGACGAAGGAUCCACCACCAUCAGGAUUUUGCGUCAACACAUUUUGGCACGCCCAGUGGGACACGGUUAUAAGGUUCAUAUUUUUAUUCAUAUAAAAAAGCAUCUUCGGCAUCAUCGGCCAAAUGAGUGUUCAUCGGCUUGUUAGAAUUAAUUCAAUAUAAUAUUUCAGCAAAAGCAGCCGAUGUAGCGAUUGGAGAUAAGGCCAAGUCAAGUCUGCGUGUAUACGCAUGUUCCGGUGGGAUCAUCUUCAUAAAUGCCAAUGACGAUUAGAGAUGAAGCUUCCUGCAAAAUGAUUGGCUACUCUAUCCGGGAAGAAUUGCUUUUUUAUGAGGCAUAUAUAGAGACCCAUGUUGCAAUUAGGGGGCGUAUUCGUGCAUUGGCUGAAAUAAAAAAAUGCAUCGGCAUAUUGAAAAUUGCAUCGGCCGAUUGACAGUCGUAUCAGCUGAUUGGAAAAAUAAAAAGGGAUCAGGGAUCCGCCGAUUGAAAAUUGCAUCAGCUGAUGGAAAAUGAGAGCAACAGUUACAAUAUUUUUUUUAAAAGAAAGCAAGUAUCGGCAAGCAGUAGCCGAUGGAUUUGUAUUUCAGCCAAUGGGGUUUUUGUUUCAGCUGAUAGUACUACUGGCUGAUGGCAAGUCCAAUGGAGUUAAAAUUGCAUUGACUGAUUGAAAUAAAAAUUAAGUAUCGGCUAAUUUAUGGCCAAGUAGCAUCUGCUGAUUUGUUGCAAAGUAGUUUCGGCUGAUUUAUGGCAAAAUAGAAUCGGCCGAUUUAUGGCAAAGAAGCCAAUAGACAAAAGCAUCGGCUGGUAGAGAAGCCGAUUGAGCAAGCAUCUGUUGAUGAGCUAUGUAUGGGAAAAAGUAUUGGCUGCUUAAACAAUUGACAAAAGCCAAUUGGUCAGACUGAGAAGCCAACUGGGAAAGCAUCGAUCGAUGGAUUGCGUAUGGGAGAGAGUAUCGGUUGAAGUCUUUAGUAUUGACUGCUAGAUAUUUGAGCAAGCGUCGGCCGAUUGACUGCUUGGUAAAAAAAACAUCGGGCUGAUUGCUUGGUUAAUAAAAAAAUUGCAUCGUUCAAGCAAAGAUUGCAUGGGCUGAUUGGUUCAAGCAGAAUAGUAUCGGUUGCUUAUAGAAUAUAUCGGAUAUUAAUUUCGAAGCAUGAAAAUAUUCAUACUCCGAAACUGGGGGGCCUGUGUUGACAACAAAAGCUUGCUGGUUACUGCAUCAAGUUUUGGUGUCAACAUACUUGAUCUUUUGUUUCCAUUGCCAGCGGAUUCAUCGGCUCAGAGUGGGAUCAAGACAUCAAGCUGAUGGAGUUCUUUAUAUUUCAAGAGGAGUCAUGGAGUUCUUUAUAUUUCAAGAGUAGUCGAUGGUGCUUUGAAUAUUGCAACCAGACGUCAUUGGCUCUAAAGAUACCGAAUCAUCGGACUUCUAUGAUCAGUUUCGGAACAUGAAGCCUUCAUACUACGAAACUGGGGGCCUGUGUUGACACCGAAUCAUCGGACUUCUAUAAUUAGUUUUGGAACAUGAAGCCUUCAUACUUCGAAACUGGGGGGCCUAUGUUAACACCAAAAUUUAGAAAUGUGCUCUGAAAGGAAGGUAUCGGCCGAUGAUGCAAAAAAAUAAUGAAAUCUCCUAAAUAAGGCUGAAGAAAGAAAAGCAAGAAAAGGAAAUCAACGCACACGGCAAGAAUUGAAUAAAAUAUUCUGGAGAUAGAGUUGGUUAGGAUAAGCUUGAUUAGAGAUAGAGUUGGAUUAUUUAGAGAUAGUAUUUUGAUUAGAAAAAAUUGUGUACAUGACUUGCCUUGUACGUGGUGCGUCAGAGGCCAUCCGCCCUAUAAAUAUAAGGGGUCGUGGCCAUUGUAAUUAUCAUCACACGAUCAAUAUACAACAUAUUUAUCUUUUACCUUUUCGGCUUCACGCCAUUGCAUUAGGAGUAGGAGUAAUGUAGCUUCUCGACGAGUUCCUUCUAGCAAGCUGGGCUGCAUCGACUUCGAUCUUCGGUGAGCUGCAAGUUCCGUCACCAGGUGUUCUAGGCUUUAACCACUGGGCGCAUCGCUGUGGUUUCGUCUAGUUUCUUCUACCAGUUACCGAGUAUCUUGGAUCUUUGACUUAUGGCACAUCGCUUCUGUCUCGAUCUACGGUAUUCACCAGUUAUCCCGCCUUGAUUAAGCUUGCAUCGGCUGAUAUGUAUCUGUUCUUUCAUCUUGCCGUUCAAUUUGCUUUAGUUAGCUUUAGAUCGGUUCAUCAUAGACAAUAGAUCAUUUAAUAGCAUGUUGCAUCUUGAUCUUAGCUAUCCUUCGAGUGUUGUUGGGAGUAAGUUCCGUUGUGAUUGGAUCCAUCAGCUAGCAGGGUUUAGAUUAACAUCCUGCUAAAUAUUUCUAGACUGCAACUACCGGGCACAUUGUUGUGGUUUCACCUAGAGAUAUUGGUGGUGACGUUAGUUUAGAUCUCAUCGGCUUGUGGCUCUAGCUAUGGCGGGGCAACAACUCAACAACAUCCUGUUUUCAAUCGACCGUCUAACUGAUAGCUAUUGUAAAUUAUAUUAAAUCGGCUGGAUGACGAUGAAUCACUCACAUUCAUCAAGGUACUGGAAUCGGCUUCACAGCCGAUAUAUUUGUCAUGAUUUAUUUUGUUGCACCAUUAUCGCUACUGUGCUAGGAUUAUAUCGGCCUAAUCGGCCAGUUUCCUCGGACUUCACAACGACUAUCAUCUCCUUGUCAGUUGAAUGGUCAAACUGACUGGCAUGCCCGCGCACACCACACGUGCCGAUUUGGAUUCUGCACUGGAAUUAAGCAGAUCUCCCAGGUUCUCAUGUGCUGAUGCAGGGUCCACCACCGCCAGGAUUUUGUGUCAACACCUUGUAAUCUUCCUUUGAUUUCCUCAAUGAUUCGAAGACAAUAACCUUGCUUGUAUAAAUGAUAAUUAUAAGGAGAACCUAGUGGAAACUGUGUAUUCAUAUUAGAACUACCUAUGGUUAAUUAGGUUAGGAAAGGAAAUCGAAAAUAGACCGUACCCACACUUACUUAAAGUUGUUGGGCAGUAGUAUGUAAUGCUUGUAAUUCUGUUACUCCAAGAAUUUGUAUAUGUGGUCCAAUGUAGACUUUGGUUGAUCCCAUAUCUGUUGUUGGUUAAAUAAGUGUUUCUGGCCAUUUCUAGCCGUUAGAACCGGAACUAAAGGGGGCUCUUUAGUACGGGUUGAUAUUACUAACCGGGACUGAAGAGCCCCCAUUACAGUUGGUUUUUGGACGCGGAACUAACAACUCCUUUAGUCCCGAGUCCAAAAACGACUGAGAUAGAAGAUCCUUUCUCUACCGUGAAUAUUGCCAGAAAGAAUUGAAAGAGACCGCUUGCUAAAAAUAUGUCAUAGAUGUAGACCAAGCUACCAAGGAGGUAGACCAAACAUGAUACACACCAUGCGUACCUUGCUGUGCAGACUAUGCAUAGACAAGACACCCGACCACAUGUUGGCCUCGGUCACAUCAAAAGAAUCAUGUAGGCCACCAAUAAACUACUUGAAGCGUCAUUCCGUAUCGUAUAUGCAUUGCCGGUUCAUCUGCAUUACAUUACAUAAAGUAGUAUUAACUAUUUGAAUAAAAUGAACCAAUUUAAAAGUAAUGUGUUGUACUCUACUAUAGAAAGCCCUAUCACUGUCGGAUCCAGAAACAUCAUUGUUGAUGGUCGUUAAGUACCAAGACGGUCAAUAUUCUCAAGAAUAAUGGAGAAUUGGCAUUUCUUACACACAUAUUUGGUUUUGAACAAUGUAGUCCCACAUGUCCUUGGAGAUUAUUUGGGUGUGGGUGAAAUAAUACAAAAAGAAGGAGAAAACACACUCCCAUGGUGAAGAAACAAAACUCCGACCAAUGAGAGAUAGCCACAGGGGCAGCACACGGAUCCAUGGGCCCACAAACCGCAUCAAACUGUCUUACCAAGGCGGGUAGCACCCACAACCAUGAUUAGGACCCACCUGGAUGUCUACCAAGAAGAAGGUUGUGAGUGGGGCCAGGAGGGGUUCGGCUGAAUCAUCUCUAGCUCCCCUCAUCCCCAGCUGGUGCAUGGCGGUGGUUAAUGGUGUCCCUACAUCGGUUAGAGGAGAUUCCCCCAAAUAUUCCUCCUGUAAACCACCUGUAUGGACCUAUACAUAGAGGGGUGUGCUCUCCAAUCCAACACACACCACAAGUUUAAUCACUCUCUCCCUCUUUAAUUUCCAUGUUUAUGGAGUUAGCCUAGAGUAGCUCUGCUCAAGGUUCCAAGUCCACUUGGAGUUAAGCAUAUGUCUCUUGUAUCGUUAUUUCCCAGAUUGACUUUAUGCUUAGUUCUUAUAUGCAUGAGUUAGUCUAAUAGCCUUGCUCUAUUGAUAUGCUCGGCUUAUAUGCUCGUAUGCUAGUCAUAUACCCUUGCUGCCGUAGUAUAGGCUUAUAUGCUCUCAUGUGUGCCUUUAGACCUUGCUACAAUAUAUACUUGUUGUGUAUACAUACCAUGUAUAGGCUAGUCGAUCUAUACCAUGGCAUUGGUUCAAUAGCCAUGUUUUUGGUGGCUCCAACCCUAGUCAGAAUAGCUCGGGACAGCUAGAGUGUUGUUAAAAAUGCAAGAGUGAUGGUUGGGUUGUUUAGCAUCGUUGGAUAUGGGUUUUCCCCACGGGUUUCUAAGAGUAGGCGGCAGCUAGUGACAGCCCUGUCCGUCCUUCGUAAUCCCCCCACAUUCAAGUACGCCAUAGAAGUUCAUAAAUUAGCAGUAACUACACCGGCAGACCGGUAGGGUAUUGUCUCCCUAUAGUACCUUGGUGCAUAGAACUAGGUCAUAUACACUGUGUGUCUAUGUUUACGCUGAUAUGAUCUGUGCAGUAUAUAGCAUGUAUAUAUGAACCUAGAGCUAACUCCUAGUCCAUUCUCCGUAGCUUAGUUAUCUUGAGAUGAUUCUUCUGUGUGUGUAACACUACCCAUCUUAUCAUUAUCCUUAAUCCUGUCUUGUGUAAUAUAUCUACUCAUCCUAUGAUAUACUCAUAUGCAUAGUAAACUAUUUUGACCUACCCGCCUUCCUUUGGGAAAUACGAUACCCUGGAAUAAUCCUAGGUGAAAUGCUACAACGGUAUAUCCAUGUGCUUACGGAAUUAUUCCUGACCAUUAAAUAUACCAACAAUCAUCACUAUCUAUUUUGGGCAUCGUUAGUGAAGGGUCGGCAGUGAUGGGCAUCCCCUUCACCAAUGGAGCUGGAACUGGCGGUGAUGGCCAUUAAAAAAAAUGGGACCCCACCCAGCGUACCCCGCAACCCGGCCGGCUGCGCCUCCCAUCAUCCCCGCCGGUCGCCCUUCCUCUUUGCCGGCCGAGCAUGGUUCCGGCCCUCGUCCCUACCGCCUCGCCUCCAUCGCGACCCCCUGCCGAUGCCCUCAUGCCUGGCCCCCCUCGUCUGGCCGGCCACCCUCCCGAUGCAUCCACCGGGGCCCUCGCACCACCAACCACCCUAGCCUAGAGAGAGAGAGGAGGAGGGAGGUGAGGCCACGCACCUCGUCCUACAACGCCGCUGUUGCUCCUCGGCCCACCGCGCCUCACCCCACACCACAGCCGCACCUCGCCAUCUUACCGGCCGCGACGCCCCAUCUCACCGGCCACCGUUCCUCACCCCCACAUCGGUCAUCGCUGCUCCUUGCCCUACUGCUGCUCUUUGCAGCCGCGAAUGAGGGGCGAGUGGAGGGGGAGGGGCGGGGCAGGAGGAGGGCAAGAUCCGGGAGGAAGGGAGAGAUUUUGGGAGGUGGAGAUGGAAGGAUAUGGCGGAAGGUAGAGAUCUAGAGGGAGAGAGCGGGGGGGAGAGGGGGGCAUGUGGGGAGAGAGCGCAUGUGGGGUGGGGCCGGGCUGGUGGGAUGGAAGGUAGAGGGGCCGGAGGGCGCAGUGCAUUCAACUGGAUUAAGUAAAUAUUUCGGAUUCGAGACCCCAGCUUUAUUAUCACCGCUGGUCCGUAGUACCAUUCGGUGCCGGCUCAUAAUUUAAUUUGAACCGGUGGUGAUGUUUUAUUAUCACUGCUGGUUUCAAUUUUCACCAUCGGAUCAUAUAAAAAUCCGGCGGUUAAAAAUCCGCUGGUUUCGAUGAAAACCGACAGUGAUAGGACGACUGUGAUAGUCUCUUCUCUAGUAGUAGUAUAUUAGUACCGGCUGCCGGAUGGUGUUGCCGACGAGUACUUCUCCAGGGGCGAUUCAGUACUGAUGUUAGCAAAGCUUGUUCUCUAUGAAUUUGGGGAUGGAAAGCUAGUUCUCUAGUUGUGAUUUGUUACAUAUAUCUCUAUGAUAGUCUAGAAAUUGCAUGUCCUUCGUUGACAUAGUUGAAGCUGCUUCAAGAAUUUACUUCGUGCAGUCGUGCAGCAUAUUGGAUUAUCACCUAGACAGGAUACAUAGGUGAAGCAUUGCAUGUGAUUGUGGCUGAUAAUUAUGCAGGACGCUGUUGCAAUCAACCAUCAAGAAGACUGGAGCGAUGGGGUUGCCUCAUCAACAAUUUUUAUAUAUGGCUGCAGUAUUAUUAAGCCCACGUCAAUAAUUUUUUCUCCGCAGCAUAUAUAUGGUUACUCAGUUCGCUGGAGUAUCGCUGUGGAAAAACAUACGUACUGCGCCUCGGAACUAACUGGCAUUCAGGCCAUCAACGACCAGAUAUUUGGGACAACCAACAAAUAGUAGGUGGUUCCUAAGUUGUAGUCGUAUGUACUAAUGCGCCUCGAUGGGGUUUUCUUCAGAUAUUUUAUUGCCGUUCAAUGAACAAGCAGAUACAUAACCUGUGCAGAAAAUUCCAUCUCCACGCAUGCCACUGCACCAACAAGAUCCUCAGUCGACGAUGAUGGCUCAGCCUGUUCCUUCUGCCACCAAAUCCUCAAUCUUCCCUCCAGCAACGGAGAAUGCACCUUUAGUACCUUCAGUAUCAGAUGUUGCAAUCGGUACCGUGAAACCGAGACUAAAAUCCUUACUUUGCAGGGGGCAAAACAAUCUUGCAAAUAUAUAUUUUGAAUUCCAACAAAAUUUAAGAAAUGUUAAAGAUGACUAGCUGAGAGUCAACAGACAAGAUAUGAUAUUAGGAAUGUGGGAGGAUGAAUGCAUUUGUACAGGGGUCAUACUAUUUCCAGACUCUUCUAUAUUUCCAUAUGACUACCUACUUCAAUGUCACGCGAGCCAUUCAAAAAGAUACAUGGUACACUUGUAUGUCUAAUCCAUUAUUGAUUAUUUCCUCUUGUCAUCUCUUACAAGUAUUUCUCCAUACUAUAGAAACGUGCAACACAUUUUUAGGAUAUGGACACGCAUGAUUAAUAUGCUUGGACUAGUAUACAGGUCAUCUUUGGAUGAGUACAUAUGAAUGCCAGGGAGGGACUGAUGGAUAUAAGGAAAAGGGACCAUGCAUAAAUAAUGACAUAUGUAACAUGGCAAUCUUCAUUGCCAUGCAACUCCUAUCAACAAUCAUGGAAUACAUACUACUGCUCCAGAAGGGUGGUGUGCAAAUUUAUUUUACCUCGCGGUGAAAAUCUCCAGAGCAGGCCUGAAGUUAAAAUAAGAGGCAGUCACUAUCGAUCAUGACAGUCUCGAAACUGUACAGCACUAUGCUAGUCCUAGUCCUCAUGUCGUUCGUGCUGUCGUGUAGCAUGAUGGAUUAUUAACUGGGCAGGACACGGAGAUGGCUAGCGAUGACAGAGGAUGACGUACAUGAUAUUCACCUCUGAAAUGAAGCGUAGGCUAAUGAAGCACAAUUGCAUGUGAGUGUGGCAGAUAUUUAUACAGGACAGUGAUUGCAAUAAUCGACCAUCGAGAUCGAAGACAGGGGCGAUGGGGUUGCCUCAUCAAUAAUUCGCGCAACCAGACAAGCUGCAGACUCAAUAUGGUACGAAGCUAUUUGGUCAGCCCACAUGCUCUGAUAUAACAUUGGCAUCUGCUGAUCUACAGUAUAUAUGACCAGAAAUAUUGUGCCACCUCAAUAAUUUUCCGAAGUAUCGUUGGGGAAGCACCUACAUACUAUGCCUCGGAACUAACUGACAUGUUGGCCUAGGCGGUCCAGGCCGAUUGGACAGGCUCUUCCUUAUGGCUCCUCACGUCCCCUUCGUUUCCGAGUAAUCUCAGGUGUUCUGAAGUUUUCUUUUCACUUGCAUGUGGACCUUAUAUAUCAAUAGCUUCGGGAUAAGAAUGCCUCUUGAUAACCUUCCAAAUCGUCGCUUGAUUCACUUUGAUUCCAAAAUCAUCUUGCCAUAUCUUUUGAGACUUAGGCCCUAAGGCAUCAUGGAGGAUUGCUCGCCAAGAAUGAGCACCAUUGGGCUCCUGAGGACCCUAGGCCGAUCAGCCUGGGCUCUAUAGGUUGAUUGGCCCAGGCCCUCUCUGGGCCCAUUGGCCUUCAUCUUUCUCUGAGUCGACGCUUAUUGAGGGCUUUGUCCAAUUAUAGUCCAUUAUAGUCUAAUUUCCAAAAAAAUAGAAUAUCCUCCAAAAUACAAUACAUUUGUGAAAACAGCCCAAUUAUUAGGUAUGAUCAAUAGUCUAGGUAUUAAAUUAAUGUUAUUAUUUAAGAUAAAUAGGGAUAAAGGGUGUCAUUAAUAACGAGCACCAACCAGCGUACCAGCUGUUAACACUAACCGAUGCUAAUAUGUACCCUUUAGUACCGGCUAUUUCACCCGGUACUAAACGAGACAAGAGCACCCUAACAGAGGUUAAUACCAUCCAUUUCAUGAGUAAAAUACUAUGAUUCAAAAAUAAUUCAAAUCCCUUAAGACAAUACCUAUCAAAUGAGUAGAUUGUAAAUAGAGUAAAACAAUGUCCUAAUGAAACGGAACACUUCUGGUUCGUGUAGAGCACAAUAUAGAAAACAGUAGGGUAGCUGUACGAUUGACACGUGGUCCAUUAAUUAUUGAGCCAUCACUAUGGACAUGUCUUCAUGAGUAGUGUACUAGUCAUGACACAUGGUAUGUAGUAGGUGGAGGUAUUGAGUUAGCCAUGCCAUGAGCACUUAGUUACAACAAACACUUUGCCAUUAUCGAGCAUCCCAAAUCACUACAAAAUCCAUAGUUUACCAUAUACUACAAAAUCUGAGUUAAAAUAAGAGCAUACACGGAAGAGUCCGAAUGCACCGGUUUAGGACCAGGCACAUUGAAUUACUAGAAAAAGUUAUCGGACAAGGUUUUGGGUAACCGCAUGAAAAAUGUUGGAUUUUACUGAACACUUAGUUACAAUUACCAUGCCGUGAGCACUUAGUCACCACAAACAUUUAACCACUUUAGAUCAUCCUGAAUCCCUAUAAAUUCUGUACCUUACACCGUACCAUGAAAACGACAAGAACAGAGACAGAUGCAGUGAAAAUCUCCAGAGCAGGCCUGAAAUUAAAAUAAGAGGAGGCAGUCUCUAUCGAUCAGGACACGGAGAUUGCUAGCCAUGACAGAGGAAGACAUGAUAUGAUAUUCACCUCUGAAAUGCAGCGUAGACUAAUGAAGCACAAUUGCAUGUGAGUGUGGCAGAUAAUGGACCAUCGAGACCAUCGAAUGGUAUGAAGCAUGAUUAUCACCUAGACAUGAUAUCCUAGACAGGACGGUGAAUUGUAAAAAGAGUAAUCUUGAUCAAAGAAUGUCCUAAUGAAACGGAACAUUUUUGGUACGUGUAGAGCACAAUAUAGAAAACAGUAGAGUAGUUGUACGAUUGAAACUGCAUCCAUCCACGUGGUCCAUGAAUUGUUGAGCCAACACUGUGGACAUGUCUUCAUGAACACCAUCUAGUGAGGACAGGAUGCAGAAAAAUAUAAAAACAUGUCAUAGGGAGGCAGACCAAUCUUGCAAGGAGGUAAACGAAACGUGAUACACGAUCUGCCUACCUUGUCGUGGAUACCCCAAGAGAAGAUGUCAUAGAGGUGCAGACCAAGCUAGCAAGGAGGUAGAUGAAACGUGAUACACGGCCUGCCUACCUUGCCGUGGAUAUUAGCCCUGAUAUCAUUCUAUUGUUCAAGGAAUAACACUCAAUGCUGCUGCUGCUGCUGACCUGGCUCCAUAAAGUUGUAUUCCUCUAGCCGCUUGCACUAACUUUAUCUGAAGUAUUAUUCUCUCUGCCCUGAUAUCUGAAGUAUUAUUCUCUCUGCUGACUUUGCUGAAGAACCUACAUAAUAUGUCUUGGAACUAACUGACAUUGAUUCACAGACAAACUCUACAAGGUGCUGUUGUUGCCAUAUUUUAGAGCAUCCCAAAGGACUAUAAAUAAUAUAGUUUACCAUAUACCGUAUACCAUUAUAUGUUAGCUAAAAUAAGAGCAUAACAUGUCGCAGGAGUCCAAAAGCACCGGUUGAGGACCAGGUACAUUGAAUUACUAGAAAAAGACAGGGGGCAAUGUUUAGGUAGCCACAUGAAAAACAUUUGAAUUUACUGUUCCAUGAACACUUAGUUACCAUGCCGGGAGCACCUAGUUAACACUAAAAUUUAGCCACUUUAGAUCAUCCCGAAACACCCUCAAUAGCGACAAAUUUUGAUUUAAAUGCCGUCACCAAUGAUCCUCAAUAGCGACGUGUUUAGGUUUAAAUCCCGUCACUAAUAACCCUUGGUAGUGACGUGUUUUGGUUUAAAUCUCAUCCCACUGAUCCUCAAUAGUGACGUGUUUUUAGCAACACACGCUAUGAAUGACUUGUCAUUGGUGACAUGUUAAAUGCGUUAUCUCAAUGGCAAAUCAUUGGUGACGUGUUUUAAAAAAACAUGUCACUGUGAGAGUUAUUGGUGAAGGGUAAUUAAAAUGCAUCACUAAUUUUGUAGCAUUAGUUAUGAUAUAAUUUAGUAACGCAAAAAUCUACCAUCAGUAAUGAGGUUUAGAGCCGUCGCUAAUGUGGGUUUCUUACGAGUGAUGCAAGCUCUACAAGGUGCUGUUGUUGCCAUUUUAAAGCAUCCCAAGUGACUACAAGUUAAUAGCAUAGUUUACCAUAUACCAUAAAAAUAUUAGUUACAAUAAGCACAUCCGCAUGUGGAAGAGUCCGAAUGCACCAGUUGAGGACUAAACACAUUGAAUUACUAGAACCAAAUGUAAGACAAAGAAAGGGGUCAAGGUUUGGGUAACCGCAUUAAAAACAUUGGAUUUUACUGUACCAUGAACACUUAGUUACCAUUACCAUACCUUGAGCAUCUAGUUACCACAAACAAUAAUUUAGCCACUUUAGAGGUUCCAGAAUCACUAUAAAUAAUAUACCAACACCGUACCAUGAAAACAUCAAGAAGAGAGACGGGUACAUGGACCACCAUCAAGUGAGUAGUGACAGCACGCACAAGAAUACCCGGAACCUGUUAGCUUGUCUGUAGUGAUCUGUUUUCUUCCCCAUAAAAUCCAUGAGUAUUGCCACAAAUAAUGAAAGAGGCUGACCAAGCUAACAAGGAGGUAGAGAAAACGUGAUACACGUAGGUUUCAUUCAAGACAUCCAUGUAAGAUUCAUUCAAAACAUUCAUGGAAAUUUCUUGUAAGUUUUCAUGUAAAUUUCAUUCAAGACAUUUGUUAGAGGUGUUGUAUAUAUAUACCUUAACGUACAUAUAUCUAUGAUUUCAUGGUUGUUAGUGAUGGCAGAUGAGGAGCAUGCAAGGUAUUUAAUGGAGCAGAUUAUUGCUAGUGGUAGUGGCUCCAACCUGCCCGUAACGUACACCAACGAAGAGAGCAGCCAGGCGGACAUGUUCCUCAACAUAUCCGGUGAUGGCAAUGAAGAGCCCGAGCAAAACCUUGCCGUGACGGAAGGUUCCAGUGAGGUAUAUAUCAUUUCCAUUGUUUUACCCCAUCUAUAAUUUCAUAUUCAUUAUUACUAUGUACUAAUUAAUGGAUCUUGAACCAUUAGCCCUCUAGAUCAACGAACCGAAAUAAGCCCCGAGGUCUUACAAAGAUAAUGCAGGGAAGGCAUCACAUCACGGAAGUCACAGAAGAGGGCACAUCAGUUGCUCCCGAACAUGUGGCAAGAAAGUACGUGAGUCAAACCGGGCAAUGUGCCCAUCAGCAUUAGGGAAUGAAAGGGCAAUAGAAAUGAUCUAUACACGCCCCCGGAUACACAAAAGGAUAUGCUGUGGGCAAAUAUCAAGAAACACUUCACAUUUCCCAAAGGAUAUGUUGAAAAAGAUGUGAAAGCGUGGAUGCUGAAGAAGAUGGUCACCGAAUUCCAGACAUUCAAGAAGAUGUUGGAUGUCAACUUCAUCAAGAAGGGUCGAACUCCGGGUUUCGAUGAGUGGCCAAAGUUAAGGGACCACUGGGAGUCAUUUGUCAAAUACAAGACGAGUGAAGGUGGUGCGAGUAAGGUUCGCAUCAAUGUUGCCAAUGCUAGCAAGGAGUACCAUCAUCAUCUAGGGCGACGUGGUUACAGCACUGCAAUUCCCAGAUGGCGCAAGAUGGAACAAGACCUGAUCGAUCGGGGUAUCGUACCAGCAACUCCUGACUGGCCUGAUCGAUUGAAAAAUUGGUAUUAUGCUCAUGAAGGCAAUCUGAGCCAACAGGAUGCGACAUUGGUCUUCAAUAAAACAAUACGUCAGAAGGCCGGAAGGCUUAUUAGGAACAUUGAAAAUGCUAAAUCUGGGAGGUUCAAGGUGGAUAGAGAGAAUGAUGAGCUCACAUUGGCCCUUGGGACUAUCAUCUCUAGCAUUUCCAGCUCCAGGACUGUCGUCACCACCGGGACCGUCGCUUCUUGCUCGAUCACAGUCUCCAUCUCCAGCACAUCCUGGUGGUGCGAACGAUGACGACAACAACACCCCUCCCUGCCCACCAUCGCCGGGACUAAGACCCGCAUCGAGUAAGGAACCUGCAGCACCACUGAAGAAGUCGCGACCACCGCCUUCCAAGCCAAGUCAGCAAAAGAAGAAAGCAGAGAAGCCUAAGCCCACUGAGAAGCCAACAACCGAUAUGACCGAUGCGGAAAGAUGGAAGGCACUCAAAGAAGAAUGCAGGGAGUGGUUCUGUAAAAAGAACCAAAGAAAGAAAAGGAAAGCAGAUGGAGCCACCGCCAGUAGAUCCAAGAAAAUUAUAAUUUUUUAUUAAGAUGUCAAAAGGAGCCAAGAAGAUGAUUCCACAACUAUCAAACUACGACCGGGCGUUAGUCAAGGCUGAUGAGAGUUAAAAAAGGAAAGGAAAGUCAUCUUCAAGUGGUACUGUCCCCCACCUCGAGGAUCUACCAGAAAAAGACGCUAAAAAGAUAGUAGCAAUGCUCUUGGAUCAACAAACACAUAUAUCAUGAGAUUCAUGCAAGAAACAGGUAUGUGCCUUGCUGAAUGUCUAGGGCAAGUUGAUAUGCUAGCUCUAGAGCCAUUUGUACCGAAAUGGACCUUUGAGCUAGGCAAGCCUCUAGUAAGGCCUGAGCUGGUACAGAAGCUAUCCACAUAGCUAUAUGAAUACCAUGAAUGGUACAUGAAGCAGUCUGCCAAUGAGAGGAAAAUGUUCGGUCUCAGGGAAAAACUGAUAUUUUUUUUCGGCGAAGGCGAGAAAGUCUUGUGAUGGAAUUCAAGGAUAUAUAUGAAGUGUACCAUCAGGAUGCCCUUGAUGUCUCUCUCAUCAGCGCCUAGGUUAUGUAAGUGUAUGUUUAUCUAUACGUAAUUUUUGUCUCAUAUCAUUAUUUCUUUUGCGUGCGUCACCCUACUAACUUCGUCUUCCAUUUUAUGUAGGAUGCUAAUUCAGAUGUGCCGCAUAGAAGCGCACUUCCAUGUUGGCUUCAUGGAUCCAUCCCUAGUUAACCAAAAGCAGAUACGGAAGUAGCUAGAGAAAAUGUUGGAGGUGGUAUACAACUUCCUGGACAAACAAAACUAUAGAAUAGGGGCAAUAUGUGAAGGUCUUGUAGGAUUCCUAGUGGACAAGGUGAUAAAUCCAUAAGGAGAAUAUCAUUACAACGGACGAGCAUUAGACACACUGAGCAACACCUAGACGGGAGGAUCCUAGGAAUGACCUAGACAGAUUUUGGUAUAAAUAGUAAUUGUGUAAAUACUAGUUUGAUUUGUAUAGGAAUAUACUAAGAAUUGUAUAUAUAGUAAUUGUACAAAUACUAGUUUGAUUUGUAUAAAUACUAGAUUGAUUUUAUUAUAAAAAAGUUUUAAGUCGUACGUGCAUGCGCCUACAAAGGCGCGUAUGCCCUUUAAUCCCGGUUGGAAAAACAAACCGGUACUAAAGGGGCUCGUGCCGCACCUGGCAUGACCGCCCCUUUAGUCCCGGUUGAACGACCCAGGACCAAAGAUCUGCCCCGUCUCAUAAAUUUUAUCCUGGAUGCUUUUUAGAGAGAUUUGAGGCCUAUCAACCAAGACUAAUAUCGAGUUUUCUACCAGUGGAACUAACUAACGUUCACAUGCUUCUGACAUUCACCUGCCAUUUGGUGUAGACAAGGGCACCCUAACAUAUGGUUAAUAUUAUUCAUGAAAGAAAAUCCUUUGAUUCAAAAAUACUUCAAACCUAAUAAUACAAUACUUCUCACAUCUGAAAAAUAUGAGAUGGCCCGACAGUAUUCUAACCGACGCAAUAAUAUUUUGAGGGCAGCACUACUACAGCGACCCUCAUUCGUGCCGGUGCUGGAACCCCUAUCACGACCCUGAUACAAAUGAGGGUACAUUAUUGUUGCCAGUGCUAGAAUAGCCACGAAUAACUUGCUAAACAUGCUGUUACACUCACUACUAGAAAAAUAACCUCUCGUCCUGAGGCUUAGUACCGGUCACUUUUUUGCCCAGUACUAAUGUUAGUAUUAGUACCGGAUCCAAAUUUGGGAUCCCCCAGAGACCCUUUAGUACCAGGUGGAGUCUCCACCCGAUACUAAAGGCUUUGUUACCGGGUGAAGGAUCCUCCCGGUACUAAUGGGGGAUUUUUAGUACCGGGUGGGAACCCCACCCGAAACUAAAAUCUCCCAUGCGGACCCCUCCCCCCCCCACGCGUUGCCUCUGUCCUCCCUCCUCCUCCUCUGAGUAGUUAUCCCUUCCUCAUCCCUCCUCCUCCUCCCACACGUGGGGUGAGGUGAGGUGGCAGUAGCAACGACAGGUGGUGUGGCGGGUCACGGCGGGCCGGAUGCGGAGCCGCAACGGUGGUCGGCGGGAUGGGGUGGGGCAGAGCGGCAUGGCAGGGCGGAGCGGUGGGACGGGGCCGAGGUGGAGGUGCCGGGCGGAGGUGGAGUGGCAGGACAGAGGCGGAGGCGGAGCGGCGGGUCGGCGAGCGGGUGGAGGGUGGCGACGAUGGGGCGGGCAGAGGCAGAGGGGUGGGUGGAGGGGCGGCGUGGUCCACCGGCGGGGGGGGGGGGGGGAGAGGGAGGCGUGGGGGGUGCGGUUGGUGAUUUCAAUUUUCUUUUAAUUUUUUAACACCCUUCAGUACCAGUUAUUUUAACCGGGUCUAAAGGGAUCCCCUCUUGUACCGAAUUGCUAGUACAGGAUGCACAACCGGUACUAGAGGGAGGUUCCCAACCGGUACUAGAGCCACUUUCCCCGGUAGUGACUUUUUCACCGAUUAGAAUAUGUUAUUAUUCUAAUCAGCUUUUGUUGAUCUCCUGUAUAAUUUAGUACCUAAUUCUACUAGCAAUUGUUAACGCCGACACGUAUUGGGUAUAGUCCUAACAGUGUCUAACUAGGGCACUACAUUUGUUAACCUAUAACUACUGGUAUCGAUUAGCCCUGGUUAGAAUACUGUCAAGGCAGCCAGAAAAAAUUGUUUGCCAAUUCUGCUAUCCAUCAGAACCAUGACUAGUACCGUAUUGUAAUAAACGAAUUACACAAAUAACUGAUGCACACAAAGGAAUAUGCACUCGCAUGUGCUAGACGUUCGUAGCAACAACAAAUUACUCUCAUCAUCAAUUAAACAUAAUAGAUUAAACAUUAACUGAACAUAGUUCAACACGUACAUCAACAAGACAAAGCAGUUUAAACAUCAACUGAACAGAACUGAAAACAUACAUCAACUGAUGAUAAACUUCGACAUGAACACAACACAUAAACAUCAACUUCAAUAGAACUUAAUAGAGCAUAUUAAACAACAACAUCGACAAAACAUAUAAACCCAGCUCAGUAGCUCAAGCAUCAACUAAAACUGCUGAAUUAAAAUAACAUAACAUAGUGUAGUUCAUCAUGAUGAUAACUAACAGAACCGAAAAGCCUAACUGGGUAAAAGAGCAAUUCAUUCAUAAUGCUUCAGCACUUACAUCACCGGAGUAUGCAACUGGCGGCGUCGCUUACGUCACUAUCACCGCGCUUGGCGAGUAAAGGAGGAGGAGGUGGCAUAGUAAUCGAAGAGGAGGCCGCUGUCGGCGGGUUUAGACUACGUGGAGGUGUGGGUAGGGUUAAGGUGGCUCUGUGGACGAGUAUAUAUAAGAGGUCUGGGCUUGUUAGAAUAAGAUAACAUUCUAACUGGCCAAAUUCGGAUCCGGUUAGAAUAAAUUGUUCUAACCAGCCUUAAUUCGAGGUGGUAAGGAUAAGUUAACAUUCUAAUCAGCUCUAUUUGGAGCCCGAUUGAAUGUUCUUGUUAUUCAAAAAAAGAUCAAGUUCAUCAAUUUUUUUCUAGAAAAACAUCAAGAUAAUUUAAACACGAUAUAUAACAAGAUUAAUACAUUUAAAAAUUGUUUUCUCCAAUAAUUAACGAUAUUUAACAAAUUCAAAAAAAAUCCAAAUUAACAGAACAUAAUAACCAAUUGUUCGAAAAAAUCAAAAUAGUCCACACAGUAUCAUAUUACAAAUUCAGAAAAAUAUCAAAAUAAUCCCUGAUCCACUCGAUACCGUCGUAGAACUUUGAAAUACUGAGCUUCUUGAUUCAUCUGAGGUCCACGUACUCGUCUCAGUAACACUAGUGGUGGCCAUGCAUCUUGUAGAUGUCUUCUAAUGAAUUAAGCUUGACAUACAAGGUCGUGCCUUCCACUCCUUGAGGAUUGCUUAUGACGUUUCUGCAAAUAACGAAGCAUUGCUUUCUCCAACAUGAUUAUUUUCUUCGGCUUAUCCCAAGGGACAACUAUGGUUUUCCCCUUGCCGGAAGAGGAACGAUGAUCGCCCCCACCAUCGCCACUUCCUCCAGUAGCAGAAGCCAUCUAUGUACAAAAAUUCAUACCUUAGCACUACAGAACUUGUUGAACUUGAAGACUGUGAUCAUUAGGCGAGCAUGUUCUCAACUAGGUGGCACCGCACUUCGUCAUGGAAGAGCUUCGAUUUUACAAAAAAGGGGACAUGAUCUUCCAUGAUGUCCGUAUCCGCUCUUUCUCGUAGAAUCAGAGCUCCUCCUUGAUAUACGAUGCUGCUCGGCGGAGAACAUGCUCACCGAGAUGAACACGGUAUGCAAGUUCAACAAGUAUGGAUUUGAAAAACCAUAUUGAAUUUGACAAGACAAACUAUCUAGAUAAGCGUAGCAUCAUUCUUAAACCACUGCAAGGAUACGUACUAUAUAUGACACAUCAAUCUCCCUCACAUUCUAGCUCAAAAUACCUCUCCAUUUUCUACUUCACAUUCUAGCAAAUAAACUAUCUAUCUCCAUUCUACACAUCAAGUUGUUUUAACUAAUACAAAUCGUAUAUAACAAGCAAAAUAUCCAUCACAUUCUAGCUCAAAAACAUGUAUAAAUACAAAUCCUCUUCAUUCUCCCUUUUUCUAACAAACAAACUCAUUUUUCUCCCUCUCCAAAGCAUAAAUUAAAGCGUAACAUGAGGAUGAGGUAGCAAACCUUCACAACACAUUGGAUGAGUGAAAUUCCCACGAAAAUGAGGGAAAAAAAUUCGGGCAGCACCUCCCUUGCUUCGGCACCUCUAGAGAGUAGGUGAAGCUCAGUUCUCUAUUUUUGUGGUGGACUAGCUUGGGCUGGAGGAGGAAGAAAGGCCUCUGUCUUGGUAUAUAAUGGGGGAUGAGUUUUUAUCCCAGUUAAAAGCUCCAACUGAGACAAAACGGCCAAUCUUUUGUCCCGGUUGGAGCCUCCAACCGGGACAAAAGGGGCACGCCAUCGACGCACGGGAGCUAGCCGUUACAACCGGGACUAAAGGGGGGCCUUUAGUCCCGGUUGCAAAUACCAACUGGGAUUAAAUCUCCCCUCCAUUUUUGCCUACCGUGGUGCGCCCCCUUUUAUCCCGGGUCAACUUUAAACCGGGACAAAAGGGGGCGUCGAAGAUCAGUUCUCUACUAGUGACCCCUCCCCACCUAUCUCUCUCCCUCCAUGCUCCUCGAUCUGUGCCUCCCCUCCCCUCCCCUUCCACUCGCCCCUCACCGACGGUAAGGAGCAGCGGCGGGGCGAGGUGAGGUGGCAGCAGCAAUGGCAGGUGGUGGGUCGCAGCGGAGCGGCUACGGUAGGCAGCCGGACGGGGCAGAGCGGCGGGGCGGGGUGGAGGCGGAGGUGGCGGGUAGAGGCGGAGCGGCGAGGCGGAGGCGGAGGUGGAGGCGGAGUGGUGGGACGGCAGGGCCGGGCGACUAGUAUAGGUGGGCGGGCGGAGGGCGGCGACGGCGGAGCGGGCGGAGGCAGAGGGGCAGCGGGGGCCGCCGGCGGGGGGUGUGAUCGGGGAUUUCAAUUUUUUUUAAAUUUUUUAACACCUUUUAGUCCAACUGGUUCUAAAGGGACCCCUCUAGUAUCAAAAUUGCUAGUACCGGUUGCACAACCGGUACCAGAAGUGGUUCCUAACUGGUACUAGAGCCACUUUCCCUGGUAGAGACUUUUUUACCAGUUAGAAUAUGUUAUUAUUUUAAUCAGCUUUCGCUGAUCGCCAGUAUGAUUUAGUACCUAAUUUUACUGGCGAUUGUUACCGCUGACACGGAUUGGGUAUAGUCCUAACAGUGUAUAACUACGGCACUACAUUUGUUAACCUAUAACUACUUGUAUCGAUUAGCCCUGGUUAGAAUACUGUCAAGGCAGCCAGAAUUUUUUUUUUUUGCCAAUUCUGCUAUCCAUGAGAUCCAUGACUAGUACCGCAAUGUAAUGAAUGAACUGCACAAAUAACUGAUGCACACAAAAGAAUAUGCACUUGCACGCUAGACGUUCGUAACAACAAAUUACUCUCAUCACCAAUUGAACAUAAUAGAUUAAACAUUAACUGAACAGAAUUCAACACGUACAUCAACACGACAAAGCAGUUUAAACAUCAACUGAACUGAACUGAACACAUACAUCAACUGAUGAUAAUUAUCGACAUCAACAGAACACAUGAACAUCAACAUCAAUAGAACUUAAUAGAGCAUAUUAAACAACAACAUCGACAAAACAUAUAAACCCAGCUUAGUAGCUCAGGCAUCAACUAAAAUUGCUGAAUUAAAACAACACAACGUAGUGUAGUUCAUAAUGCUUCGGCGCUUACACCACUGGCGGGUCGCUUACGUCGGCAUCACCGCGCUGGCUGAACCUCCGACACCCCCACCACGGCAAACGGAGGUGAUGGCGGAAGGUGAGGCAACGACAGUAGCUGGUGAGCUCCCGCUCCAAUGUCUCGCGAGUAAAGGAGGAGGAGGUGGCAUGGGAAUCGAAGAGGACACUAGUAGAGAAACGACUUUCCAUCCACCCCCUUUUGUCCCGGUUUAAAGUUGGCCCGGGACAAAAGGUUCACCAACCGGGAUUAAAACUCGGUCACUGGUGGGGGGCUCACCAACCGGGACCUUUUAUCCCGGUUGCAAAGGCUAGUGGGAAAAAAUUACUCUGAGAGGCCUUUUAUCCCGGUUUGAAACACCAACCGGGAUAAAAGACCCCCCCUUUUAUCCCGGUUGGUAACACCAACCGAGAUAAAAGGGUCAAGAGCCUUUUAUCCCGGUUGGAAACACCAACCGGGAUAAAAGGGGGUCUUUUAUCCCGGUUGGUGUUUCCAACCGGGAUAAAAGGGUCCCCCACGAGUUAAUACAAAAGGAUAGUAUCCCCUACAUAGUCAGAUGUGGUGUGUAGGUGGGAUGGUAAGGAAGCUACGCGCGAGGCUGGAGGUUGUGGGUUCGAAUCCCACGAACCGCGCACGCGCAUAUUUCGCGUGAAAAAUCGCGUGACUUGCGACUUGCGCGUGUGGGGGGGCCUCCUGGGAGCUCGGGAAUUUUUUUUUUUUGCAGCGCCGGCCGUGGGUGAACCCUUUUAUCCCGGUUGGUAUUACCAACCGGGAUAAAAGGGGGUCUUUUGUCCCGGUUGAGUGACCCGGGAUAAAAGACCCCCCCUUUUGUCCCGGUUGGUUUAUCCCGGAUGCAUUUUCGAGAUCUUUGCACCCUACCAACCGGGAUAAUAGGUGAGUUCUCCACCAGUGGGAGGCCGCCGCUGGCGGGUUUAGACUACGUGGAUGUGUGGGUAGGGUUAAGGUGACGGUGUGGACUAGUAUAUAUAAGAUGUCUGGGCUUGUUAGAAUAAGAUAACAUUCUAACCGGCCAAAUUCGGACCCGGUUAGAUUAAAUUGAUAUUCUAACCGGUCCUAUUUCUAGGUGGUAAGAAUAAGUUAACAUUGUAAUUGGCUUUAUUUGGAACCCGAUUGAAUCUUCUUGUUAUUCAAAAAAACAUCAAGUUCAUCAAUUUUAAUCCAGGAAAACAUCAAGAUAAUUUAAGCACGAUAUAUAACAAGAUUAAUACAUUUAAAAAUUGUUUGAUUCACAAAUUAACGAUAUUUAACAAAUUCAAAAAAUCCAAAUUAACAGAACACAAUAACCAAUUGUUCGAAAAAAUCAAAAUAAUCCACACACAUUAAUAUAUUACAAAUUCAGAAAUAUAUCAAAAUAAUCCCCGAUCCACUCGAUACCGUCAUAGGACUUUUAAAUACUGAGCUUCUUGAUUCGUCUGAGGUCCACCUACUCGUCUCAGUAACACUAGUGAUGGCCAUGCAUCUUGUAGAUGUCUUCUAACGAAUCAAGCUUGACGUACAAGGUCAUGCCUUCCGCUCCUUGAGGAUAACCAUCUUUGGUGAUCUUGAAAUGGCAGACGGUGGAUGUGCCAAAGGUACGUGACGAUCCUUCUAAAUGUAUGCCACCACAACUUCCGUCUGAUCGCCAUGGGUGACACCAAGAAGAGCUACCAUGCGGCAAGGGACGAACAAUUUAUCAAUUAGUGCCGCUGUCCAUCGCCAUCAUCUAAUCCAGCCAUAUCUUGUUGUAUAUUUAAGUAUAGAAAUUAAGAUUUAAAAAUAAACAGAAUAAAUUGAGAUCGAUUAUGUAUGUAUAUCAGAACAUUAGCUUUUGGAAAAAGGGCUUCGAUGGAAGAGAGGCACGGGGCAUAGAGACAACAACGAGUGACAAUAUGUCAGAAGAAUACCCGAUCACAAUUAUUGGCACACACAGCCGAUAUUUACAGUAGUCAAUACCCCUGGUAAAUAACCACACCAUCAAGAGUAAAUAGUGACAAUAUGCAGUAUAUACACGACAUAGCCUUGGCUGCCGUGGAAGCACCAGAAGGGAGACAAAUAACAGGGACCACUACAUCAAGUAGAUAGUGACAAUAUGCAAAAGAAUACCCGCGCCUGUUAGCAUGUGUGAACUGACCACACCACGAAACGUGAUACACGGCAAGCGUACCAAGGCCUUGCUGUGCAGACUAUGCAUGGACAACACAUGGUACCUGACCGCUUUUGGCCUCAGACACAUCAAAAACUGCAUCGUUCCACGUUGUACAUCCAUUGCUAGUUUAUCUAUAUUACAUAAUAUAUUAUUAGCUAUUUGAAUAGAAUGAACCAAUUAAAAAAUUACGUUGUAUUUUAGUACCGGCUGCAGGAUGGUGUUACCAACCAGUACUAAUUGGCCUGUAGGAGUGAUGGUUAUUAGACUUGGUACUGUUGUUAGCAUCAUUAACCUAAUUGUGCGCCGUAUGAAUUUGGGGAUGCAAAGCUAGCUCUCUAUGAAUGUGAGGGAUGGAAAGCUAGUUCUCUAGUAGUAAUUAUAUAUAUGACAGUCAGGAAAUCGAACACUAUGCUGCUACGAGUCACCAUCAUUUCCUUCAUUGACAAUCUGACAUAGGUGAAGCUGCUUCAAUAAUUUCCUUCGCGCAGUCGUGGAGCUUAUUGGAUUAUCACCAGGACGGGACACGGAAAUGGCCAGCAAUGAAGCUGAUUGCCGUCUGAGGAAGACUACAUACUUACCUAUGAAAUGAAGCGAUUGCAUAGACUAAUGAAGCAUUGCAUAUUUGCAUGUGAGUGUGGCAGAUAAUUCUGCAGGACAUGAUUGCAAUCCACGCACCAUCGAGAAGACUGGGGCGAUGGGGUUGCCUCAUCAAUAAUCACGUGGAUGCAUGCAUGCAUGUUCCCUCAACCGGACAAGGGUCUGAUAUAUGGCUAUAGUAUUACUGAGCCCACAUCAAUAAUUUCCGCUGGUGUAUCGUGUGGGAAGAAUCAACAUACUACACCUCUGAGUUCUUGGAACUAACUGACGUUCACAUGCAACCUCCACAAGGUGCUGUAUGCUUUUGACAUUCACCUGCCAGUUCGUGUAGAGGACACCCUAACGUAUGGUUAAUAUUAUCCAUUUCAUGAGUAAAAUACUGUGAUUCAAAAAUACUUCAAAUCCCUUGAGACAAUACUUCUCACUUGACUAACCACUAACCAACCCCGAAACCCUAACUCAACUCCGAACCCUAACCCCUAACGGCAUAACCACUCCGUUUUGCCGGCGAGAUGGAGGAACUGGCUGGAAGGUAGAGAGGGCAGCGGUCCAGGGUUGAAAACGACGGGCGAGCGCAGUAACAUGUGGAGGAGGAAGUGCCACGUAUUCGUUCACCGCUAUUGGGCAGCGACACACGACACGCCCAAUAAGAUCUUCGCACGGUAGAAGGACGUCAUGUAUUCAAUAAUGUUAUUGGUCCCCCAUGUGCAGAAGGGCGCGCGCGUAUGGAAUAACAAGUAGGGACACUGCAACUAAUCUACUCUGCUCGUCCAGUCCCUAGCCUAUAAAUAGAUGCCAUGCUAGCUCUUGUUGUGCUCACAAUUAAUCCGAUUACACACGAGCUUCUCUCCCUGGCCAAGACACAACCAUAGUAUGAUGAAGAACAUGGCACUAGCCGGCAAUGGUAUGAAGAAGUUAAUCCUCGCUGUUCUCUUACUGUGUCUAGUUAUAGGGCAGAUACAAGUGGAAGCUAAGAGCUGCUGCCCAUCCACCACUGCAAGAAAUGUCUACAAUACCUGCCGUUUCACGGGUACAUCCCGUCCAACGUGUGCAAAACUGUCAGGCUGCAAAAUUAUCAGCGGGAACAAAUGCAAGCCCCCUAACGACCACCUCACCCUUGACCCGGACACUGGUAAAUAAUAAAUUUAUCUCACUUGAUUUCUUCGUGAUUUGAGUCGUUAAUGUAUUUUCCAUCUGAUGAAACGUAUUGGUUUUGCAUUGAAGAGGAAGUUAAUGUGCUUAACUUCUGCAAGUUGGGGUGUGCGUCGUCUGUGUGCAACAACAUCAACGCUGGUAAGCAACUUUUGCUCAGACAGAGAAAACAAUAAUCAUUAAUUAGCGGCAGCUAGAAUCCUAUAAUCUAAUAUAUAUAUAUAUAUAUAAUUUUAUCAGCUCUGGGAAAUGAAGAGGCGAACGAUGCCGUUGAGAGUUGCGACCAAGCCUGCUCUAGCUUCUGCAGCGUGCAUGUUGGCAGCGCCACCGUGGUUGCUUAAGCAAAUGCAUCCAACUAGAUCGUCCUUGUGCUGAAUAAUUGGAUAUCGUAUCCACUUAAAGCUGCCUUGUGUAGUACGUCUUUGUGUCUCUCUUUAUAUUCCAAUAAGGUCGGUGAUCUUGAUGCCACACACUCAGAUGUGUGUUCAUCUCCAGAUACUACUCCAUGCUACCUGCCCUUUGUGUUUUGUUCAAUAACUGGGUAUCAUAUCCCAGCCAGUAUGCCGUCUGUUUUGUGUUUGUUUCCUUCUAGUUCCAAAGGGGUCAUCAUGAUGUUACCUUCUUUCAAUAUGGUGCUUUGCAUGACUACUGUUGUAUGGUACCAUCUUGUGGCCAAUAAGUACAUCUUAUCCUAUGACCUUUGCUAUGACCCUUUGCAAAUAAGUAGAAGAUUGUUAUAAGCGUCAAUACUCCGUAUAAAUUGAUCGCUGCUGUGAGUUCCCUUUCAGCUUAUCGUAGGCAUACAUUAUUGCUAGCACGGUAAAGCCAACCAACACGAAUGAUGAAGUAAACGUAGCGGUACUUCUGUAUACCAACACCCUUACUUAAAUGUACCGGUGUCAUUCCCUACUGGCACAUAUAUUCUUAUAUGCUAGCCAGCUUGUAAAAUUAACCAAUUAAAAUAAUUAUUUCAAGAUAGAAAUAACUUAUCGGUUUCUGGAAGCAUGUGUAAUGUGAAUUCAAGGACUCGACGGAAGUUGAAUCACUUCAUCUAUAUUGCUUUCAGUAUUUUGGGUAACUAAAUUUAACAUUUGCACAUACAAAUGUUAAAGUACAAAUGUUAAAUCUAGUUACCCAAGCAGAAUAUGAAGAUAGUUUAUAGUAUAUAUAUACUAUAUAAAUCUAGUUAACAUUUAGUCUAAAUGUUAAAUCUAGUUACCUAAAAUCCUGAAAGCAAAAUGUAUAAAUAUAUAUCUUUUAAGGCAGUAUAAGCUUCGAUUCCUAUUGCUGCUCUGUUAAAUCUCAUCUUUCGUUGUGGCCCAACACUCUAGUAUGCAUGUUGCACCAAGCUUCUUUGAGCCGCUCUGCCCUCUGAUUUUGCUGCGUAGGGGAAUCUUUAUCAGGUUGGGCUACUUCCAGUUGUGCGAUGUAAAGAUUCGUAUUUUCUAGAAGGUAGACAAAAAACUCGCGUUCUCUUAAGGCAACAACCGGAAGAUUCUGCAGCGCACAGGGCAUACCAUUAUUGUAGAAACGACCUUUAGUACCGAUCUCCAACCCCCUUUAAAACUGGUUUUGCAACCGGUACCGUUAUGUCGGUCCUUUAGUACCAGAUCAAAUAAGUACCGGUUGGUAACCAGUAUCAACUUGUUUUGCGGCCAAAAAAAUAAAGAAAAAAACAGUCAGAAGGCUCGCGCACACGCGCAUCACAUGAAAUAUGCGUGUGCGGGGUCCAUGGGAUUCGAACCCAUGAAAUCAAGCUGCGCGCGACCCUUCGUUACCAUCUCACCUACAUAGCGCAUAUGCUUUCCUGAAGUAACCCGUGGAGGAGGCUUUAGUACCGGGUCAUAACACCACCCGGUACUAAAAAUGACUCUUCAGUACCGGGUCAUAACACCACCCGAUACUAGUAUCGGAUGGUGUAAUGACCCGAUACUAAAAGGCCUCUAGGGACCCUCAAAUUUGAACCCGGUACUAAUGCUAAUAUUAGUAGCGGGUCAAAGUGCAGCCAGAACUAAAGCAUGGGAUGAAAGGUCAUAUUUCUAGUAGUGUAUAGUUGUUGUGAAGGACUGACUUGGCUGUCCUCUCUCUUCUCCAUCCCCUUGGUCUUACGCCGCCGCUCGCACGCGAGCCGGUGCCCAACCAGAGGAGUGAGAGCUAGGGGCAGGUUGGGAGGUGGGGAUAGUGACUGGUGGCCAGGGUGAUGGUUGAUCCUGGUGGGGUUAGGGUUUUAGGGUUUUCGAGCUUCCUAUGGUCGGCGAACCUAGAGGAGGAGCUCAACAUCAGCUGCAACCCGCGAUGGUGGUGGUUUGGCCGGCGCCCGAGGCGAGGCAGCGCGGGAGUGCUGCCGGUGGGUUGGUGUUGGCACUCAUUAUUGACAACUAUUUUGUUCAUAAAAUAACACUCAAACUUGCUGCUGCUGCUGCUGCUGCCAUCGCCACCCUAGCCAUAAUAUAAAGGCAAAAUUUGCUAAAGGACAUGCAAAAUGAUGCUAGUUUGCUGGCGGGCAUCGUUGACCUUGUAAUAUGCUACAAGACACUCUAGUUGUGUAUCAAUUUGCUGAAAGACAUUGCUAUGACUAAAAUAAUGUUUCUGGACUGAGUUGGAGAGAGAGAUGGAGUGAAAUGUCUGUUUUGCCCAUGACCCCACUGGUCAGAUCCUUCUUCUUCCACCCUCCUUUGUUCUUUCUUCAACCAUUACCCAGCUCCAGCGUGUUGCAGAUCUACGAGGGUGGCGGCCUGGGGCGAGGGGCAUCGCUCGCCCUUGGAGGAGCGCUGCGAGCGACGGCGCGGGGGCGGCAACAGCGCGUCAGAACCUGACUGUUCGUUAGCUCCUCUCGCUGCUGGGGAAGGAGGGGGAUGGGCCAUGGACGGGGUUCCCUUGAAAACCUCAGCGUCGAGCUCGGGCGGCUACGCGCAGGCAGCACUAGGCUGCUUCACGGGGAGGGGGCGCGGCCAAUCAUUGGCACCCCACUGGUCCAAUGCUGAUGAAGAUGGUGCCAGCGUCGUGUGAGGACAUCUCAUCUCCUCGAGUUCCAUGGCCAGCACAGGUGAGCUGCCGCUACCACAAAACAGAGGUUUCGUGAGAGUCAAAAAACCUUAUGAAAAUAGCUAAAACCAUCAUGAAAAUAAUCCGUGACAUGACACUCUCACGAAAAUCCUCUCACAAAUAUGGUGCCAUGAAAAUACCAUUUUCAUGAGAGUGAACUGUCAUGAUUUUAUUUCGUGAGAGUAUUUCCUAUCAAUGACCUCCACGAAAUACUUUGUGCCACCAGGUCUUCAAGAUCAUUUUCAUGAGAGCUGAACAUCAGGAAAAGUCCGCCACAAAUGUUUUUCUUGGAGCCCCUAACUCUCAUGAAAAUCAUGCGGGCCGCCACGAAAAACAGCAUGACCAAAUGACAAAUUUCAUUUUCAUGUGUUCAUACCGCCAUGAAAAUGGUCAUUUUCAUGAGAGUUGAUGAAACAAAAAAUAGUGCCAUUUUCAUGAGAGUUCAAGCAACCAGGAAAAGACACUAAUAAACAUCCAGAUCCCAUCCAGCACACAUCCAUGCACAUAUAUAACCCACAUAUUGCUCCAGCACACAUCCAUGCAUAUACAAGAUCCAAAUGUUAAUAUAGUAGACAUCCAUGCCUGAACUAGUCUGCCACACAAGUCAUUGAUGCUACAAAUCCUACAAUCGCAGCAUGUGCAUACAAGUCACAGAAUGAGACAAUGUACCCAAAACUAAAAGGUUAGCAUCAACUGUGCUUCAACCAAAGUUGUCAUCCCAACUCUCCUCUUCAUCCAUGCCAUUCUUGUCGUGGCCGUCACUGUCAGUCCCCAUGGCAUUGCCAAUGCUGUGCAUGUCUUGGUAGGAACCUACAUGUGAUGAACUAGUAACCUGCAAAAAGAGCUCAAAGGAUCUUGUUCUCAUAUUGUAGCUGUGAAAUUCUUACAAGUAGUGUUGCAAUCAGUUCACUUUGAACCAAAAGAGCUCAAAGGAUCUUGUCCUAAAAGUUCCUCAUAAAGCUUAUGGGUUUGCUGGUGGAACUGGAAGGGCUUGAUGCAGCAGAUGCCAUUCUGCAAUAGAGAAAAAUUUAGAGAGCAGUACUAGUUAAAAUUGGAUGCAGAAGAUACACAUGAAACUAGUAUUUAUACAAGUCUAUACAAUUAAAAUCUAAGGAGACUUAUCAUCGUUUUCAUGUGUUGUGAAUUAAAAUAAUGAAGGAUACACUGUUAGGUGAAAAUUCAAGAAACAAAAUUUUGCAUAGAGAUAAAGGUCCAACAUUAUUACAAGUUAAGGUAGUUUUAAAUAUCCUUGUAAUCUUCCUUUGGUUUCCUCAACGAUUCGAAGACAAUAACCUUGCUUCUAUCAAUGAUAAUUAUAAGGAGAAUCCAGUGGAAACUGUGUAUUCGUAUUAGAACUACCUAAGGUUAAUUAGGUUAGGAAAGGAAAUUGAAAAUAGAUGGUACCCACACUUACUUAAAGUUGUCGGGCAAUAGUAUGUAAUGCUUGUAAUUCCGUUGCUCCAAGAAUUUGUAUAUGUGGUCCAAUGUAGACUUUGGUUGAUCCCGUAUCUGCUGUUGGUUAAAUAAGUGUUUCUAGCCAUUUCUAGCCAUUAGAACCGGGACUAAAGGGGGCUCUUUAGUACGGGUUGAUAUUACUAACCGGGAUUAAAGAGCCCCCAUUAGAGUUGGUUUUUGGAUGCGGAACUAACAACUCCUUUAGUCCUGAGUACGAAAACAACUGACAUAUUUGUUGCUGGAUGGAAGGUCCUUUCUCUACCGUGAAUAUUGCCAGAAAGAAUUGAAAGAGACUGCUUGCUAAAAAUAUGUCAUAGAUGUAGACCAAGCUACCAAGGAGGUAGACCAAACAUGAUACACACCAUGCGUACCUUGCUGUGCAGACUAUGCAUUGACAAGAUACCCGACCACAUGUUGGCCUCGGUCACAUCAAAAGAAUCAUGUAGGCCACCAAUAAACUACUUGAAGCGGCAUUCCGUAUCGUAUAUGCAUUGCCGGUUCAUCUGCAUUACAUUACAUAAAGCACUAUUAACUAUUUGAAUAAAAUGAACCAAUUUAAAAGUAAUGUGUUGUACUCUACUAUAGAAAGCCCUAUCACUGCCGGAUCCAAAAACAUCAUUGUUAAUGGUGGUUAAGUACCAAAUAUGACGGUCAAUAUUCUCAAGAAUAAUGGAGAAUUAGCAUUUCUUAGACACAUAUUUGGUUUUGAACAAUGUAGUUCCACAUGUCUUUGGAGAUUAUUUGGGUGUGGGUGAAAUAAUACAAAAAUAAGGAGAAAACACACUCCCAUGGCGAAGAAACACAACUCCAACCAAUGAGAGAUAGCCACAGGGGCAGCACACGGAUCCAUGGGCCCACUAACCGCAUCAAACCAUCUUACCAAGGCAGGUAGCACCCACAACCGUCAUUAGGACCCACCUGGAAGUCUACCAAGAAGAAGGUUGCGAGUGGGGCCAGGAGGGGUUCGGUUGAAUCAUCUCUAGCUAGCUCCCCUCAUCCCCAGCUGGUGGGUGGUGGUGGUUGAUGGUGUCCCUACAUCAGUUAGAGGAGAUUCCCCCAAAUAUUCCUCCUGUAAACCACCUCUAUGGACCUAUACAUAGAGGGGUGUGCUCUCCAUUCCAACACACACCACAAGUUGAAUCACUCUCUCCCUCUUUAGUUUCCAAGUUUAUGGAGUUAGGCUAGAGUAGCUCUGCUCAAGGUUCCAAGUCCACUUGGAGUUAAGCAUAUGUCUCUUGUAUCGUUAUUUCCUAAAUUGACUUUAUGCUUAGUUCUUAUAUGCAUGAGUUAGUCUAAUACCCUUGCUAUAUUGAUAUGCUCGGCUUAUAUGCUCGUAUGCUAGUCAUAUACCCUUGCUGUCGUAGUAUAGGCUUAUAUGCUCUCAUGUGUGCCUGUAGACCUUGCUAUAGUAUAUACUUGUUGUGCAUACAUACCAUGUAUAGGCUAGUCGAUCUAUACCAUGGCAUUGGUUCAAUAGCCAUGUUUUUGGUGGCUCCAACCCUAGUCACAAUAGCUCGGGACAGCUGGAGUGUUGUUAAAAAUGCAAGAGUGGUGCUUGGGUUGUUUAGCAUCGUUGGAUAUGGGUUUGCCCCACGGGUUUCUAACGGUAGGCGGCAGCUAGUGACAUCCCUGUCCGUCCUUCGUAAUCCCCCCACAUUCAGGUACGCCAUAAAUGUUCGUAAAUUAGCAGUAACUACGCCGGUACACCUGUAGGGUAUUGUCUCCCUGUAGUACCUUGGUGCAUAGAACUAAGUCCUAUACACUGUGUGUGUAUGUUUACGCUGAUAUGAUCUGUGCAGUAUAUAGGAUGUAUAUAUGAACCUAGAGCUAACUCCUAGUCCGUUCUCCAUAGCUUAGUUAUCUUGAGAUGAUUCUUCUGUAUGUGUAACACUACCCAUCUUAUCAUUAUCCUUGAUCCUGUCUUGUGUAAUAUAUCUACUCAUCCUAUGAUAUACUCAUAUGCAUAGUAAACUAUUUUGACCUACCCGCCUUCCUUUGGGAAAUAUGAUACCUUGGAAUAAUCCUAGGUGAAAUCCUACAACGGUAUAUCCAUGUAAAUGCGGAUUUAUUCAUGACCAUUAAAUAUACCAACAAUCAUCACUGUGAGUUUUGGGCGUCGUUAGUGAAGGGUUGGUAGUGAUGGGCAUCCCCUUCACCAAUGGACCUGGAACCGGCGGUGAUGGCUAUUAUAAAAAAGGGGACACCACCCAGCGUACCCCACGACCCGGCCGGCCGCACCUCCCAUCAUCCCCGCCAGCCGCCCUUCCUUUUCGCCGGCCGAGCAUGGUCCCGGCCUUUGUCCCUACCACCUCGCCUCCACCGCGACCCCCCGCCGAUGCCCUCGUGCCUGGCCCCCCUCAUCUUGCCGGCCACCCUCCCGAUGCGUCCACUGGGGCCCUCGCACCACCAACCGCCCUUGCUUAGAGAGGGAGAGAGAGGAGGGAGGUGAGGCCACGCACCUCGUCCUACACCGCCGCUGUUUCUCCUCGGCCCACCGCGCCUCACCCCACACCACAGCCGCGCCUUGCCAUCUUACCGGCUGUGACGCCUCAUCUCACCGGCCACCGUUCCUCACCCCCACUUCGGUCGUCGCCGCUCCUUGCCCUACCGCUGCUCUUUGCCGCUGCGAAUGAGCGCCGAGUGGAGGAGGAGGGAUGGGGCAGGAGGAGGGCAAGAUCCGGGAGGAAGGGAGAGAUCUCGGGAGGUGGAGAUGGAAGGAUAUGGCGGAAGGGAGAGAUCCAGAGGGAGAGAGCAGGGGAGAGAGGGGGGCGUGUGGGGAGAGAGCGCGUGUGGGGUGGGGCCGGGCUGGUGGGAUGGAAGGGAGAGGGGCUAGACGGGCGCAGUGCAUUCAACUGGAUGAAGUAAAUAUUUUGGAUUCGAGACCCCAGCUUUAUUAUCACCGCUGGUCCGUAGUACCAUCCGGUGCCUGCUCGUAAUUUAAUUUGAAUCUGCGGUGAUGUUUUAUUAUCACCAUCGGAUCAUAUAAAAAUCCGGCGGUUAAAAAUCCGCUGGUUUCGAUGAAAACCGACGGUGAUAGGAUGACUGUGAUAGUCUCUUCUCUAGUAGUGGUAUAUUAGUACCGGCUGCCGGAUGGUGUUGCCGACCAGUACUUCUCCGGGGGCGAUUCAGUACUGCUGUUAGCAAAGCUUGUUCUCUAUGAAUUUGGGGAUGGAAAGCUAGUUCUCUAGUUGUGAUUUGUUACAUAUAUAUCUAUGAUAGUCUAGAAAUUGCAUGUCCUUCGUUGACAUAGUUGAAGCUGCUUCAAGAAUUUACUUCGUGCAGUCGUGCAGCAUAUUGGAUUAUCACCUAGACAGGAUACAUAGGUGAAGCAUUGGAUGUGAUUGUGGCCGAUAAUUAUGCAGGACGCUGUUGCAAUCAACCACCAAGAAGUCUGGAGUGAUGGGGUUGCCUCAUCAAUAAUUUUUAUAUAUGGCUGCAGUAUUAUUAAGCCCACGUCAAUAAUUUUUUGUCCGCACCAUAUAUCGAUGGGGUUGCCUCAUCAAUAAUUCGCGCAACCAGACAAGCUGCAGACUCAAUAUGGUACGAAGCUAGUUGCUCAGCCCACAUGCUCUGAUAUAACAUUGACAUCUGCUGAUCUACAGUAUAUAUGACCAGAAAUAUUGUGCCCACCUCAAUAACUUUCUGAAGUAUCGUGGGGAAGAACCUACGCGUACUAUGCCUCGGAACUAACUGACAUAUCGGCCCAGGCGGUCUAGGCCGAUUGGACUGGCUCUUCCUUGUGGCUUCUCACAUCCCCUUCGUCCCCAAGUAAUUUCAGGUGUUCUGUAGUUUUCUUUUCACUUGCAUCUGAGCCUCCUAUAUCAAUAGCUUCGGGAUAAGAAUGCCUCUUGAUAACCUUCCAAAUCCUCGCUUGAUUCACAUUGAUUCCGAAAUCAUCUUGCCAUAUCUUCAGAGACUUAGGUCCUAAGGCAUCAUGGAGGAUUGCUCGCCAAGAAUGAGCACCAUUGGGCUCCUGAGGACCCUAGGCCGAUCAGCCCGGGCUCUAUAGGUCGAUUGGCCCAGGCCCUCUCUGGGCCUGUUGGCCUUCAUCUUUCUUUGAGUCGACGCUUAUUCAGGGCUUUGUCCAAUUAUAGUCCAUUAUAGUCUAAUUUCCUAAAAAACAGAAUGUCCUCCAAAAUACAAUGCAUAUGUGAAAACAACCCAAUUAUUAGGUAUGAUCAAUAGUUUAGGUAUUAAAUUAAUAUUAUUAUUUAAGAUAAACAGGGGUAAAGGGUGUCAUUAAUAACAAGCGCCAACAAGCGUCCUAGCUGUUCAAUAAAUUUUUUCUAGUACCGAUUGGUAACACUAACCGGUGCUAAUAUGUACCCUUUAUUACCGGUUAUUUUACCAGGUACUAAAGGAGACAAGAGCAUCCUAACAUAAGGUUAAUAUCAUCCAUUUCAUGAGUAAAAUACUAUGAUUCAAAAAUAAUUCAAAUCCCUUAAGACAAUACCUAUCAAAUGAGUAAAUUGUAAAUAGAGUAAUCUUGAUCAAACAAUGUCCUAAUGAAACGGAACACUUCUGGUUCGUGUAGAGCACAAUAUAGAAAACAGUAGGGUAGCUGUAUGAUUGACACGUGGUCCAUUAAUUAUUGAGCCAACACUAUGGACAUGUCUUCAUGAGUAGUGUACUAGUCAUAAUACAUGGUAUGCAGUAGGUGGAGGUAUUGACUUAGCCAUGCUAUGAGCACUUAGUUACAACAAACACUUUGCCAUUAUCGAGCAUCCCAAAUCACUACAAAAUCCAUAGUUUACCAUAUACUACAAAAUCUGAGUUAAAAUAAGAGCAUACACGGAAGAGUCCGAAUGCACGGCACAUUGAAUUACUAGACAAAAUUUAUGGGACAAGGUUUUGGGUAACCGCAUGAAAAAUAUUGGAUUUUACUGAACACUUAGUUACAAUUACCAUGCCCGUGAGCACUUAGUCACCACAAACAUUUAACCACUUUAGAUCAUCCUGAAUCCCUAUAAAUUCUAUACCUUACACCGUACCAUGAAAACGACAAGAACAGAGACAGAUGCGGUGAAAAUCUCCAGAGCAAGCCUGAAAUUAAAAUAAGAGGAGGCAGUCACUAUCGACAGGACACGGAGAUUGCUAGCCAUGACAGAGGAAGACAUGAUAUGAUAUUCACCUCUGAAAUGCAGCGUAGACUAAAUGAAGCACAAUUGCAAGUGAGUGUGGCAGAUAAUGGACCAUCGAGACCAUCGAAUGGUAUGAAGCAUGAUUAUCACCUAGACAUGAUAUCCUAGACAGGACGGUGAAUUGUAAAAAGAGUAAUCUUGAUCAAAGAAUGUCCUAAUGAAACGGAACAUUUUUGGUACGUGUAGAGCAAAAUAUAGAAAACAGUAGAGUAGUUGUACGAUUGAAACUGCAUCCAUCGACGUGGUGCAUGAAUUGUUGAGCCAACACUGUGGACAUGUCUUCAUGAACACCAUCUAGUGAGGACAGCAUGCAGAAAAAUAUAAAAACAUGUCAUAGGGAGGCAGACCAAUCUUGCGAGGUAGACGAAACGUGAUACACGAUCUGCCUACCUUGUCGUGUGGAUACCCCAAGUGAAGAUGUCAUAGAGGUGCAGACCAAGCUAGCAAGGAGGUAGAUGAAACGUGAUACACGGCCUGCCUACCUUGCCGUGGAUAUUAGUCCUGAUAUCAUUCUAUUGUUCAAGGAAUAACACUCAAUGCUGCUGCUGCUGCUGACCUGGCUCCAUAAAGUUAUAUUCCUCUAGCCGCUUGCACUAACUUUAUCUGAAGUAUUAUUCUCUCUGCACUGUAUAUAUGGUUACGGAGUUUGCUGGAGUAUCCGGGGGGAAGAACCUACAUAAUAUGUCUUGGAACUAACUGACAUUGAUUCACAGACAAGGUGCUGUUGUUGACAUGGUACAGUAAAUAAUAUAGUUUACCAUAUACCGUAUACCAUUAUAUGUUAGCUAAAAUAAGAGCAUAACAUGUCGCAGGAGUCCAAAAGCACCGGUUGAGGACCAGGUACAUUAAAUUACUAGAAAACAAAAGGGGACAAGGUUUAGGUAGCCACAUGAAAAACAUUUGAAUUUACUGUACCAUGAACACUUAGUUACCAUGCCGGGAGCACCUAGUUAACACUAACAUUUAGCCACUUUAGAUCAUCCCGAAACACCAAUGACCCUCAAUAGCGACAAAUUUUGGUUUAAAUGCCGUCACCAAUGAUCCUCAAUAGUGACGUGUUUAGGUUUAAAUCCCAUCACUAAUAACCCUUGGUAGUGACGUGUUUUGGUUUAAAUCUCAUCACCACUGAUCCUCACUAGUGACGUGUUUUUAGCAACACACGUUAUGAAUGACUUGUCAUUGGUGACAUGUUAAACGCGUUAUCUCAAUGGCAAAUCAAUGGUGACGUGUUUAAAAAAACAUGUCACUGUGAGAGUUAUUGGUGAAGGGUAAUUAAAAUGCAUCACUAAUUUUGUAGCAUUAGUUAUGAUAUAAUUUUGUAACGCAAAAAUCUACCAUAGUAAUGAGGUUUAGAGCCAUCACUAAUGUGGGUUUCUUAUCGUAGUGAUGCAAGCUCUACAAGGUGCUGUUGUUGCCAUUUUAAAGCAUCCCAAAUGACUACAAGAGUCCGGUUGAGGACUAAACAAAUUGAAUUACUAGAACCAAAUGUAUGUCCAGAACAAAGAAAGGGGUCAAGGUUUGGGUAACCGCAUUAAAAACAUUGAAUUUUACUGUACCAUGAACACUUAGUUACCAUUACCAUGCCUUGAGCACCUAGUUACCACAAACAUUAAUUUAGCCACUUUAGAGGUUCCACAAUCACUAUAAAUAAUAUACCAACACCGUACCAUGAAAACAUCAAGAAGAGAGACGGGUACAUGGACCACCAUCAAGUGAGUAGUGACAGCACGCACAAGAAUACCCGGAACCUUUUAGCUUGUCUGUAGUGAUCUGUUUUCUUCGCCACAAAUAAUGAAAGAGGCUGACCAAGCUAGCAACGAGGUAGAGCAAACGUGAUACACGUAGGUUUCAUUCAAGACAUCCAUGUAAGAUUCAUUCAAAACAUUCAUGGAAAUUUCUUGUAAGUUUUCAUGUAAAUUUCAUUCAAGACAUUUGUUAGAGGUGUUGUAUAUACACUUAACGUACAUAUAUCUAUGAUUUCAUGGUUGUUAGUGAUGGCAGAUGAGGAGCAUGCAAGGUGUUUAAUGGAGCAGAUUAUUGCUAGUGGUAGUGGCUCCAACCUGCCCGUAACGUACACCGACGAAGAGGGCAGCCAGGCGGACAUGUUCCUCAACAUGUCCGGUGAUGGCAAUGAAGAGCCCGAGCAAAACCUUGCCGUGACGGAAGGUUCCAUCGAGGUAUAUAUCAUUUCCAUUAUUUUACCCCAUCUAUAAUUUCAUAUUCAUUAUUACUAUGUGCUAAUUAAUGAAUCUUGAACCGUUAGUCCUCUAGAUCAACGAACCGAAAUAAGCCCCGAGGUCUUACAAAGAUAAUGCAGGGAAGGCUUCACAUCAUGGAAGUCACAGAAGAGGGCACAUCGGUUGCUCCCGAACAUGUGGCAAGAAAGUACGUGAGUCAAACCGGGGCAAUCGUAAGGGACAACAUGCCCAUCAGCAUCAGGGAAUGAAAGAGCAAUAGAAAUGAUCUAUACGCACCCCCGGAUACACAAAAGGAUAUGUUGUGGGCAAAUAUCAAGAAACACUUCACAUUUCCCAAAGGAUAUGUUGAAAAAUAUGUGAAAGCGUGGAUGUUGAAGAAGAUGGCCACCCAAUUCCAGACAUUCAAGAAGAUGUUGGAUGCCAACUUCAUCAAGAAGGGUCGAACUCCGGGUUUCAAUGAGUGGCCAAAGUUAAGGGACCACUGGGAGUCGUUUGUCGAAUACAAGACGAGCGAAGGUGGUGCGAGUAAGGUUCACAUCAAUGUUGCCAAUGCUAGCAAGGAGUACCAUCAUCAUCUAGGGCGACGUGGUUACAGCUCUGCAAUUCCCAGAUGGCGCAAGAUGGAACAAGACCUGAUCGAUCGGGGUAUCGUACCAGCAACUCUUGACUGGAUCGAUUGAAAAAUUGGUAUUAUGCUCAUGAAGGCAAUCUGAGCCAAGAGGAUCCGACAUUGGUCUUCAAUAAAACAAUACGUCAGAAGGUCGGAAGGCUUAUUAGGAACAUUGAAGAUGCUAAAGCUGGGAGGUUCAAGGUGGAUAGAGAGAAUGAUGAACUCACAUUGGCCCUCGGGACUGUCAUCUCUAGCACUUCCAGCUCCAGGACUAUCGUCACCACCGGGACCGUCGCUUCCUGCUCGAUCACAGUCUCCAUCUCCAGCACAUCCUGGUGGUGCGAGCGACGACGACAACAACACCCCUCCCUGCCCACCAUUGCCGGGACUAAGACCCGCAUUGAGUAAGGAACCUGCAACACCACUGAAGAAGUCGCGACCACCACCUUCAAGGCAAGUCAGCAAAAGAAGAAAGCAGAGAAGCCUAAACCCACUGAGAAGCCAGCGACUGAUAUGACCGAUGCGGAAAGAUGGAAGGCACUCAAAGAAGAAUGCAGGGAGUGGUUCAGCGAAGGCGAAGGUGAGAAAGUCGUAUGAAUCGAAUUCAAGGAUAUAUAUGAAGUGAACCAUCAGGAUGCCCUUGAUGUCUCUCUCAUCAGCGCCUAGGUUCUGUAAGUGUAUGUUUAUCUAUAAGUAAAUUUUGGCUCAUAUCAUUAUUUUUUUUGCGUGCGUCACCCUACUAACUUCGUCUUCCAUUUUAUGUAGGAUGCUAAUUCAGACGUGCCGCAUAGAAGCGUACUUCCAUGUUGGAUUCAUGGAUCCAUCCCUAGUUAACCAAAAGCCGAUACGGAAGUAGCUAGAGAAAACGUUGGAGGUGGUGUACAACCUCCUGGACAAACUAAACUACAGAAUAGGGGCAAUAUGUGAGGGUCUUGUAGGAUUCCUAGUGGACGAGGUGAUAAAUCCAUAAGGAGAAUAUCAUUCCAACGGACGAGCAUUAGACACACUGAGCAACACCUAGAUGGGAGGAUCCUAGGAAUGACCUCGACAGAUUUUGGUAUAAAUAGUAAUUGUGUAAAUACUAGUUUGAUUUGUAUAGGAAUAUACUAAGAAUUGUAUAUAUAGUAAUUGUACAAAUACUAGUUUGAUUUGUAUGAAUACUAGAUUGAUUUUAUUAUAAAAAAGUUUUAAGUCGUACGUGCAUGCGCCUACAAAGGCGCGGAUGCCUUUUAAUCCCAGUCGGAAAAACAAACUGGUACUAAAGGGGCUCGUGCCGCACCUGGCAUGACCACCCCUUUAGUCCCGGUUGAACGACCCAGGACUAAAGAUCUCCGCGUCUCAAAAAUUUUAUCUCGGAUGCUUUUUAGAGAGAUUUGAGGCCUAUCAACCAAGACUAAUAUCGAGUUUUCUACCAGUGAAACUAACUAACGUUCACAUGGUUUUGACAUUCACCUGCCAUUUGGUGUAGACAAGGGCACCCUAACAUAUGGUUAAUAUUAUUCUUGAAAGAAAAUCCUUUGAUUCAAAAUACUUCAAACCUAAUAAUACAAUACUUCUCACAUCUGAAAAAUAUGAGACGGCCCGACAGUAUUCUAAUCGACGCAAUAAUAUUUUGAGGGCAGCACUACUACAGCGACCCUCAUUCGUGCCGGUGCUGGGACUCCUAUCACGACCCUGAUACAAAUGAGGGUACAUUAUUGGUGCCAGUGCUAGAACAGCCACGAAUAACUUGCUAAACGUGCUGUUACACUCACUACAGGGACCAAGAAGGUAGAUAAAUUACACGACAUAGCCUUGGUUGCCGUGGAAGCGCCAAGAAGGGAGACAAAUUACAGGGACCACACCAUCAAGUAGAUAGUGACAAUAUGCAAAAGAAUACCCGCGCCUGUUAGCAUGUGAACUGACCACACCACGAAACGUGAUACACGGCAAGCGUACCAAGGCCUUGCUGUGCAGACUAUGCAUGGACAACACAUGGUACCUGACCGCUUUUGGCCUCAGACACAUCGAAAAACUGCAUCGUUCCACGUUGUACAUCCAUUGCUAGUUUAUCUAUAUUACAUAAUAUAUUAUUAGCUAUUUGAAUAGAAUGAACCAAUUAAAAAAUUGCGUUGUAUUUUUAGUACCGGCUGCAGGAUGGUGUUACCAACCAGUACUAAUUGGCCUGUAGGAGUGAUGGUUAUUAGACUUGGUACUGUUGUUAGCAUCAUUAACCUAAUUGUGCGCCGUAUGAAUUUGGGGAUGCAAAGCUAGCUCUCUAUGAAUGUGAGGGAUGGAAAGCUAGUUCUCUAGUAGUAAUUAUAUAUAUGACAGUCAAGAAAUCGAACACUAUGCUGCUACGAGUCACCAUCAUUUCCUUCAUUGACAAUCUGACAUAGGUGAAGCUGCUUCAAUAAUUUCCUUCGCGCAGUCGUGGAGCUUAUUGGAUUAUCACCAGGACGGGACACGGAAAUGGCCAGCAAUGAAGCUGAUUGCCGUCUGAGGAAGACUACAUACUUACCUAUGAAAUGAAGCGAUUGCAUAGACUAAUGAAGCAUUGCAUAUUUGCAUGUGAGUGUGGCAGAUAAUUCUGCAGGACAUGAUUGCAAUCCACGCACCAUCGAGAAGACUGGGGCGAUGGGGUUGCCUCAUCAAUAAUCACGUGGAUGCAUGCAUGCAUGUUCCCGCAACCGGACAAGGGUCUGAUAUAUGGCUAUAGUAUUACUGAGCCCACAUCAAUAAUUUCCACUGGUGUAUCGUGUGGGAAGAAUCAACAUACUACACCUCGAGUUCUUGGAACUAACUGACGUUCACAUGCAACCUCCACAAGGUGCUGUAUGCUUUUGACAUUCACCUGCCAGUUCGUGUAGAGAAGGACACCCUAACGUAUAGUUAAUAUUAUCCAUUUCAUGAGUAAAAUACUGUGAUUCAAAAAUACUUCAAAUCCCUUGAGACAAUACUUCUCACUUGACUAACCACUAACCAACCCCGAAACCCUAACUCAACUCCGAACCCUAACCCCUAACGGCAUAACCACUCCGUUUUGCCGGCGAGAUGGAGGAACUGGCUGGAAGGUAGAGAGGGCAGCGGUCCAGGGUUGAAAACGACGGGCGAGCGCAGUAACAUGUGGAGGAGGAAGUGCCACGUAUUCGUUCACCGCUAUUGGGCAGCGACACACGACACGCCCAAUAAGAUCUUCGCACGGUAGAAGGACGUCAUGUAUUCAAUAAUGUUAUUGGUCCCCCAUGUGCAGAAGGGCGCGCGCGUAUGGAAUAACAAGUAGGGACACUGCAACUAAUCUACUCUGCUCGUCCAGUCCCUAGCCUAUAAAUAGAUGCCAUGCUAGCUCUUGUUGUGCUCACAAUUAAUCCGAUUACACACGAGCUUCUCUCCCUGGCCAAGACACAACCAUAGUAUGAUGAAGAACAUGGCACUAGCCGGCAAUGGUAUGAAGAAGUUAAUCCUCGCUGUUCUCUUACUGUGUCUAGUUAUAGGGCAGAUACAAGUGGAAGCUAAGAGCUGCUGCCCAUCCACCACUGCAAGAAAUGUCUACAAUACCUGCCGUUUCACGGGUACAUCCCGUCCAACGUGUGCAAAACUGUCAGGCUGCAAAAUUAUCAGCGGGAACAAAUGCAAGCCCCCUAACGACCACCUCACCCUUGACCCGGACACUGGUAAAUAAUAAAUUUAUCUCACUUGAUUUCUUCGUGAUUUGAGUCGUUAAUGUAUUUUCCAUCUGAUGAAACGUAUUGGUUUUGCAUUGAAGAGGAAGUUAAUGUGCUUAACUUCUGCAAGUUGGGGUGUGCGUCGUCUGUGUGCAACAACAUCAACGCUGGUAAGCAACUUUUGCUCAGACAGAGAAAACAAUAAUCAUUAAUUAGCGGCAGCUAGAAUCCUAUAAUCUAAUAUAUAUAUAUAUAUAUAAUUUUAUCAGCUCUGGGAAAUGAAGAGGCGAACGAUGCCGUUGAGAGUUGCGACCAAGCCUGCUCUAGCUUCUGCAGCGUGCAUGUUGGCAGCGCCACCGUGGUUGCUUAAGCAAAUGCAUCCAACUAGAUCGUCCUUGUGCUGAAUAAUUGGAUAUCGUAUCCACUUAAAGCUGCCUUGUGUAGUACGUCUUUGUGUCUCUCUUUAUAUUCCAAUAAGGUCGGUGAUCUUGAUGCCACACACUCAGAUGUGUGUUCAUCUCCAGAUACUACUCCAUGCUACCUGCCCUUUGUGUUUUGUUCAAUAACUGGGUAUCAUAUCCCAGCCAGUAUGCCGUCUGUUUUGUGUUUGUUUCCUUCUAGUUCCAAAGGGGUCAUCAUGAUGUUACCUUCUUUCAAUAUGGUGCUUUGCAUGACUACUGUUGUAUGGUACCAUCUUGUGGCCAAUAAGUACAUCUUAUCCUAUGACCUUUGCUAUGACCCUUUGCAAAUAAGUAGAAGAUUGUUAUAAGCGUCAAUACUCCGUAUAAAUUGAUCGCUGCUGUGAGUUCCCUUUCAGCUUAUCGUAGGCAUACAUUAUUGCUAGCACGGUAAAGCCAACCAACACGAAUGAUGAAGUAAACGUAGCGGUACUUCUGUAUACCAACACCCUUACUUAAAUGUACCGGUGUCAUUCCCUACUGGCACAUAUAUUCUUAUAUGCUAGCCAGCUUGUAAAAUUAACCAAUUAAAAUAAUUAUUUCAAGAUAGAAAUAACUUAUCGGUUUCUGGAAGCAUGUGUAAUGUGAAUUCAAGGACUCGACGGAAGUUGAAUCACUUCAUCUAUAUUGCUUUCAGUAUUUUGGGUAACUAAAUUUAACAUUUGCACAUACAAAUGUUAAAGUACAAAUGUUAAAUCUAGUUACCCAAGCAGAAUAUGAAGAUAGUUUAUAGUAUAUAUAUACUAUAUAAAUCUAGUUAACAUUUAGUCUAAAUGUUAAAUCUAGUUACCUAAAAUCCUGAAAGCAAAAUGUAUAAAUAUAUAUCUUUUAAGGCAGUAUAAGCUUCGAUUCCUAUUGCUGCUCUGUUAAAUCUCAUCUUUCGUUGUGGCCCAACACUCUAGUAUGCAUGUUGCACCAAGCUUCUUUGAGCCGCUCUGCCCUCUGAUUUUGCUGCGUAGGGGAAUCUUUAUCAGGUUGGGCUACUUCCAGUUGUGCGAUGUAAAGAUUCGUAUUUUCUAGAAGGUAGACAAAAAACUCGCGUUCUCUUAAGGCAACAACCGGAAGAUUCUGCAGCGCACAGGGCAUACCAUUAUUGUAGAAACGACCUUUAGUACCGAUCUCCAACCCCCUUUAAAACUGGUUUUGCAACCGGUACCGUUAUGUCGGUCCUUUAGUACCAGAUCAAAUAAGUACCGGUUGGUAACCAGUAUCAACUUGUUUUGCGGCCAAAAAAAUAAAGAAAAAAACAGUCAGAAGGCUCGCACACACGCGCAUCACAUGAAAUAUGCGUGUGCGGGGUCCAUGGGAUUCGAACCCAUGAAAUCAAGCUGCACGCGACCCUUCGUUACCAUCUCACCUACAUAGCGCAUAUGCUUUCCUGAAGUAACCCGUGGAGGAGGCUUUAGUACCGGGUCAUAACACCACCCGGUACUAAAAAUGACUCUUCAGUACCGGGUCAUAACACCACCUGAUACUAGUAUCGGAUGGUGUAAUGACCCGAUACUAAAAGGCCUCUAGGGACCCUCAAAUUUGAACCCGGUACUAAUGCUAAUAUUAGUAGCGGGUCAAAGUGCAGCCAGAACUAAAGCAUGGGAUGAAAGGUCAUAUUUCUAGUAGUGUAUAGUUGUUGUGAAGGACUGACUUGGCUGUCCUCUCUCUUCUCCAUCCCCUUGGUCUUACGCCGCCGCUCGCACGCGAGCCGGUGCCCAACCAGAGGAGUGAGAGCUAGGGGCAGGUUGGGAGGUGGGGAUAGUGACUGGUGGCCAGGGUGAUGGUUGAUCCUGGUGGGGUUAGGGUUUCAGGGUUUUCGAGCUUCCUAUGGUCGGCGAACCUAGAGGAGAAGCUCAACAUCAGCUGCAACCCGCGAUGGUGGUGGUUUGGCCGGCGCCCGAGGCGAGGCAGCGCGGGAGUGCUGCCGGUGGGUUGGUGUUGGCACUCAUUAUUGACAACUAUUUUGUUCAUAAAAUAACACUCAAACUUGCUGCUGCUGCUGCUGCCAUCGCCACCCUAGCCAUAAUAUAAAGGCAAAAUUUGCUAAAGGACAUGCAAAAUGAUGCUAGUUUGCUGGCGGGCAUCGUUGACCUUGUAAUAUGCUACAAGACACUCUAGUUGUGUAUCAAUUUGCUGAAAGACAUUGCUAUGACUAAAAUAAUGUUUCUGGACUGAGUUGGAGAGAGAGAUGGAGUGAAAUGUCUGUUUUGCCCAUGACCCCACUGGUCAGAUCCUUCUUCUUCCACCCUCCUUUGUUCUUUCUUCAACCAUUACCCAGCUCCAGCGUGUUGCAGAUCUACGAGGGUGGCGGCCUGGGGCGAGGGGCAUCGCUCGCCCUUGGAGGAGCGCUGCGAGCGACGGCGCGGGGGCGGCAACAGCGCGUCAGAACCUGACUGUUCGUUAGCUCCUCUCGCUGCUGGGGAAGAAGGAGGGGGAUGGGCCAUGGACGGGGUUCCCUUGAAAACCUCAGCGUCGAGCUCGGGCGGCUACGCGCAGGCAGCACUAGGCUGCUUCACGGGGAGGGGGCGCGGCCAAUCAUUGGCACCCCACUGGUCCAAUGCUGAUGAAGAUGGUGCCAGCGUCGUGUGAGGACAUCUCAUCUCCUCGAGUUCCAUGGCCAGCACAGGUGAGCUGCCGCUACCACAAAACAGAGGUUUCGUGAGAGUCAAAAAACCUUAUGAAAAUAGCUAAAACCAUCAUGAAAAUAAUCCGUGACAUGACACUCUCACGAAAAUCCUCUCACAAAUAUGGUGCCAUGAAAAUACCAUUUUCAUGAGAGUGAACUGUCAUGAUUUUAUAAGCGUCAAUACUCGGUAUAAAUUGACUACUGCUGUGAGUUCCCUUUCAGCUUAUCGUAGGCAUACAUUAUUGCUAGCACGGUAAAGAGAACCAACACGAAUGAUGAAGUAAACGUAGCGGAACUUUUGUAUACCAACACCCUUACGUACCGGUGUCAUUCCCCACUGCCACAUAUAUUCUUAUAUGCUAACCAGCUUUGAAAAUUAAGCGAUUAAAAUAAUUAUUUCAAGAUAGAAAUAACUUAUCGGCUUCUCGAAGCUUGUGUAAUGUGAAUUCAAGGACUCGAUGGAAGUUGAAUCGCUUCAUCUAGAUUGCUUUCAGGAUUUUGGGUAACUAAAUUUAACAUUUGCACACACAAAUGUUAAUGUACAAAUGUUAAAUCUAGUUACCCAAGCAGAAUAUGAAGAUACUCUAUAGUAUAUAUGUACUAUAUAAAUCUAGUAAACAUUUAGUCUAAAUGUUAAAUCUAGUUACCUAAAAUCCUAAAAGCAAAAUGUAUAAAUAUAUAUCUUUUAAGGCAGUAUAAGCUUCAAUUCUCUGUUAAAUCUCAUCUUUCGUUGUGGCCCAACACUCUAGUAUGCAUGUUGCACCAAGCUUCUUUGAGCCGCUCUGCCCUCUGAUUUUGCUGCGUAGGGGAAUCUUUAUCAGGUUGGGCUACUUCCAGUUGUGCGAUGUAAAGCUUCGUAUCUUUUAGAAGGUAGACAAAAUACCCGCGUUCUGGAAGAUUCUGCAACGUGCACGUUGGCGCUGCCACCGUGGUUGCUUAAGCAAAUGCAUCCAACUGAAUCGUCCUUAAGCUGAAUAAUUGGAUAUGGUAUCCACUGCUUAAAGCUGCCAUGUUUAGUACGUCUUUGUUUUUCUCUCUUUAUAUUCCAAUAAGGUCGGUGAUCUUGAUGCCACACACUCAGAUGUGUGUUUAUCUCCAGAUACUACUCCAUGCUACCUACCCUUUGUGUUUUGUUCAAUAACUGGGUAUCAUAUCCUAGCCAGUGUGCCAUCUGUUUUGUGUUUGUUUCCUUCUAGUUCCAAAGGGGUCAUCAUGAUGUUACCUUCUUUUGAGGUGUCUAUGAUGACUUCGUUAAUAUCAAUAUUAACCAAUUCAAUCUGUCUUAACUAUUUGUAAGGGGUAUGAUGUAUGCAUGAUUAUAACAAUGAUUGCGCAUACAAUCGCCGCCAAAGAAACGGUCAAUACCAUUAAGACAUAUUACAGACAAUUCUCAUAAUCUAUAAUGAAUAUACAUAUUCACUACUGCAGAAGACUGUCAUUUGUAUCGGCUCAUACGUGCCAGGGCAAAGGUCACCCUUGCAUUAAGUACAUUUGCACGGUAAAGACAACCAACACGAAUAAUGAAGUAAACAUGCCGGUGCUUUUGUACACCAACACGCUUACUUAAAUGUACUGGUGUCAUUCCUCACCGGUAGCCGGCUUGAAAAUUAACCAAUUAGAACAAUUAUUUAUUGUAUCGGUGUGAUUUUUGACCUAUUGGAAUAUGAAUUUGACCGUUACUGCAUUCGUCAAGACUCAAGAGAGAAAUAACUGAUCGGCUUCUUAGAGCGUGUGCAAUGUGAAAUCAAGGACUGGAUGGAAGUUGAAGCGCUAGCACUAGUAGAGAAACGACUUUCCAUCCACCCCCUUUUGUCCCGGUUUAAAGUUGGCUCGGGAUAAAAGGUUCACCAACCGGGACUAAAACUCAGUCACUGGUGGGAGGCUCACCAACCGGAACCUUUUAUCCCGGUUGCAAAGGCUAAUGGGAAAAAAAGACUCUGAGAGGCCUUUUAUCCCGGUUUGAAACACCAACCGGGAUAAAAGACCCCCCUUUUAUCCCGGUUGGUAACACCAACCGAGAUAAAAGGGUCAAGAGCCUUUUAUCCCGGUUGGAAACACCAACCGGGAUAAAAGACCCCCUUUUAUCCCGGUUGGUGUUUCAAACCGGGAUAAAAGGGCCCCCACGAGGUGACUGGAAGGUGACUGGAAGGGGAUUAAAUCGUGGGGGACCCUUUUAUCCCGGUUGGAAACACCAACCGGGAUAAAAGGGGGUCUUUUAUCCCGGUUGGUGUUUCCAACCGGGAUAAAAGGGUCCCCCACGAGUUAAUACAAAAGGAUAGUAUCCCCUACAUAGUCAGAUGUGGUGUGUAGGUGGGAUGGUAAGGAAGCUACGCGCGAGCUCCGGAAUUUUUUUUUUUUUUUUUUGCAGCGUCGGCGCUCUCUACCCUUUUAUCCCGGUUGGUAUUACCAACCGGGAUAAAAGGGGGUCUUUUGUCCCGGUUGAGUGACCCGGGAUAAAAGACCCCCCCUUUUUUCCCCGGUUAGUUUAUCCCGGAUGCAUUUUCGGGAUAAAAGCACCCUACCAACCGGGAUUAAAGCUCACUUCUCUACCAGUGUAGCUUCAUCUUCCGCUGCAAGUUAAUUGCUUGGAUAAGAAGUUGUAGCCGCUGCAAGUUAUAAAUAGUCCCGCUGAUGCUGUGCUCCGAAGUCUAUACUAUAUAUGCGGAAACUAGAUUGCUUUCAGGAUUUUGGGUAACUAAAUUUAACAUUUGUACAUAAAAAUGUUAGUUUACGAAUGUUAAAUCUAGUUACCCAAGCAGAACAAGAAGAUAGUAUAUAGUAUAUACUAUAUAAAUCAAGUUAACAAUUAGUCUAAAUGUUAUAUCUACUUACCCAAAAUAUUGAAAGCAAAGAAAGAAUAAGUAUAUAUCUUUUGUUGGAAAAUUGGUCCACGGAGAGGCCCAUUUAGGCCUCGUUCGUUUCACCGGGAUGGGAUUCCAGUCAGGAUUACUUCCAAGUUCGGUUUGAGUGAUUCCACCCGUGUCACUCAAUCCGGCUAGGAUUCAUUCUAUGGGUGAGGAGGUAUGGUUUCAAUCCAGGCCAUCUAAUGUAGAAGGAUUCCAAUCCAGGCCGGUUUUCGUUCCAGGCCAGACUAAAACGAACAACACUUUCAAUGCAAGUCUGGUUUCAAACCGGGCCAUUUCAAACCACCCGGAAUGGACCUCGUUCCAGGCCAAUCCGGUGAAAACAAAUGAGGCCUUAAUGGAAUCCCAAAGCAAGAGUUCAGUGGCAUUCUAUAGUCCCAUGCUGCUAGUUUGAGUUGGUCGAAGCCAACUUAAAUAGGAGAGCUCUCUCACUUCUCUAAAUACGUAACUGAAGGAGAGAAGGGGGCUUGGGUUACACAACGCACGCACGCACGCAUAUUUGCGUUCUUUUCGCGUAACCAACCGCGUGACUUGAAACUUGCGACGUAGCGUGCUGCUAAGUCAAGUUGAUAUAACCUUUUUGCCGUUUGCAUGUAAUCUUUUGACAACGGUCAUUGGAGGUGAUAAGCACGCAGUCAAUACCUUAAUCUUGAGUUAAUAGGGUGGUUACUACUGCCAAUUAGUGGGGCAAUUUUGUAGGGGAAACGGUUAGCAGAGGGCUACCGUCUUCUCUAUAAGAAGUUCUGGAGACGUCCAGGAACACACAUGUACAUGUGAGAGACCCACAAAUUCCUUCCCUUCUCCCUUUUCCAUGUGGUGAAGUGUGCUGUGGUACUGAGCUGCUUGAUCUCGCCGCUCUUCUCCUUGGCAUGCACCGAGGAGGAGGGUGAGCGGUAUCUCCGAGCUAUUGCCGUCAGGAAGCCUGCACGAGGGACAACAAAAAGUUUUUGGGUAGCGCAACUGCCAGCACAACUCUCCCUCCGCCUCUUCUUCACGGUUGAUGGCCACCACAAGCAUAAACCUCGCCUUCGCAUCCACGCAAAAGGGUCGCUGGGGUGCCUUCUUGCAUCGCUUCUCAGCCUCCUUGACUUGCGGCCAGCCAAGAACUGCGCCACCACCUCGGGUGCACGCCACCACUCCAGGGCUGCUACCCCAUGCCUGCGGCCGCCGCCGGCCACCACGCGUGUGCAACCGCGUCGCACCGCUUCCUUGCUUUGUGCCACCACUGCUGCUGUACCACCAGCUCCACCACCUUGGGCUGGUCGCCAGAGUGACUGAUAACUUAUUAUCUGUAACUACUAUUAACUCAGGGAUACAUGCGUCUUUUGCUUCUCCUACUAAUAUGUCCUAAAAUAUCUAGGAUGCCUUAUAUUUCUGGACAGAGGAAGUAUUUGAAUAAAAUGAACCAAUUUAAAAAAAUGUGUUGUACACUACUACAGAAAGACCUAUCAGUGUCAAACCCAAAAAUGUUGUCACCGCCAGUUUUGGGCAUCAUUGGUGAAAGGUUGGCGGUGAUGGGCUUUCCCUUCAACAACGGCACUGGAGCCGACGGUGAUUGACAUUAGAAAACAAAAAAGGGGACCCUACCUAGCCACCCCUGCAACCCGGCCGGCCGUGCCUCCCCUCAUCCCCACCACCUCGCCUCCCCAUGACCCCCCGCCGGCGCCCUUGCGCCUAGCCCCCUCAACUGCCCAGCCGGCCACCCUCAUCACGAGAGAGAGGUGCAUGUUGUAUAAUUGCGUGAAUUUUUUAAUGUUUAAUUUCAUGUAAGUUCCGUGUAAUAAAUUGUACAAGUUUUAUUGUAUAUAUGAAUUCCAUAUAUAUAUAUAUAUAUUUAUAAUUUAAUGUAUGGUUUCAUGUGUAUAUUUCAAUCAUGUGUAUAUUUAGUAGAUUGCCGAUUUUCUUUUUCUACUAGACAAGGGUUGAUGUAUAAUUACGUGUAUAUGUUUAUUGUACGGGCAAUUAGGACAAGUUUUGUAUAAAUUUCUUUUAUUUGAUGGUUGUUGUAUGGUUUCAUGUAUAUACAUUUAUUGUACUACUUUAGACAAUUUUUAAUUUAAUGUUUCUAUGAUUAGAUGUGUGUAUAACUAAUUGUAUUAUUAGUUAAGAUGGGAGCUAAAGAGGAUGAAAGGUAUAUAAUGGAGCAGAUUAUUGCUAGCUCAAACGUUGCAAGAACCUACACCGAGGGUGAGGGUAGCUAGGUGGACAUGUACCUCAACAUGUCCAGUGAUGGCAAUGACGAUGAGGAGCACGAGCAUGACAUCUAUGAUAAUGCGGAACAAGACAUUGCAGAAUUGGAAGGUUCUAAUGAGGUGUGCUUCAUGUUGACAAUCUAGUUGGCUUUUUUUCGUUGGUCACACCUUAGUUACCAUAGAACUUCGUCUCGGGAGAAGAUUGGUGGUGGUAUGGUGAUUGGAAUUUUAUUUCCACGAAAUCUGAUUUCCAUCGAAUCAUAUCCCUUGUAUUUAUCUUCUUUUUAUUUGUGAGAGCAUCUUCUUUAUGCUUGCAAAACAAUUCAAGUGCACAUACUACCCCUAGGGUGACGAUUGGGAGUAGAAAUAAUUGCCAACAAAACAACACCACAUCCUAAGAUUCUUAACUUGUGGCAUAAUUAGUCUAGUAAAAAGAAAGAUAAAAACCUAAUGGGUGUAUGUGAGUGCAAUGUGUAUAUGCAUAUGAGUGGAAGGCAUAUAAGCAAAGACAAUAUUUACACAUAGUUCUAAACACCAUGUUUACAGCUAGGUUGCUGAAUUUCUCCAUAGCCAUAGAGAUUAAUUAACCAAGGUCAAAACACGAUGUCUAUCCCAAGAUCAGUAAUUAUUUAUAGCACAAGAAAAAGAAAGCGCAUUGCAAAGUUUAUAAACCAACCAAUACAGCAUGAAAACAAGAUGAAUAGCUAGCAAGGUUUAUUAAACUGAAUGAUGACGGUCUGUAAGCAAGUUUAAACACCAUCUUUACACAAGAUUGCAAAUGGAAAAUGCCCAUAUGAAGCACUAACAUGGAUAUGAAAUCAUUCAUCAUAAAGCGUAAAGAACAACCAAGCCAACCAUAUGCAAAGCAUGAAUGGAAUGCAAUGAAGGUGCAAGAGAACAUUUUUGGAUGAACACAUUAUGAUGAUGGCAAAAUGCAAUGCAUGCAGAAAAAAUAAAUAUGAACAUGAAUAUGAUGAUCAGGGGCGGACCCACUAUUGUGGCCUGGGUAUUCCUCGGCAUACCCAAUAUUUUUGGGAAAAUGUUUAGUAGUUUUUAAUGGCAUAUACAUGUAUAAUAUAGUUUAGGUGUUAAAAUUGAUAUUCACAGCUAUUUUGGGCUCCAAUUCGCGUCCAAACCAACCUGGCCCACAGACCGCACCCGGCCGCCCGGCCCAUCGGCCCAUCUUGUCACUGAUCCUCCCACCACCACACUCAGCCCGUCAGUUAGUCAGGUCCCGAGCUCCUGCCUGACCUAGUCCGCUACCACCGCCAGGCGCCAGGCACAGCUGUACACGCCGCCCCCGUCCACCCACGUCCGCCGCACGGCCGCGUCGCGCCCCCCCCCGGCGCCCGCUGCUGCCAGAACCCAUUAGGCCUCCACCGGCAAGUCCACCCACAGUCCCGCGCGACGCGGCAGCCUCUUGGCUCUCGGCGCUCGCGGCGCGCCAAUGCCUGCGCAGCCCCAGCAGGCGACUGCCCCCCCCCCCCCCGCAUCGGGCCUCGGCCCCUCCCCAGCUCCCCCUCCCCCCUCCACCAGGACUGCCUGCUGGCCCCCACCGCGAGGUAAUCGAAAUGGACUGCUCAAUCUCUCAAUCUGUUGACAUGAUGCACACGGUUGCAAAAAUAGAUGUGUCAAAAUAGAUGUAUUGCCAAUUGCUAUAGAUGCAUAUGGUUGACAUGAAGAAGUCAAAAAUGACAUUUGGUUCCUUGUAGGCAGUCAAAAAUGAAGAAGUCAAACAAUAUUGAUCUGAAAUCAAUGCGGGAAAGGGCUACGAAGACACACGGGUAGAUUCCCUUGUGAACUUUUUAUGUCGUUCGUCUAAAUAUAUUUUUGCAAUGGGCAUACCCUACUCUGAAAUCCUGGGUCCGCCACUGAUGAUGAUGGUCUAAACAUAAAACAAGCCUAGAUUAAUUAGCUACAACUGAAAUUAAGCAAAGGUUAAUGUCAUUGACCCUAGCUCUAUCCUAGCUUUUACUAAAGUCCCGGCACAUAUAGUGGUUGGGCCCACUCUCUCUACUUCCCUCUCUGCUGCAUGCACACACACGAGCAACUGGAGGCCCAACAAAGCCCAGAAGGGUUCGGCCGAACCCGUCCGAUCCAGUCUGAGCGCCGCUCCCUCCCAGCCUUCGCGCAGAUGCUCCUCCAACGUUCCUUGACCCCUCCCUCAGUGUCCCAUUGGGUUUAACAUUGUAGGAGAGGAGUCCCUUUUUUAAAAUCUCAACCACCUCCUCUCCUCAUUCACUCCACUCUCAUCUCCAUCAAACUCACCAAGAUCCACAUCGGAAAUACCUGCUUACCACCAUGGCUGGCAAAGCCCUCGUCCCUUUCACCAACUUGGGCUUGACCAUUGAUCUCGAUGGGAAAAUCACUCCAGCAAAUGUCAUUGUCCCUGUCGGCGAUCUGGCGAUGGAGGAGGUCCAGGCACUAGAGGUCGAGCCCCUAGCCAUCAUACCGCCCAAGGGGUAAAGCAGGAGCAUGACAGGCGCUGCUAGGGGUUCAGCCGAACUCCCAGUUCAGCCAAACGAGGACGGCGUCGCCUCGGCCUCCCGCUCGACUGCAUGCUUCCCCUUGCCAAGGAGGACUCCAGAACAGCGGGCGCGUGCGUCAAGUCCCUACAAAAGGCUGAAAUACAAUGAAUAUCCAGGGUCACCCUUGAAGAUGGGUGAACGCUACGCCGGGUCCUUGUUUGACUAGUACGGCGAUGCAUUCUGCCACCGCUAUGUCGUUGUCGAGAUUAGCGGAUCAAGACUUAGACUAGUAAAUUUCUUUUAUGCGCGUAAGGCUUCAGAUGGUGGCGUGGGAGACAUGGGUUUUAUACUAGUUCGGGCAAUGGAAUACCCUACGUCCAGUGUCUGGAGCUGCUUGUGUUGCCCACGCGGGGUUCUGUAGUAGGGGUUACAGGUGUGCGAGAGAGGGAGCUAAUCCCAGGUCUCUUAGGCGUGUUCCGGUCCUCUAGAUGGGAGAAGUGUGUUCUGUUUGCUUGGGAGUAUCGGUUGUGUCUGAGUUGUCUCCGGAGCCUCCUCCCGUCUCAGGUCCCCGAUUCUCCUUUCAUAGCACAAGGAGACCAUCGGGGUUACAGACGAGACCGAGCGUGGGGAGGAGUAAAGAGAUAAACAUAGCUAGGUAAAAAUACAACAAGAAAGGGGGGAACCAAGUUUCUAGGUCACCGGCGUCCUCGCCGGCCUUCGACUUCCGCCGGCGCAUUUGUCGGAGGAGGGUGGCCGCCAUCGCGUUCUGUCGAUGGCUUCCUCGGUGACUGUAGCCACCGGGCGUGAUGAUGGCAUUUCGUCGUGACCCUUUGUCUGUUGGGGGAGGCGGCGGAUCCUGCCAUUCUGCUGACGGCUCGCGGAGUGCGAACGUCGCAUCCCUGCCGCUGGGCACGCGGGGCGCGAGAACGUGCGAGGCUUCCCCCUACCCCAGGCGGCGCAGGCCAUGAGUGCCCUGUGGCAAAUCGGAGGAGGCCGCAGCUACUGUAGCUUGUACUGUGCAGCCACGUAUGGGUACUUGUGGCAGGUUGCGUGGUGGAUGCGGAUAUCCUUCUCCCUGACAGAUCUGCGGCGCAUUUAUGGCGAGAUCGACAUGGGGACCCACAAGACCCGCGCCCAAGGCGGAUACUUGUCUGGAGGGCCCGGGUUAGCCUGACCCCCUACGCUUGGGGUCGGGCGAGGCGGAGACUUGCGGCGGGGCGUCGGACGCUCCCGACACUAGACCUGCGGUCGCGCAAGGCGGAGCUUGGUCUUCCGGGGGUCGGGGGUGCCGGACCCCAGGAUGCGGGGUCGGGCGAGGUGGAGCGUAAUUCUUGCCUCCCAUGUUGGGCCGAUGGCAGUCUUUGUUACCUCUAGUGGGCUUGGGCCUUUAUGUUUUGUUGUUUCCAUGGGCUUCGAGAGGUCGUUAAUAUUUCCCCCCAACAGUAGCCCCCGAGCCUGUGGUGGAGUGGGGGCGCUCCUCCGGAGGCUACUAUCAUCGCCCCUAGGGAAUCCUCGCAGUUGAUCCGGGAUAGGAGGUGUUGUUUGCACGGCUUGACCGAGGGGGUCGAUUAGGCGACGCAUCCUGUGAGCGACUCGGUGCGGGAGGGUUUCUUGUUGUUCCCUUCUGUCUGAGAGCCUUAAGUCGAGACCACCUGCGUGGCCUUUGGUUGCAAGGCCAGCCCCCGAGCCCCCGCACGUUGCAGGGGACCGGUCGGAGGCUAGGUCGACUUUUGUUCAUUACCCUCAAGCGUCUGUUCGCUAGGACGGAGGGGGCGAGCCGUGCCAUGCUAUCCUCAUCGGACGAACCAUGGUGCUCAUUGAGUUACUAACGGGUUGAUUCGAGUGGGAUCCCGGUCCCCGUUCGGGGGGGGUCCGGCUUGGGCCAAGCUGGUGGCGUACCCCAGGCUCCGGUCGGCCAGUUCAUAUAGUUCCUGAGUCCGUUCGGUCGGACCGGGGGCUCAUUGCCUUUCUUCGGGGAAAAACCAUGAACUUUGAUGCCGGUCCAGACUCGAAUGUGAGAUUGAGACGCCCGGGGCUGUCGCGUGCCCGGGUGAUGGCCGCUAGCGGACCCGUCUCCUCUCACCCCUCACUCGGGGGUAUCCUGAGGCGGCUGUCGAACCCGUGGCGGGCCAGCCUUCGAACCUCUGGAUCGUAAUGGGCCGUAGGGGCGUUUUCAGCCCCGUAUCCCUUUUUACCUUUUGGUGGGCCUUGGGCCGAAUCAUGGAGGAGGUCGGGCCUUGGGCCGGAUGCGGAGGAUGUCGUGCCUUGGGCCGGAUGUGGGGGACGUCGUGCGUGUCUUCCGGGAGACGAAGUGGUGGAGGGUGCCAACCCGCGAAUCGAGGGAGGAGGGGAUGUUUCUACUGCAGGUCAUGCGCACGGUUUCCGAAAAGGCAGCGGGCGUGACGGGACGUACCUCGCGCCGCAUUUAUUGCGAUGGGGGCGUCUGUUCUGCUUCCCUCGUGCCUUCCCUAUAAAACGAGGACUUCGCCUCGCCGGUUCCGCCCGCCAUCUACCUUCAAGCCUUUUCGCCUCCUCGCGCGCCCUUAGCUUUCCUGUGCCCGCUUCGUCUUCCUCCGCCCAGUGCCGCGCCCUUUCUCCCCAUCCGCCGUCGAGUUCUUCUCCCUCCGGCGAUGGGAUCCUGGGCGCGUUCCCACUUCGGCCCCUCACGCGCCGAAGGCCUAGUGAGGAAAGGCCUCCUUUGCGAGAGGACGGAGACGGAUGAGUGGGGGUUCCCUGAGAUGGAAGAGGUGCCGACUCCGCCCACCGGCUACGUCGUUUCCUUUGCCCACUUCCACGAGAGGGGGUUUGCGACUCCGCCGAGCCUCUUCUUCCGCGGGCUUUUGUAUUACUACGGGCUUGAGCUGCAGCACCUCAACCCCAACGGGAUUCAGCACGUCGCGGCGUUCGUUGCGGUGUGCGAGGGGUUCCUGGGCAUUGAGCCCAACUUCUCGCUGUGGAAGUACUUCUUCACGGUCAGCCUAUACCAGAAGGCCGAGAAGAGGGGAAGCCAGCAGCGGUCGACCCCGGUGCCGAUAGGGUGCGUCGGAAUCCACCUCUGCCAUACUCGCGCCAAGGAGUAUAUCGCGAUGAAGACCGCGGCAUCCCACAAGGGGUGGCACCAGCAAUGGUUCUACGUGAAGAACUACUCCAACCCCCCCUGCCGGAGUUCACCGGCCGCAUUAUUGAAGCGGCGCCGGAGGUGUGGGUGUACGGCCCGGUGGAGAAGGAGAAGAAGCGGAUCACCGGCCUGCUGCAGGCCAUCGAGCACCUGAAGGAGAGGGGACUGACCGGAGCCGGAGUCAUCGGGGCGUACCACGCCCGGCGGGUGGCGCCGCUGAUGCUCCGGGUCCGCUCGCUCGCCGACAUGACCCCCGGUGCUCUCACCGAUGGCACUGUCCUCGCGACGGGUGCUCUCGCUGCCUCCGAGAUCCGGCAGCGGAUCCGGGAGGCGCUGGAGGACAAGGACGCCGAUUACCCGGUGCCCGGCCACCCUCCGAUGCGCCCGGACGAGAAUUUCAUUGAUCUGGUAAGGAUUUUGCGCGCCAGUUUCCCUCUCUUGCGUUUCUUGGUAUGCCGUUCUGACGCGAGGCCCUCUGUGUUUGCAGGGUAGCAUGACCCGGGUCGUCGACUUGCGUCCGCCAGUGUCGGAGGACGCCGAGUGGCGGUAGCAGAACCGUCUCCUUGCCGAGAAGCAAAAGUGACGCAAGGACAAGAGACAGCGAAGAAGAAGAAGAGGGCCGCCAAGGAGUUCCAGCGGCGGCGGUGGGGAUAGGUCGUGUCGGAUGACGAUGACGAUGAGAAGGAGGAGGAGGAUGACGAGGAGGAGGAGGAGUUUAUCCUGUCCCCCCGGUCAGGGGCGCUUGUUAUCCGGGAGCCGCGCUCCCAAGCGGCCAUGGGGGACAAGGCGGGCGAGCUGCCUGCCCGGACCCGAUCCUGCGAAGCUUUGGGGGCGCGCCCCAGGGGUCGGCGCAGAGCGCCCCCCGGGGGUCGACGGAGCCGACCCCCAUCCCUACACCUGCAGCCCAGGAGCAGAGGAGCAGCGACAAGCGGCCGUUGCCAGAUGCCCCGGGGUCGGCGUCCAGCUCAGAGGCGAAGCGCGCGCGCCGCCCUUGCGCUGGGGGAACGUGAGUUGAAUUUCCUUGCGAAUCUCGUUCCUUUCCAUGCAUUGUGUUUGUUUCCGCUGAUGCUGUUUGUUGUCUCACAGCACCGCCCCUCAAGGCCUUGUCCCGCCGUUGGCGCCAAAGAAGGCGUUGCGGUGUUGUCGCCUCUGCGGGGCGGACCGCGGCUCCGCCGGCGGCGAGUGGCGGGGUCACUGGUGAGACCGCGGGUCCUACCGCGGAGGUGGCCCCUGCGGCGGCAACCGGUGGAGUGGUGCCACCGCCGGGCAUGGGACAGGGUCUGGACCCCGCUCCGUCCUCCGCCUCUUCGGCCGACCCCGCGGUGCAGAGUAUCGCUCCUGGGGGCCCUCAGGCCGGGGAGGUGAUUGACCUCGACGCCGACGAGGUGGAGGAGACGGCGGCGGUGGAGACGGGGGCGGUUGCCCCAGCGGCCAUGACGGGGACGACGACGGCGACGGGGGAAGGAGAGUCUACCCCCGCGGCCACGGCGGGGACAGUGGCGACAGAGGAGGCGGGGACGCCCGCCCCGGCGGCUGCGACGGAGGAGGCGGCGGUGACGGAGACGGGGGCUUCCGCCCGGGAAGCCACAGCCGAGGUGGCAGCGGCGACGGAGGUGAAAGUGCCUGUUCUGGAGGCCACGGUGGGGGUGGGGACGCCUGCCUCGUGGCCACGACGGAGGGCGAGGCGGCCCCAGGGACACUUGCUCCGGCACCCGCGUUGGAGGCGGUGGCGCCGACGGGUUGGCCCGUGGCGGCCUCGACGGGGGCGGGGGUGCGUGCGCCGGGACCGUCGGUGAGGCCGGCGACUUCCGGGAUGGUGGUGCCCGUCUUGACGGCGGCGGCGGCGCGGUCGGCCCCCGCCCUUGCCUCUACCACUCCCAUUCCCAAGGCGUGGAGCGGAUCCGUCCUGCGUUGGUCGUCUCGUGACGACCCGCAGAGGCCCCUCUUCACGUUGGAUGAUGCCACAGAAUGGGGCAAGUGGCAGGCGCUGCAGGGCGGACUCGCUAACGUCCGCGCCGCUCUAUCUUCGGCGUUGGGGGAGCUGGACGGCGUCAUCUUCCCCGGUGGCCGGGUAUGGUGCUUUCUCCGUUGGUUAUUUUCUUCCCGUUACUUCGUCCCUGAUGGCACAUUGUUCUGCAGGCCCUCCAAGAAUGUAGCCGGGGAAAAUCUGAUUUCCUUUGGCUCGAGCAGGGGCUCUGGGAGCGCUUCAACUUGGAGUUGCAGCGGACCGGGGAGCUGACCAUGCAAGUCGCCACCGUCUAGCAUGUCAUCGACGAUCUGCGAAGGCACGAGCAGGCGGCACAGGAGGACGCGCGGCGGGCGGAGGCCAAGUUCCAGGUCGUUGCCGAAAGGGCUCGCUGCGACCGCGAGGAGUUCCAGGCCGUUGCCGAAAAGGCCCGCCACGACGCUGAGGAGCUCGCACGGCUGAAGGUGCAGCAUGAAGCUCUUCAGAAGAGCGGCAGAGGGCCUGGCAGGACCGGGACGCCGAGAAGGUCCGGAAGGAGGAGGCUGAGAAGGUGGCGGCCAACCUUGGGGCUGAGGUCAGCCAGCUCCAAGUGCAAGCGCGAGAGCUUCAGGCCUCCGUGGCCCAGGGGCUCGACCAGGAGCGCCAGCUGAAGGCCUAAUCCGAGGGUAUGACUCUGUUUAUUUCUUUGUCUUUGUGAUGUUGCGGUGAUAUUUUAUUUGGCGGGUUCUUCUGGAUGAUCCUUGCAGAUGAGCUCAACUGGCUGAGGGAGGUGCUUGACGCGGAGCGCGCUGAGCACGGCGACCUGCGGGACGCGGUCCGCGUCAUCUGUGACUUCCUUAGUGUGGUCCAGGGGGAGGGGACGAGCUCGCUGGCGGCUCGUGUCCUCGGGACGUACCGCCGGACCAGCGAGAUCGCCCUGGAAGCGCUUCGCACCGGCUUGAGGCAAGCCUUUGGGGUCUUCGGCUCCCACUAUUCCGGCAUCAACUUCGCCGGGAUGAGCGGGGGAUACGCCACCGGCUACUACGAGGCCGAGCUGGAUGAGAUCGACGUGUCGGUGCUCAGCCCGGCGGAGGCCUUGGUGAAGCUCCUCGAGGAUGAGGCCGUCCCGCCCGAAGAUCCCCGGACGAGUUAACUAUAUCGGGCUGGCGCCCCAGAUGUAAAUACGUUAGGGAAAGACUUGUUUUUUGUGAGGGCCGUAGAGGCCUUUUCUAUGAAUUGUCGUAAAAAAGUUUUUGAUUCCCUUUCUUGCUUUUUGGACUUGGAAAGUUUAGAGCACGUUGUCGGGCGUGUCAGUAAGCUUUGAUGAGCGAAGGCACCGUAGCCGCUGGGGCGUCGUUUUUUUUGCAGUCCGAUCAAUCUUGCCUGAACACCGUUCGUGCACUUUCUCCUUUUUAUGCCCAAAAGUUCAGAAAGAGGGUCGGCUCGGAAAGAGAAAGCGUUUUGAGAGGGUGUCAAGUGGCUUAGGUACUUGCGGCAGGUUGCGUGGUGGACGCGGAUAUCCUUCUCCCUGACAGAUCUGCGGCGCAUUUAUGGUGAGAUCAACAUGGGGACCCACAAGACCCGCGCCCAAGGCGGAUACUUGUCUGGAGGGCCCGGGUUAGCCCGACCCCCUACGCUUGGGGUCAGGCGAGGCGGAGACUUGCGGCGGGGGGUUGGACGCUCCUGACCCUAGACCUGCGGUCGGGCGAGGCGGAGCUUGGUCUUCCAGGGGUCGGGGGCGCCUUACCCCGGGAUGCGGGGUCGGGCGAGGCGGAGCGUAAUUCUUGCCUCCCAUGUUGGGCCGACGGCAAUCUUUGUUACCUUGGGUGGGCCUGGGCCUUUAUGUUUUGUUGUUUCCAUGGGCUUCGAGAGGUCGUUAAUAUUUCCCCCCAACACUAUGAGGAGGACUUGUGGGCAGAAAGUCAGCUACCACAAACUUGCCUCUGAAUAUUUGGAGUGCAAACAUUGGAUGGUGGUUGUGGAGAGCCCCAGCCAUACCUCGCACCCGUGGAGAGGUAAUUGUCGGAUUGCUUGGUUCGUCUCUAGAAUGCGACAAGGUCAGGCGCCACCUCUCACUGCUGCCAGUCAGAAGGCCGAGGGGCCAGUUUCAACAUAGUAAUGAGAAUCUCCGAAGGCCAAUAUGGUUAAGCAGCUAACCUCCAUGAUCAUAGACUUACGUUUAGAAAAUAGGAGGCUUAGCGAUGCGUUAACAGAGCAGAAGUUAGAAACAGAAGAACUUAAGGACGACUUCCGUGUCCUCCGCCUUGGUCUUUGUGCUAAGAUAAAGCGCUUGUACAAUGCCACGGGGAAUGACGGUCUCUACGAUGCAGCUCAAUAGACGUGCCCCUUGUAUCCUUUCCUUUAGGCACUUUAGAAUAUGUUUAUUUGUUUUCCUUCAUUUUAAUUUCCAAUAGAUUGUUAGCGCCUCCAAUUUAAUUUCAAUAAAGUGUAGACUCACCGGUCAUCCAACUUGAUGGAGUCCUUUUGUCACCUAGUUGUCUUUGGAAGAAGUAGCUGGGUACAAAAUAAGUGUGGGGGAGAGCCACAGACUCUCUAGAGCUGAAACAAUGCACAACACCCACAAAUAGAGAAAACCACGCUGCACCAGCACGUACGUGAAAGUGGAGCCAGAGCUGGACCCAUAGGGGUUUGGCCAACCCAAGGGGUGGCCCACUCGGGCCAUCUUCAUCCACCGCGUCGGUUUGUGUCUCUUUACCCCUGAUCUCCCUGAUUCAUGAGUUUGAAUGAAUUUUAAAUCUGAUCAACUAAUUCAAACUCAACUAAAAUGAAUCAACUGCUCCACCUGCUCUACAUGUUUUCUAUGGUUGGCUUGCAUAUGUUUUAUUUCAUGCUUAUCAUCUUGAUGCUUGUGAACAAAUAUCUUUAGGACAGCAUGCUCAUCUAAGUAGUUGAUGUGUAUGAUAUGGUUCGAUGAUAUGAUCUUCACUCUUAAUGCUUAAGUGCUUGGGAAAAUCUAUUUGAAAAUUUAAAAGCCUUUUUGAAAUCUCCUCUUUGAUGUGCCAAAGUCCUACCAAAGCCAUAUGAUAAGUUAUCUUGAAAAACCAUUUGCAUAUGUUGCUUGUCUUUGCAUUGAGCUUUGUCAAAUUGGUGUGACCCUUGUCACAAUUCUUUUCAUACUUUCAUGAUCAAGACUCAUGUGCACGCCAUAUACCCCUUGCUAUGCUUCUAUGAGAUGUUAGCAUUGUACCAUCCAUUCAUUCCACAAAAUAAAUGCUCCACCAUAUGUGUUGGUCUCCUUCUAAGAUUAUUGUUACAAAAGAGAUAUGGGCUAUCAAAAAAAAAUAUGAAUGUCCAAGAAAGUUGGACACAUGAAUGUCCAAUAAAAAGAAAAAGAAAGAUAGCCAUGUCCUCAGAAAUAUUUACAAAGGGAGAGAGAUCAUACAAAAAGGAGUUUCCAUUCCAUCCACCACAUCCAUACAUGUGCACAUCUUGAUCUGAUUGUAUGACUUAUUUUUCUCUUUGGAUCUGGUCUUUGACUUUGCAAUAUAUGUGAUGCAAGCAUGCCUUAUCCUUCAUAGCCUACCUUGAGCUCCACAUAUAGCCAUCAUUAGAAGUAGGAUGAAGAAAGGCAAGUCUAAUGCCUUGGUGAGGACAUAUACACAUUGAGUGAUCUGAGAGAAUCAAAUGAGGAGCUAAGCAAGGUUUUGUUUUGAAAACUAAUUGAAAAAUCCCAAGCUACUUGGCAUAAGGAGUUGAGGUGACUUGAUUCAAGACCAUUACAUUCCUCAACUACCCAAGAUGGCAUGAUAGACACUCCAAAGUUCACAAGUGCAGGUAUGGUUUGGAAUAUCUUUUAGGCUCGCUUCAUACCUUUGAAAGUUAUGUUUCACCUUAGUCCUUUCUCGUUCACUCAAGGAUAAGCAAAGGCUAAGUGUGGGGGUGUUGUUGAUGGCUCUUAAGUACAAAAUCUGCGCCAUCAACUCUUGCAUAAACACAUAAAAUAUGAGCAUCAACAAUAGUGGUAGGAGUUAUUACAAACGAAUUCCACAAGUCUUGGUGAAUAUUUGUAUGCAAGCCCAAUAGGAGAGAAAAGACACCUCAAAAGCAAGGAAACACACUCUCAACCAAUCAAGAGCAAGCACAUGGAACCAUGGGCCCACAACCAAAAGGAAAUCGACUACAUUCCAAACACCCUAUACCCACAUGAGAACCCAUAGGGCAGUGACCCAGAGCAAAGGUGAUGCCAGAGUGUAGAUGGUAGUUAGCAUGCCAAAUUUUGAACCGCAAGCGCUCGGAUUAGUUGUUUCUUUUCCCUUAGAGAUUCCCCCAAGGUUUAUCAAUCCAUGGAACAAGGGAUUUGCACGUUUCACUAAGCACUAAUCAAUGUAAUUGAAAGCUUUUCGAAUAAGAUAUGAUUAUGCUAACAAAGGAACUAAGCAAUCUAGAUUAAGAUGGAUAGAGAGUACAGGUUGUGAACAAGAUAGAUUAAACGCUUGUAGAUGCAAUCACCAUGCAUGAAUGAAUUAGAUCUAGGUGUUAUUGUGAGUGGUUGUGAACCAUGCCCAACACUUUCCCACCCGCAACAUUGUCACUACAUGUGGGUACUCAACUAUCGGAACAUAAGAACACAUCAAGAUGAUCAUUCUAGGUAAGCAAAUAAGCAACCCAAAGUAGCGCUGGCCAGCCUUUUCAUGAAAGAGCAUCAUCAAGAUAAGAUUGAUAACAAAAUAGAUCUCAACCAAAGGUUCAGCGAUUACAAAUCAAGAUCUUCGUAUAACCCCGAUGACAAAUAGAGGUAUUACCCCCAUGAUCUUACACAUGUUGAUGAAUUUUAGGGUAAAGGACACCCUGUAGAUCAACUGGACCAAAGAUGAUGAUGAACGGGGGCAGGGAAGGCCCAGGUUGAUCAGCCUGCGCACUUUUGAGCCGAUCAGCUCAGGGGGUUUCCUCCUCCCCUGGUGCUCCUCUUCGCGUGGCCUCCUCUGGAUCCAAUCUUCUCUUCAUUUCUCCUACUUGUGGCGGCAAUGGAUGGUGUUUGCAUGGUGAUUUCCUCUUCUCCCCAACUCUCCCUCCUUGAAGUCCAUGAGGGGGUAUUAAUAGUCUCCAAUAGGCGGCAGCUCUGGGUCAAUGUCAGUGAAAAAAUCCUAGAGAUCAUCGUACACUUCAUGCUGAGGAAACAAGAGGUUGACCGAGCCCUGGGAUAGACCAAGAGGAUCAUCCUAGAGGGUCCCAGGCUAAUCGGUCUAGGCCCUUCCUAGCCCUUCUAGUCCUCUCCUUCCUCGUGCUGGCUUUUCUCGAUGACCCUUGUCCAAAUAUCCAUGAAGCUCUAUAUACAUACCCCCUUGAUUAUGUUGUAUUUCCUGUCAAAAUACAAUGCUCCAAAAUACAACACAUAUGCAAUAAUAGGGUUAUUUCAGGUGCCAAUUGGUGGGUUAGUAUACGAAUAAGCAUGAAAAUACUGUUUAAAUGACACUAAAAGUGUGUCAAUAACGAGCACCAACAAUCCCCCCACGCUUAGAUCUUGCUCGUCCUCGAGCAAGUCUAGCGACUAAAAGAUCUUGAAUUAAACCUGAGCAAGCGAGUCAAGUACCUAGCCUUGAAACAAAAGAUUAGAGGAGCAGCAAAGAUAAUCAAAGUCUGGGUGUUCAAAGAUUUAUCUAAGCAAAGAUUCCCCUACAACUAUUAUUCAGAACCAAGUAACUUCAAAAAUCAACUACACUUAUUUUCUGGCUUUUUUCAGAGGGUUUUUCUUUCAUCAUAAAACAAUCUCCCUGCAACAAAAUUGAAAAAAGAAUUAUUUUCAAGGUGCUUACAUGUCGCUUAAAUGAAUGUUGGCUAUCCUACUUAUUUGCAAGCUCUCAUCUCUCAAAAUUCAUUCAAUUAUAUGGUGGAGUUUGGGUAAGGUUAGCUAGAAUCAACACGUAUAUUAUUGAAUUAAGAAAACCCUCUAACGGUGGCCUACCUUCCGAGCCAUUGAUCAUAAGAAUAUCCACAUAAUGUGAAGUUUUCAAGGAUGAGAAGAUAUAGAAUGGUGGACAUGUGCAAAGGCAAAGAAAUAUAGUGACUCUGAGGCACAAGCAAUGUCCUCGUCGUUGGAUUGCAUAUGGUUGUAAUGAAAAUAUGUUCCUUAAACAAGUCUAUCUUUUCUUUGCACCACUCUUGAUCUUCAUGACAGUAAAAACUCCUCCUUUAUUUCUUUCUCUCUUUUCCUAUUAUUUCUUUUUAUUUGUCUCAAUACUUUUAUUUCUUUAUUUCUUUAUUUUAAUCUCUUCUCUGAACCUCUUCUGAACACCACAUAAUAAAAAUAAGUUUUAGAUCCUUCCAGAGACCUUCCAGGAAUUUGCUACAUGAAAACCGAGGCAAGGAGACCCCAGGCCGAUUGGCCUAGCCACUCCUUUGCUCUCCUCUAGCUCUUCUUUCUGGUGAAGCUUCCUUAUCUUGUAUCUUUCCAAAAAUUUCAUAAAGCUCGACUAGAAACGGAACAGAUCUUCAUAUAAUGAGUUGUGUUCAAGGAAUUGGUAAUAAAAUUGAGAAAUUUGUGGUUCGGGUUUACGAAUUCAGUACAAAAAUAUGAUUGUUCCAAUGAAGAACUCUCAUUACUGAAUAUUGACGAGGCAAGCAUUCAAAGAUGGUAAAAAGGAUAUGAUCAAUUCUCAAAAUUAAAGCAAACCAAGAGAGAGCGAUCCUAAUUCAAUUCAAAGUGUCAAAUGUUGCUUAUGGUGGUAUGAAUAAAUAUUUUUAGGCAUUGGGUAGGAUAAAUAAAAACUCUCAACCUGGUUAAAAGAUAUUGAUCAAUCUUGUUUUUGCAGAGGUUUUAAAUAAAAAAUAAAAUUUUAAAUCACCUCCAAUUCAAAGCCUUACUCAUAAAUCAUAAUCAAAACUGAAGCACUUGAUCAUCAUAAAGCAUGGGUAUUGCAUAAACAAAUCGAUUACUAAAACUCCACAACUACGAUUUAGAAUUCAAGACAAUGCUCAUAAUCUAAAGUUGCAAAGAUAAAAUAAAAGACAACCAAGCCAAGGUAGACACUAAAAACACUUGCACGAUCCUUGAAUUUUAUUCAUGCUUCUUCUCACAAAGACGCUAAAGUAGCCAUGUAGGCCUAAGUCUUCCCAAAAGCUUAAGAAAACUACUACUUUAUCUACUUUUGGUUGAAAUAAAAAGACUAAUCUAGACUCUCACAUGAUUCGACUCGACCAAAUUAGAUCCAAAAACUCAUACGAGCGACGAUCUCCCCCCCCUCACGCUUAAAAUCUACGACCUCCUCGUCGUAGCCAUAUGGAGUACAAGGAAAAGAAGCUUGUAAACGCUCUAAUGACGCUACCCGCACUACUUGCACACGGGAUGGUUGCUGCUUCCUUCGCUUUGUUCUUCCUCAUGUUGCUGCACAUCCCGAAGAGCUUCCUCACGUUCCUCUGCAAGAACUUGAACUCGUCCUCCUGACGGCGAUCAUUAUCUUCUGCCUUUUGAUCCAGAGCUUGUAAGGCUUGCAUGAUGUCAUCGAACGCAUCGAAGAGGUAGUGGAUGUUCUUCCUGCAAGCUGUGGAACAUGUACGAUCAUGCUCCUCCGAUUCUGGCCCGUCGUCUUCUAGAUCCUUCUCUUUGCCCUUGUCUUGACGGUGGCUAUCUUGCUCCUUGCUCGCCUUCUUGCCUUCAGCCCAAUCCCAGUACGUGUUGUCAUCUUCUUCAUCGUCACGGCCUGCAGCACCCUAUGAUCCAUUGUCUAUCUUGUAUGAAAGAAUCAGAAGCUUGUUCUCCUCAGGGUGUCUUGCGCGGUGCAGCGUUUGCAAGUGCAAGACUUGCUAGUUCCUUUUACACAUUGUAAUGUUCAUUGCAUGCUCUAAUUGUUCUACAUUUGUAAUUUCUUGGUGAAGUUUGGUUACUGAUCCACUGUUUGAUUAACUCUUGGGCCCAAACACUGUACUACUUCUGAUUAGAUAUCUGUAUCUUGACUUUGACCAAAAAAAAUAUCCGGCAGUUUUUGCCAUUAAAGUUUCAUAAAUCAUCUUGCAAAAAUCGUACUAUACAACAAGGGACGGUUUAUUAUAAAAUAUACGUUCCCCUUAUCACAUGCCACUUCCACUCAAAAGGCAACGAAUCAGUUUUCAAUCCUGAGUGAGCAAUUUGCUUUUAUUACCGAUGCCUCCUAUUCCCUUGUGCACCAAGUUUAUUUUGGAUAGGGCUGCAAAAAACGACUAACCAGCUCGGAUUCUCCACCUGCAAAACCGCAUCUGCAGCAACCAACCCCACGCGGUGGAAAAAAAAACAAAACCUAGAAACCGGACGGGGGUGGAUGUGGGGCUCGGAGCCCAAGCAAAAAACGGAUCGGGAGCGCCGGAGCAGGCCAUCACCGGAUGUUAGAGAUAGAAAAUGGUUGAAGUUUGGAGUGGAAAUCAAACAAGCCUUGGAGCAAAGGAAAAAAAAAGAUCAAACCACUCAAGCAUUCAUUUGAUUUAGAAAAGAGAACAUUUGUUAAGGUGGGGAGUUGAAAUCAUCUUUUAAUUAGUUCCACGUAUCUGGUAUCAUUACAGUUGGUUUACUUGUGUAAGUAUAAGUAGCUCUGCCGAAGCCUUUGCUCCUAUAAUUUAGUAACUAGUACAAAUGGAUCAAUAGGAAAAUCAAGUUGCAAUCAUUUCUCAGCCAACCAAACCUAUGUAAAUCAAAUUAUUGUCCAUGCCCGGCAUGCACAGGUGCCUGCCAUGCAUGCAUUGUUGCUCCAUUGUAAUAACCAUUAUUGUCCAUCGAUGUUGCAGCGCAUGUGUGCACUGUGCAGACACCAAGCAUCGAGAUUAUGUACUAGUAAGGUGUUGAAAUAAUGGGCCUAGCCCAUAAGUAAUUUCAGAAUUUCAAAUAAAUCUCAAAGGCCCAUGUGGGCAAGAGGUGGAGUGGUGCAAGUCUUUAGUCCCACAUUGCUAGUCGAGGGGAGGGAUGACCAACUUAAAUAUGGAAGUUGUCUCCACUCCUCCAAGCUAUGUGUGAAGGGCGCGGGCGCGAGGCACUUGCGUGAAUGGUCCGCCGAAAUCUGGCCCCCCUUGCGGGGGCGCGGCUUCCUUUUGCCGUUUUAUUUUUUGGUUACUUGGUCGUUAAGUCAUGGAAUCCUAACCGGUUUAGAUCACGAUCGUGAAGGUUUUUGGGAAGCGCUCUGCGCGACUGCUCGAUCGCUUCUUCCGCUUCGUCAAGUUCUUCGUCGACUCCUUCACCACGGCUCGUCUACCUCUUCGUCGCUCGGGCCUCACUCGUCGUCGCGAACAACGUCAGGCUGCUGAUCGUCGUCGCCUGCUGUAUCCGGUAGUCGUCCAGGAGCCGGUUUUCAUCAAGAAAGAAACGUACGGUCUCUUAACUCACAUUAUGUCUUCCAUACUAGCUAUUAUGAUUGUUGCAGUCUGAUAGCUCUGGAUAGUAUGGUAGAAUGUCUGAUUCUAUUUGCAAUGAUAGACUUGUCUAGAUCUUGCGUAGACAUGUCUAGUUUAAUCUGCUGCUUGUUCAUCAUAUUCAUGAUUUAUUUCUGGAUUAAGUUAAAACUAAAAGUGCUUAUAUAUCCAACAUAAGGUACCAAGAACACGUGAAGCACCCGGGGGAGGCUGCUCCACUCCGCAUGCACAGGUGGGCACGGCACCACUACUCGUCUCCUUCAGGCUGAGGAUAAGUGAUGUACGCUGAUCAACAGACCACGACGGAACCAGCAAUAAUAGUUUCAGCCUGCCUCACAGUAAUUAAUAUAUCCUGUAUCCUCCGAGGACCCCUCCCCUUAAUCUUGGCCUAUUGCAUCCAAUAAUGAUAUGUGUGUUUAUCCAAAUUUACGGCACCUUUGGCGGGGGUUCCACCCAGCUCCGCCCUCUCCACCUUCGGUACUCCAUGGGAAACCAUUCCUUUGGAAUCAAGGAAGCUUGAACAGUAUAACGAAUAAAGUUUCAUAUAUCCAUUUGAUUUCACAUGAAAUAAAAUAUUCUGUCAGAACCAAUGGUUUCACUGAAGCUCCAGGCAGCGAGCGAAGGGGUGAGAGAGGAUAACGCUUACUGUGUGUUACCAUCGCGUGCACCAUGGAUGACCAACGCGCAGCCGAGAUGAAACGGCGGACCUAAACAGGUCCUCGCUAUUUUUGCAGGUUCUCGACCAGGCCAGUUCUUUAGGCCAACCUAUCAUUCACGAGUUAAACAUACGGUGGCUGGAGAAAUGUUCUAUUCUUUUAAACAAUACCAGCUGGUUCCUCCGUUUUUAUUCCACCAAUACAAGCACCACCUUGUAACAUUUCCUAUGUUUUUUUUCCUUUCGUCUGUUUUCUCACUACAUGCGUUGCUCUUUCAUGCAUUUUUUUCCAUUCCUGUAUUCCAAAUAGGUCUACAUGAACACAAAAUGAACUAGGGGACAGAAAAAGCCAGUGAAGUUAGUUUUGAGCUUCACCAGCUACUUGCUACAUAAAGUGUGCUAUAGUCGCAGAAAAGCUAAGCUGGAUCAGACGUGGCCGAAACAAUGCCAAAGAGCUAGGUCCCUAGCUGAUGGCAACACAUCAGAUGACUAGCCUGCUUUUCUGUAAUAAUGAUAUUGAGCAAUACACUGCAUGGCUAACCUGCUUUACAAUAAUUGUCAUUUUAUAAUAUUGGUCAUCACGAGAGAUGCACAUUGCAUACACCGGCCCAUCCCUAUAAAUAGCCAAGCCUUUCAGCCAUCUUGGGCACCUCCUCUCAGGGCCUCGUCUCACCAUCAGACAUCUCGUUCCCAGUUAUAAUUUGCGAGGUUAGAUCAGGCUGCGCCAUGGCGUCCGCAACUGCUGUCAAGAUCGUCGCCACCUUCAUGCUGGUGCUGACCAUGGGCCACCUGAUGGCCGAAGCAUCACCGCAGCCUCGGCGUGUGCUUGCAGAAACGGAGCAUGCUGCGGUGUCCGGGAAUCCUGGCCUCCCAGGUGAUGCUAGCGUCAUGCAGGUCCUCGAACCCGCCCUAGUUUCUCGGCUUGCCUGCAAACCAGAGUGCACAGUCCCUUGGCCUCCUUUUGUAUGUAUCUGCUAGAUCCUCUUCCUGGCUCAACGGAACUUCAGGGAAAUGGCUGUGACGUCGGCCAAAGAAUAAAUUGGAUGAACAUAAUAUACCCCGGGUAGUGUAGCUUGGGCUUUUGUUGAGCGUCUGGUGCUAGUUGUAUUUUGUUUGCUCAUGUGGCUUUGCUUCUGGUUGCAUAUUGGCUUUCCUAUCGCUCUCUGUUGCAGCUAUGGUUUCUGCCAGGUGUGUGUUAAUGCGGUUUGUAAGCGGUGCUUGUUCCUACCUUCUGUUUUCAAUAAAAGAAGUCGGAGUCUCCCUCCGACUCUUGUUAUCAGUCAACAAAAAUGAGUUGUAUCAUAUAUAUCUGCGUCUUUUUUCUACGUAUCUUUGGGCUGCUUCAGCUGGAAGUUUAUCGUAAGUACGUGUAUCAGGAUGAUCGUUUGAAUUAAAACGAAAUGAUAAUGUGUGGCUGCUAGAAAUGGAAUGAGCAUCUUACUAUAUUACUAAUUGGAAGCCUCCACGUGAAGCCACCUAGAAAUUCUAGGUGGACGUUUUAAAAAAAACAAAACUCAUAGAAGCCUCCACCACCUAGGAAUCCUAGGUGGACACUCUAAAAAGAGACAAAUCCUAGAAAUUCUAAAAAAAGAAAAAAAUAAUAACAAUAAGAUUUUUUUGCAGUCAAUUACAUAUAUUUUUUUGAGACACCGUGCUGCUAGCUCUUGCCAUUGCGACCAGUAAAGCAAGCAGAUAGUAAGAUGACAUGCGUGUGGAUUGAUUAAAACAAAUUCAGUUAGUUGAUUCUAAAUCGUAUGUAUCCUAAAAGGAAGAUAUGUGCGUGCAUGGUCCCUAGCGAUGACAUGUAGACAUGUAUUGCAAUUUCUUUUUUAAAAAACAUGUCUAUCUCUAAACCAACAAACAGAAAAAAUAUCAAUCUAAAUCUAAAUCUCUUCCGUUCUCACACGCCUAUUAAAGAGAAGACAACCAAUCCCAUCCAUGUUCCAUAGAAUCCAUCUAAAAGCUUGCUCACUGCGGACGGCAUUUGACGGCAAAUCAAUGAAAGAUCAUCCUCUCCAAAUAGCUGGACGGCAUCACCAUCUUUAUCUCACCAACCUACAGAGCUACAACGAUGUUGUAGAGAUCAACUAGGUAACCUACCAAUCACCCUCCCCUUUUCUAUAUGCUCUAAAGAACACGUGGAGUAAUUAUAGGCCUAUAGGAGCCGACUAACCUAGAUUAAUAUGAAAAAUAUUCCAAUAUUAAAAGCAAGCAGAUAGUAAUACUUGCCUUUGACCAUUUUUCUAGAACUGUUAUUCCUAUUGAAUGUUCAAGUGCUACGGCCAGGCAUCGAAUGCCUGCACGGAACCUUCCUAUUGAAUGGUUACUCUAGAGAUCAACGCACCGCGAGACAUUUUUAUGGAAUUUGUUUGAUUCCCCUUCUACAAUUAGAUUAAUUUUUCAUGGCAUAUAUUACUACUAUUAAAUUAUUUGUUUAUUGUCGGGCCUGCUGCAUGUGUGGUAUAUAUGACUUGCUUCUCACCAUUGUUCUCAAACUAUUAUUCCUAUCGAAUCUUUCUAUCGAAAUAUAUUUUAAUUACUUGAUUGUUGUUUGUGUACCAUAACUUCUGUAUAGAAAAAUUCCAUGUUUGUAGAUAAUGUCUUUUGUAUAGAAAAAUAGCCCAAUUAGAUCCAUCACCAUCUUUUGCUUAUGUAGUUGAACAAGUUGCAAUGUUGAACAAAACUUUAAGUGAAAUUAGACCAGGAAAAGGAAUUGUGGAACAUUAAGGCAAGGGUAACCAGAUUGUGGAAUGCAACCUUACUCAGUAGUGGCGAACAAUUAAGUCUUGACAUGAUCCUUAUUGAUCAAAAGGUAUGAUAGAUGUUCACUUUGAUUGCAUUAUUGGUAUAAUUUUUGGUUUACAAAUUAUUAAUGAUGAUGCAAAAUUAGGGAACCAUGAUCCACGGUGUUAUCAAUAAGCCCUAUAUGAAAAAGUUCAAACCAUUGAUUGAAGAAGGCAAUGUGUACAUAAUUGCAAAUGUCAGAAUCACACCAGAACCACAGAAGUAUCGGCCAGUGGAAAAUGACAGGAUAGUCAACUUCUUACCCACAACUGCACUAAAAACGAUCAAAGAUACUGAAGACAUUCCAAAGUAUAGUUUUAACUUCAUGAGCACGGAUAUGCUUUCAGCAAGAAUAAAUGUGGACAUGUACCUAUUAGGUAAAACAUUACUGGCUUUUCAAUUUUUACACUUCCACUCAUUAAAUGACCAUCUAAUAAUAAUACAUAUUUAUGUUUCAUAGAUGUUAUAGGUAUCUCAGCUCACAUUGGACCGAUAGAAGAAACAAGGACAAACUUCGGAUUUACUAAAAUCCGUGAUAUUGUGCUCCUGAUCGAGUAAUUCUCUUUUCUUUUGUAGAAAACAACUACAAAACUUUCAACAUUUACAUGUAUGUUAUAGAACUUCUGUUGAACUAAAAAAUAUCUUCUACAGUGCCCCUACAAAUAAUUAAUUUCGUAGUUGGAUAUUUAAAAUAUUUAUUAUUCACUUUUAAAUUUGUGGCCAUGAAGUUAAAGUUAGAUUUUGGGGAGACAAAGUUGAGGAAGUUGAUGAUAAGACAAAAUCCCAUGUCAUUGCAAUAACAUCUACAACUGUGAGUAAAUUUGGCAGUAAGUCUUCAUUCAAUAUGAGUUAUUCAAUAUUAGUCAUUCAACAAACUAACCUCGUAAGAAAAAUAAAUAAUUGAUGUUUUAUCAGGGUAUUCUCUAUCGUCAACCAAUGCAACAAAACUUUAUGUAGAUCUACCUAUUCCUGAAACUAAGGAUGCACAUGAUAGGUGAGAAAAAUUAGAUAUUGUUUUUCUAUUUUAAUCUAUGUAGCAUGCACUCUAACAUGAUACAUUCUUUCAUAUGAUAAAAAAAUGUUAGUUCAAUUGAAAAUAUUGUCAAAGAGAUUCAUAUUGAGGACCAUCUAAAAGGGACAUUGGAAGACCAAAUGCAGUACAAUAGAAGAACUUUAGAAGAAUUAAAUUUCAUAUUAUUUGAAACAUCAAAUCAGGUAUGGAUUAGUAUGUUCAUUGUACACUAUACUAUUUAAAGACUUACAUACAUAAUGAUGGUAUUGUUCCUACUUUCAGGAUGAGGUAUUUACUAUUGAAGCAACAAUAAAUGAAAUUAAUGCAACAUAUGGUUGGUUGUCACACCCGAUUUUAAGGACAAAAUUGAGUGCAUUAAAUACAUGUGCACCAGGAUCAAGUUACACACAUCCUAUGAGUACCGUCCUUCUUUGGCACAAAGAUAACCGGUGCUCCCCAUGGUGAUGAACUAGGCCGAAUAAACUAUUUUGCUGAUAAUUCCUCUAGUUGUUGUUUCAAUUCUUUUAAUUGUUCAACCAACAUUCUAUAAGGACGUUUGGAGAUAGGUGCAGUACCAGGUAAAAGAUCAAUAGCAAAUUCAAUGUCGCGGUCAGGUGGCAUACCUGGUAAAUCGUCGGGGAACACAUCCGGAUAGUCACACACCACUUUGAUAUCUUCCAAGGAUUUUCCAGCCAACUGAUUAACUGCACAAUCUGCUGCUGAGGGUAGAGUAGCUACAAACUCCACUUUCUCUCCAUCAGGACCUGUUAGCAGAACUGUCCUCUUGGCACACUGAAUCGUUGCAUCAAAAGCGGCUAACCACCUCAUCCCCAGAAUUACAUCGAUUCCACUGGACUCAAGGACGAUAAGAUCAGCCGGAAACUCUAUACCCAUUAUUCUCAGUUUAACUUGUGGACAGAUGUAUUGAGCCUUCAUUGACCCCCCAGGUGAACUCACUAGCAUAUGACGCCUCAUGGUAUGCAUGGGUAAAUUAUGCUUUGCUACAUAAUGACUAGUGACAAAAGAAUGCGAUGCUCCAGAGUCAAAUAAAACUGAUGCGGGGGCAGAGUUGACAAAGAACAUACCAAGCACUACAUCUGGAGCCUCCUUAGCAGUCUCGGCUUCCAUGUGGUUCACCUUGCCACAAACAAAGCUUUGCUGCCCCUGAUUGCCUUGUGGGGUCUGGUUCCCAUUCCUCGGUUGCUGCAUCUGAUUCUGCCGAGGAGCACUGCUGUUCUGCACGGGGGUAGCUGGCCCACCUCUCUUAGGACAAGAGCUGGCAUAGUGACCAACCUCGCCACACUUGAAGCAGGUAGGACCCACUGGAGCAUUGGGCCUUGUUGGAGUGCCAGUAGGGGUCAUCUGGCGGUUCUGCGUAAAGCUUGGGCGCGGAGUCUGCAUAGUCUGCAUCCCUGGAUGCUGGAACUGAGGGCUAGGGCGCUGGAAUGACUGCUGAGCAGGGCGCGGAAAUGAGUGCUGCCAAAAAUUCCCACUCGGGCCCCCUGCGCGGAACGGCGUCCCUUGCUGUGGAGCAAAGCGAGGGCGGGUGUUGCUUCCUGAAGACUACUGGGAAUUGAAUUUCCUCUUCAUCUCCCCGAGCUCGUUCCUCUUGUGUUCCAGGCCAAUUGCCUUGUCUAGCAUCUUCUGGAAACUGGGGAAGGUGUGCGACAUAAGCUGAUAUUGGAGUGGUCCAAUCAACCCAUCCAAGAAUAGCUCCUGCUUCUGCUCAUCAUCAGCAACAUCUUCGGGAGCAUAUCGGGACAACUGGACAAACUUGUCCCUGUACUCUGCCACUGUCAUGUUCCCCUGCUUGAGAGCAAGGAACUCCUUCUUCUUAAGCUUCAUCAAUCCGGAAGGAAUAUGAUGACUUCUGAAGCUAGUCCUGAAUUCAUCCCAGGUGAUGCCAUUAGCAUUGGCAUGGGUGGUGGUGUAAGCAUCCCACCAAUCAGCAGCUGGCCCUUCCAGGCGUCCUGAAGCAUACAGGACCUUCUCCCUGUCAGUACAUUGGGCGAUAUCCAGCAUCUUCUCCACUGUUUUCAGCCAAUCAUCAGCAUCUAAUGGAUCCGGAGAAUGUGAAAACGUCGGGGGCUUGUGGCUCAUGAACUCCCUAUGCCUGUCCCUUGGCGGCGGCUGCUGCUGGUUGUUGUUGUUGUUAUUGUUCAGCUGAGCUUGUAAAGCUGCCACGGUGUUGGUCAGUCCGGCGAGAAGCUGAGUCUGAGCUGCUAGAAACUGCUCCAUCCCUGCAGGUGCUUGUUGGUUCUGUUGCGGAGCGGUGUUGGGAUUGCUGCUGUUGUCCCUGUGGCGUGGCACUGUGGGACGGUCAACUCCUGAUCCGGACCUGGUGUUUACCAUCUGAGCGUUAGAGACAAUGGAUUUAGAUAGAUGUGUGAAAGAAUAACUGAGAAAGAUAAAGCGACCAGAUGUAAAAGUAACACAGAUUCUGUUAGCUCCAUUUAAUUAGGUGUGGUCGUCAGAAGAAGUGUCCAUAAAUUCUGAACAAUUACCAAGUCGUAACUUAUUAAAUUUGUAAACCAACCCAACUGGAAUCAUCUCAAUCGGACUUCUGGAUCUCGAGUUACAAAAUUAACAAGCUGACAGUGUCGGUCGAUAGGUUCAGAUUCUGAGUGCUUUACUAAUUCGCAUACACCUCCCAGACAGAUACACCAAAAAUUCUGAAAAAUUUACAGAUAGUACUCCACGAAAUUCUGAAACUAACCCCACUGGUUUCAUGUCAUUUGGACUUCUGUAGCUAGAGAUAUAAAUAAAAAAGUACUGGCGUGUCAGUUAAUGUCGAGAACAGAAUUGAAUGUCGCUUAGCUUGCGUGAUGGAUAGAUUUAGACAGAUGGUAGAUCAUGAUUAAGGAAGAUUAAAUACUGAUUUAGAACAGAAAUAAAACCCAACUAAGCACUUUAUUUAUUAAGACCAGUAUCGUGUGGCAAUUGCCCCACAUACCGCACUCAUUACAAAAUCCAACUCAAACAUGUAGCACAAAACCAAUCAUCUAAGCACACUUUAACUAACACACUCGAACGACGUCUAACGAUUACAAGAAUUUAAACUAAAACACUCCUAAUUUCCUAGAGGUCUUCUGCGGCGGUGCCGGGCGAGUCGUAGCGGGGACGCUUAGGCGACGGCGACGAAGCGGGAUGAACAGCAAACUCCUGCGGCGGCGGUGCUCCCGUCGCGGCAGCCAUAUUCGCAUCCCUCUCCCACCGGAGUUCCUGAACCUCCUGUUGAAGCUCCUGGAUGUGGUUGUUUGCUUCAUUCAAUGCGGUGAGAGCUGCCGACGUGUACUUGCGGAGGAAGUCUGUAGCCAUGUCAACCCCAUCGUUAGUAGCGAUGAAGGUUCUUGCUUCCCCACUAGCUCGGUAAGGAAGGAACCGAUGGUAAGUGUGCUGCAAUCGCGGCCGUUCCUUGUGGGAGACGACCUCAAGUGCCCUCCUGGCGGCCUCGGCAAUGCCGGAUUCCAUGGUCCUCCUUAUGGUCACAUCAUGGUGAAAAGCCUUCACCUCCCAUCCUCCCUCGUGCUCCUCACGAAGGACAACCUUCACCUCCCAAAAAGUGGGAUAGCGAGGGUGGGUGAACCGGGAGCACUUGUAGAGUGGCCUCAUGCCGUACCCCAAGCGGUGACAAGUCCACCUGAGUAUGUCGGCCAUGUGCACUCCUUGGCCAUAAUCUUCCUUCACCCAUUUGAUCCAUGUCUCGGGCUCGGGAUCUGCUUCGGGCUCAUCAUCCGUCAAGUCGACGACCGGUACGGGCGUCGGGGCUGGUGCAGGAGCGGGCGCCGGUGCUGGCGACGGUGCUGGUGACGGCGUGGUCUCCUGCUCCACGGUCACGGCGUCCCCGUCAGAGUCAUCCCCCGGAUGCUGGAAGAUCUCUUCCUCUUCUUCCUCGUCCCAAGGCUCCAUGGGGGCGUACGACGGCGCGAUGCCAUGACGCGGCGGACGGGUGCUCUUGCGUGCGGUCAACCGGGUGCGAGCCAUCUAACAGAAAGAAAGAAGAAAAUUUUAGAAUAAAAUUUUGAACAAAGCUAGAUAAUAAAAUAGCAAUAAGGAUGAGACAAAUCAAGUUUAAGAAUAAUUAAGUAGAUUUAAAUUAAGAAAGGUAGGAAUGGCUACUAGAUUAUUAUAAUCCUUAAAUACGACCAUUUUCUAACUAGGCUAACGUCCUACAGUCAACACGGCUCUGGUACCACUUUUGUCACACCCGAUUUUAAGGACAAAAUCGAGUGCAUUAAAUACAUGUGCGCCAGGAUCAAGUUACACACAUGUACGACAAUAGUGAAUAGUAAAGCCAGUGCUAAAUCGAAUAAAGAGAGUAUUAACCAUUAUUACAUGACCGAAUGUCUCAAAUAAACCACAAAGUCUAAUUAUUACGCAGCGGAACUCCAAAGAUGACGACGACUCCAUAGGCAGCUGACUGAAGAAACGUACGCCUAGAACUCCUCGAAGUCGUGGAAGUACUCCUCUUCCCAAUUAACUUGGUCUGAACAGCGGUUUUGCAAGGGUGAGUACACUUAUGGUUGGUACUCAACAAGUCGUGGGAAGUAGUGUAGUGUAAGGCUAAUUCAAGGUAUGGCUAAGGCGUAAAUAGCAUUCGCUUUUAAUUAAGUUGGUCAAAUUUUAUUAGCAUUUACUAAGUAUAAGUUCAUACCACCCGAAAUUAAACAUGAACAUAAAGUAAACCACAUGUGCAUGAAAUGAUAACAAAUUAAAUCCAUCUUCCGAUAAUAUUAUCAUGUGAGGGUCCAGGCCGCUCUUAACCGUGAGCACGGCUGAUUGAUCAGUUUAACACUCUGCAGAGGUGGCACAUCUUUACCCACAAGUCGCGUAAAAGUUCAAAAGAACUUUGGACCCAACCAUGCGGUGUUUGCAAGGCACCAUACCACACUUCCGAGGUGUGAUUGCAUAGGGACGCUACGAGGCCUUUACAAAGAUUCAUUAAUCAGUGGUAACCCGCUAAGGUUUCGGUGUCUGGCGUGCACCACCCAUCCCAGGUAAAAUGCAACGACUCAGUCCCCCCCCUUGAAUCAUCACGAGUAAGGUCACCCCAGACUAAGGUUUCUAAUUAAUCAGCCAAGACCAGAGCUAUUUAGUCUUGUGGUAGCACUGUUUUCCUGGGUGGUCGCUCCAUGUUCUGAUUAACAAAUAAUGAUCUUGUCUUAAUGAAAGGUAUAACAGAAAUAAGGCAAGAUUAAGCAUUGUUUUUAGUUAAACCACCAUGUACCAAGUAAGCACUAAGCAUGAGCUACCCAACAUAAAGUAAACCGGUUGGUCAAGGCAAAGGUAAAACAAUCUAGGCCAACCUUAAUUGGGACCCAUCAAUUUAAUCUUAAUAUGUGCACAGCAUAAAUGUUGAGUACGAGAAAGUAAAGGUGUAUAGGACAAAAAGGUAGUGAUCAAGGACACGACUUGCCUUCUUGGCCUUGCUCCUGCUGUUCGUACUCCUCGAAGGCUUGAUCGGCAACUCCCUCGAACUGCGGGGCGUCUACACGCAUCACACGAGCACAUACAAGCAAACAUGGGCAAAAGUAAGAAAACAGUAUACCAAACAUAGUCAAACAGAGAAAACAAGCUUGAAAAGAUGAUCUACGCUUUAAAACGAACACGCGGAUAUAAAGAACGCGAAAAACGGAGUUAAGAUGCAAAAGAUAUGAUUAAAACAAAAUCCAGGGACUUUUCUGUAAGAAAAACAAAACUUUUAGGGCCUAUCCGCGAAAACCGAGGGCUUAUACGUAAUUAUGCGUAUAAACCGAGGGUCUGAUGCGUAAAAACAUCAAACCCGGACGGCGGGUUGAUUUCUGGAAAGGUCAAGGGUUAAACCGAAAAAUGCGAGGGCAGAUCUGUAAAUACUUUCAACGCGAUCUGGACCGCGGGUUGAUUUGCGAAAAAGGCGGGGGCUAAAGUGCAAAAACUGCACGGCGCGGCUCGGUUGACCGGUACGCGAUCUUGAUUGACUCGCGUCCGGCCGUCGGAUUAAGAUCCGACGGUCGCGGUGAUCCGCGACAUCGCGGCGGCGGCGGCGAGCGGCGGCGAGCGGCGGCAAGCGGCGGCGGGUCGCCGGAGUUAGGCAAAAUAGCGCCACGAGGCACGGUUUAACGCGCGGGUUGCACCAAAAAAGAGAGGGGAACACGUCGAUCCCGUUUUGGGGGUUCUUGUCGACGGGGGCUCACCGGCGACGGCGAACGGCGGCGAGGAAGAGGCGGCGGCGCUAGGAGCUCGGGCGGCUAGGGUUUCGGGGAGCUGCGGCGCUGGUUUUGGGCGGAGGAGACUGGGAGGAGGCGGCGGCUUUUAUAGGGCUUGGAGAUAGAGCCGGCGCGGGUUCAAAUCCCCCGGAGGAGUCGGAGCGGAUGGAGUCCGGGGCGGAGACGGCGCGCGGCGGUUGCGGAGUUCUGACCGGAUUCGGCCGGAGGUGGGAGACGAUGGGUGGGGUCCACCCGUCAGUGGCGGAGGGGAGCGGUAGACGGGCCGGCGCGACCGUGGGCUGGCGCGCGCUCGUGGGCUGCGGGGAGCGGGAGAGAAGCGGCGAGCGGGCGCUGGCGGAGCAGGCCGAGCGGAGGUAGAGCUGGGCCGCGGAGAAAAAGGAGGAGGCCGGCGGGCUGCUUCGCAGGCCGGUAAGGAUGAGGCGGCCGGGCCGAAGAAGAAAAAGAAAAGGAGGGACAAGGAGCUUUCGGCCGAGGGAAAAGAAGAAGAAAAAGAAAAGGAAGAAGAAAAGGGAAAAGGUUUUGGAAUUUGAAUUUAAAUCUGAAAUUCAAAAUUUGAUUCAAACUCAAGCAACCAAAAAUUAUGCUCCAGCAUGAAUGCACAAAUAAUUCCUAUGAUGAAUUAAUUGAAUUAAAGAAAAUGAAUUUAAAUGCCUAGAAAUUAAAUAACACCCUAAUUUGAGCAAAUUUUAAUGAAUUUGAAUUAUUGAAAUUUUGGGUGUUACAUUGGUACUACAUCUCAUGUAGUAGAGGCGAUUGUAAGAAGCAACUUGAAAAGAAGUUUGAUCACUACUAUUGCAAUAAAUGUGACAAGAGAGCCGAACCUAAAGCCCAGUAAAUUAUUUAGUAGUUUACAAUCUUAUUAUAAUACUUCUAUUUCUAAUAGGAGAAUAAUAUUUUCAGAUUCAAAUUAAGCUUCAAAUAAGUGAUCCAACAACAAGUGCAACUUGUGUACUUUUGACAAGGAAGCAGAAAUGAUAAUUAAUGAAUGAGCAGAUUCGAUGAUCACCUCAGUUGAUCAUGAUAAUAAGUAGCUACCAAAAUCAAUUCAGGAAAUAUGUGAAGAAACAUUGAUUUCUCAAUUCAGAUUGACCGAGUACAACUUGACAAGUUUUAGACCUGAUUAUACUGUUUCAAAGAUAUUUUUUCCAAAAGAAAAGGGCAGUUCAAGAAUUGGUAUGGAAAGUGUAAAAAAGGUAACACUUUAUUAUUAAUUUUUUAUUGCACUUUUUUCUUUUGAAUCCGUAAUACUUAAUAAUUUUACUAUAUCAAUGAAACAAAUUCUAACCUAAAUUUAUUUUCUUUUUUAUUAUUUGUAGGAAGUAGAAGACAACUCAGACAAAUGCUACACGAUAACUACCGAGAAUGAAGAGGUAGACACUGAUGACUCUUUUACCGAGAAAGUAACAUUCGUAGAAGAAGCCAUAAGGACUGGGGAAAGAUUGGCUAGAAAAGUAUACUCACUUCCAUGUCAGUGUUCAUUCUAUUUACAAUACAUGCAAAAAAAAUAUUAUUCAUGCAAAAUUGCAGGUCUACUAAGCAUUAAAGGAAUAGCGGAUAGUGCAAUAUGUAAUCUGAGCAGCAUGCAUUACAAAGUGCUCUACUGCAAUUAAAUUAAAAAACAUGAUAUAUGUUGAAUUCUUAGACUUUAUUAUUAUACUUUUCUACGUGACAAUUCACAAUUUUUUAGAAAAAAGAAGAUCCCAGAAGAAGUGACCAUGAAAAAAGGUCUAUGACCAGCAAUAAGAAAAAAUGCAAGCAUAGAAACAAAUCCGUAGAAAACAUAGAAAAUAAGGUACUCCAUAAACAAAAGUAUUCUCUUAUAUUUUUAUUAAAUAUUUUUUUAACACUUGACAAGUUCUUUUUUAGGAUCAAUAUAUCAGCAAUUCAGAUGUCAUUGGAGAUGAAACCUUAGUUCAUCCAAAAGGUCAAAAAAAAACAUCUGAAGAAAGGUGUUUGGCUGAAAAGGAAAAGCAAAAAAGUGGUAAUGCAGACAAACACAUGCAGAAAAAUAUAAAAACAUGUCAUAGGGAGGCAGACCAAUCUUGCAAGGAGGUAUAGACGAAACGUGAUACACGACCUGCCUACCUUGUCGUGGAUACCCCAAGAAGAUGUCAUAGAGGUGCAGACCAAGCUAGCAAGGAGGUCGAAACGUGAUACACGGCCUGCCUACCUUGCCGUGGAUAUUAGCCCUGAGAUCAUUCUACUGUUCAAGGAAUAACACUCAAUGCUGCUGCUGCUGCUGACCUGGCUCCAUAAAGUUAUACUCCUCUAGGUGCUUGCACUAACUUUAUCUGAAGUAUUAUUCUCUCUGCACUGUAUAUAUGGUUAUGGAGUUUGCUGGAGUAUCCGGGGCGAAGAACCUACAUAAUACGUCUUGGAACUAAUUGACAUUGAUUCACAGACAAACUCUACAAGGUGCUGUUCUUGCCAUUUUAGAGCAUCCAAAGGACUAUAAAUAACAUAGUUUACCAUAUACCAUAUACCAUAUACCAUAAUAUGUUAGCUAAAAUAAGAGCAUACACAUGUUGCAGGAGUCCAAAAGCACCGGUUGAGGACCAGGUACAUUGAAUUACUAGAAAAAGACAGGGGACAAGGUUUAGGUAACCACAUGAAACAUUUGAAUUUAUUGUACUAUGAACACUUAGUUACCAUGCCAGGAGCACAUAGUUAACACUAACAUUUAGCCACUUUAGAUCAUCCCGAAUCACCAAUGACCCUCAAUAGUGACAAAUUUUGGUUUAAAUGCCAUCACCAAUGAUCCUCAAUAGUGACGUAUUUAGGUUUAAAUCCCGUCACUAAUAACCCUCAAUAGUGACCUGUUUUGGUUUAAAUCUCAUUACCACUGAUCCUCAAUAGUGAUGUGUUUUAGCAAAACAUGUUAUCAAUGACUUGUCAUUGGUGACGUGUUAAAACGCGUUAUCUCAAUGGCAAAUCAUUGGUGACGUGUUAUCUCAAUGUUAUCAAUGUUCUAUUCUUUUCAACAAUACCAGCUCGUUCCUCCGUUUUUAUUCCACCAAUACAAGCACCACCUUGUAACAUUUCCUAUGUUUUUUUUCCUUUUGUCUGUUUUCUCACUACAUGCGUUGCUCUUUCAUGCAUUUUUUUCCAUUCCUGUAUUCCAAAUAGGUCUACAUGAACACAAAAUGAACUAGGGGACAGAAAAAGCCAGUGAAGCCAAUUUUGAGCUUCACCAGCUACUUGCUACAUAAAGUGUGCUAUAGUGACGUGUUUUAGCAAAACAUGUUAUCAAUGACUUGUCAUUGGUGACGUGUUAAAACGCGUUAUCUCACUGGCAAAUCAUUGGUGACGUGUUUUAAAAAAACAUGUCACCGUGAGAGUCAUUGGUGAAGGGUAAUUAAAAUGCGUCACUAAUGUUGUAGCAUUAGUUAUGAUAAUUUAGUAACGCAAAAAUCUACCAUCAGUAUUGAGCUUUAGAGCCAUCGCUAAUGUGGGUUUCUUACAUAGUGAUGCAAGCUCUACAAGGUGCUGUUGCUGCCAUUUUAAAGCAUCCCAUGACUACAUGUUAAUAACAUAGUUUACCAUAUAUCAUAAAAAUAUUAGUUACAAUAAGCACAUACGCAUGUGGAAGAGUCCGAAUGCACCGGUUGAGGACUAAACACAUUGAAUUACUAGAACCAAAUGUAUGUUUAGAACAAAGACAGGGGUCAAGGUUUGGGUAACCGCAUUAAAAACAUUGGAUUUUACUGUACAUGAACACUUAGUUACCAUUACCAUGCCUUGAGCACCUAGUUACAACAAACAUUAAUUUAGCCACUUUAGAGCUUCCAGAAUCGCUAUAAAUAAUAUACCUACGCCGUACCAUGAAAACAUCAAGAAGAGAGACGGAUACAUGGACCACCAUCAAGCGAGUAGUGACAGCACGCACAAGAAUACCCGGAACCUGUUAGCUUGUCUGUAGUGAUCUGUUUUCUUCCCCAUAAAAUCCAUGAGUAUUGCCACAAAUAAUGAAAGAGGCUGACCAAGCUAGCAAGGAGGUAGAGCAAACGUGAUACACGGCCUGCCAAGAUUGCCCUGGAUACGCCAAUAAGAGCGACAGAUACAUGGAUCACACCAAUAUGGUGAAACGUAUAUUCAUCACACAAGCAAAGCUGGUCAGUUUAUCCAUGGUCAAAUUGUGGUCUUUGUUUUCACUUGAGAGCUAAUUGAGGCACUAUAAUAUGGGCAGGCCUAUCUUCAACAGACAUGACAGCUACAGGGAACUUGACAUAAUUUGCUGGGCCGCCUGUGCACAAUUAUUUGUUUUAUUGUCCUUGCAUAGAAUGCUAAAAUACUCUUUACAAAAUGUUGGAUCUAAUAUUUGAAAUAUAGAGUAGUAAUCAUAUAUUGAUCAACAACUUGAAAUUAUCUGUACAUUCUCGGUGAAGCUGUUGAACUAAUUUUUGCAAAUUAUUAAUUCAUCUCAUUACGUAAAGAAAAAAGUAAGUGGAUAAGAUAUUUCGUGGACCACAUCACUGCAAACAUGUCAUGGAGAGACAGACCAAGGAGGCAGGACGUGAUACACGACUUACCCUAGGUUGCCGUGGAACCGCCAAGAAGAGAUACAGAUACAUGGACCACACCAUCUUGGGAGUAGUGACAGCAUAUAUGCAGAAGAAUACCCCGUGCCUAUUUGCAUGCAUGUCUCAAGUGAUCUGUUUUCUUCAGAAAAUACAUGAGCAUUGCCAGAAAGAAUGGCAAGAGACAAACAUGUCAUAGAGACUUGCAUGUCUUGCCUUGGAUACGCCAAGAAGAGGGACACAUACAUGGAUAACACAAAUCUAGUGACACGUAUAUUCAUCACAAAGGCAAAUCUGAUAAUUUUAUCCAUGGAGCAGACCAAGGAGAAAUUGAUGACGGACAUGUGAUCUCUGUAUUCAGUUGAAAGCUAAUUGAGCUACACUAAUAUGAGCAGGACUAUAUUCAAGAGACUUGUUGAGAGCUACAGGGAACUUGUAAUAAUUUGCUGGGCGGCCUGCGCACAAUGAUUUGUUAUACAUAGUUGAAAUAUUUCAAGAAUUUAUCAACCUCAUACUCUGAAACCCUUGGUGCAAUGUACUCUGCUUUCCGAGGUAGACUGUUCACGUAAAAUGAGGUCAUGCGUAAGACGGAAUCGGAUUGGAUUCACAGGGAAUCAGAUUUGGAUAGCACCUUUUAGCAGGUUUUUAGUCAAAUGCAAAUUCGGAUCCACAUGUGGUUGAAUGCGAGUUCAAAAUUCUACUUGGAUAUCCAUUUAAUUUAGGUGAUAGCAAUUAGCACAAAAUGUUGGAUGAACAAAAUCAUAGUUAGACAUACAAUUACAUGUAUGGUUAAAGUAUAAUACAAUACACCAAGAUUAUUCCUUGAAAAUAUUUCUUAAAAAUAUUAUAAUAAAUGAAUAAAUAUAAUUGUGGCCACCAACAAAUAGUCGGUGGUCGCUAAGUUGGAGCCAUUUCUGGUUACUAAUGCGGCCUUCUCCUCGACCAGCGACGACAGCUGAGCUUGUUCCUUCUGACACUAAAUCAUCAGAGUCUUCCCUCCACUACUAUAGAAUGCACCUUUAGCACCAAUUGGGAAAUCCCCUUCAGUAUUGGAUGCUGCAACCAGUGCUAUAUAUCAAAAUGGAGACUAAAAGCCUCGGUCUUGGGUACCGGUUGCAUAACGCAUUACUAAAGGAGGCAAAAGAGAAAUGUAACAAAAAAAAUAUUUUGAAUUCCAAGAAUGUUUCACUAUUCAAGAUGACUAGCUGAGAGUCAACAGACAAGAUACUAGGAAUGUGGGUGCUUGAAUGCAUUUGUACAGAGGUCAUACUAUUUACAAACUCUUCUAUGUUUCCAUAUGACUACCUACUUCAAUGUCACGCGAGCCAUUCAGCUGGACACAUGGCACACUAGCUUGCAUGUCGAAUCCAUGAUUAAUUAUUUGCACUUGUGAUCUCUUACCAGUAUUUGUCCAGACUAGAAACGUGCAACACAUUUUUAGGAUAUGGACACGCAUAUAUUUGGACUAGUAUACAGGUCACCUUUGGAUGCGUACAAGGAUGACCGGGAGGGACUAAUGGAUACAAGGAAGGGACCAUCAGGAUUAAUAUUGACAUAUGCCACAUGACAAUCUUCAUUGUCAUGCAAUCCCUAUCAACAAUCAUGGAAUCCCUAGUGUACUAAUCCCUGGAGGGUUGUGUGGAAAUUUAUUUUACCUUGCGGUGAAAAUCUCAUGAGCAGUCAUUAGUUAAGCUGACUAGCUGAGAUAUAAUAGACAAGCUAGUAAGAUUGGGAGCAUCAAUGCAUCCAUACAGGGUCACAAUAUCCUUUCCAUUCACUUUUAUAUAUAACCCUACGAAUACAAGUCCAACGAAAUGCGGGCCUUUCGAUCAAGAUAAAUUAAAUGGCCCACUUGUAUUUCUAAUCCAGGAUUAACUAUGCCCUCUGUUCAUCUCUUGCAAGCACGUGCAACACAUUUUCACGAUAUGGACAUGCAUGGAGGUUAUUAUACUGUUUGGACAAACUCUGAUGUGCCAUGACCUAAAUGCUUAGGGCCUGUUUGGUUUGAGUUGCUUAUUAUAAGCAACUUAAAGUUGCUUAAAGUUGCUUAUUUGAAGUUGCUUAUUUUUAGUCUAAACUGUUUGGAUACCCUUGCUUAUGAGCAUUGAAUGAGUUGGACAUUGUCAAAUUUGCCCCAUGUGUUGCUACCCCUCCAAUUUGCCUCCCCACCCUUCUUCUUCCUGCACACGUCCGAUCCCGGGGGCCGACGGCGGGCAGGGAGCAGCAGCAGCUGGCCAGGGCGGCGGUGGGGCGGGAGCGGCGGCGCACACCAGCACGCGCUCGCACGCCAGGUGCUAGGGCGCGGCGAGGCAGUCGUCGUAGCCCACCGGGAGCGGGUGCUCGGGCGCGAGGCGGUACUCGACGGAGAUGCCGAGCGUCGGGCGCGCGGCGGCGAGCGCGUUGAGGAAGCGAUGGUAGUGCGGCGACGUCGCGGACUCCGCCACGAAGCCGCCGCCGUGGACGUACACCACCACGGGCAGCUUCGUCUUGCCGUCGGCGGCCGCGGCCGCGGCCUGGGGUGGCAGGUAGAGGCGGACGGAGCAGGAGCCGAGGUCGACGUCCCUGGAGUCGACGCCCGUGGCGGCGUCCAGGCUGGGCCCGACCGGCGGCGGCACGAGCGGGCGCUCGAUGCGGCCGCUCUUGUAAAUCCGACGGGUCUGUGCGGAGGCGGGCGGCGGGCGGGAGCGGCGGGUGGGAGCGGCGGCAGGUGGUGCGGAGGCCGGCGGCGGCGGGUGGCGCGGAGGAAGGGGAGCUGGUGAGUGGUGACAGGGGAGGGGGGGAGAGAGAGGGGGGGUAGGGUGCAUUGAAUGAGGGCAGGAGGUGUAAAGUGCACCUUUUAGUCCCCAUGAGCAACCAUAAGCAGCCCAAGAGUUGCUUAUUUGCUUAUAAUAAGCAACCUCAUAAGCAAGAGUGAUUGGUUUCAUAAGCAACUUAUUUGCUUAUUUUAAGUUGCUUAUGCAUAAGCAUGUGAAACCAAGCAGGUCCUUAACCUAUGGUUGUGGCACCACACAGUACAUAGUAUUUAAUAAUGCUAUUCGUUUGGUAUGUGCACAAGGGCACGCAUGAAAUGUCUGGCCCACGGUAAACAAGUACGGACGCUGCAAAUAAUCUACUCUGCUCGUCCAGUCCCUAGCCUAUAAAUAGAUGCCAUGCUAGCUCUUGUUGUGCUCACAAUUAAUCCUGACUACACACGAGCUUCUCUCCCUGGCCAAGACACAAUCAUAGUAUGAUGAAGAACAUGGCACUAGCCGGCAAUGGUAUGAAGAACUUAAUCCUCGCUGUUCUCUUACUGUGUCUAGUUAUAGGGCAGAUACAAGUGGAAGCUAAGAGCUGCUGCCCAUCCAUUACUGCAAGAAAUAUCUACAAUGCCUGCCGUAUCACGGGUACAUCCCGUCCAACGUGUGCAAAACUGUCAGGCUGCAAAAUUAUCAGCGGGGACAAAUGCAAGCCCCCUAACGACCACCUCACCCUUGACCCGGACACUGGUAAAUAAUAAAUUUAUCUCACUUGAUUUCUUCGUGUUUUGAGUCGUUAAUGUAUUUUCCAUCUGAUGAAACGUAUUGGUUUUGCAUUGAAGAGGAAGUUAAUGUGCUUAACUUCUGCAAGUUGGGGUGUGCGUCGUCUGUGUGCAACAACAUCAACGCUGGUAAGCACCUUUUGCUCAGACGGAGAAAACAAUAAUCAUUAAUUAGCGGCAGCUAGAAUCCUAUAAUCUAAUAUAUUUAUAUAUAUAUAUAAUUUUAUCAGCUCUGGGAAAUGAAGAGGCGAACGAUGCCGUUGAGAGUUGCGACCAAGCCUGCUCUAGCUUCUGCAACGUGCACGUUGGCGCUGCCACCGUGGUUGCUUAAGCAAAUGCAUCCAACUGGAUCGUCCUUGUGCUAAAUAAUUGGAUAUCGUAUCCACUUAAAGCUGCCUUGUGUAGUACGUUUUUGUUUGUGUCUCUCUUUAUAUUCCAAUAAGGUCGGUGAUCUUGAUGCCACACACUCAGACGUGUGUUCAUCUCCAGAUACUACUCCAUGCUACCUGCCCUUUGUGUUUUGUUCAAUAACUGGGUAUCAUAUCCCAGCCAGUGUGCCAUCUGUUUUGUGUUUAUUUCCUUCUAGUUUCAAAGGGGUUAUCAUGAUGUUACCUUCUUUCGAUAUGGUGCUUUGCAUGACUACUGUUGUAUGGUACCAUCUUGUUGGCCAAUAAAUACAUCUUAUCCUAUGACCCUUUGCUAUGACCCUUUGCAAAUAAGUACAAGAUUGUUAAAUACUCGGUAUAAAUUGACUACUGCUGUGAGUUCCCUUUCAGCUUAUCGUAGGCAUACAUUAUUGCUAGCACGGUGAAGACAACCAACACGAAUGGUCAAGUAAACGUACCGGUACUUUUGUAUACCAACACCCUUGCUUAAAUGUACCGGUGUUACUCCCCACUAGCACAUAUAUUCUUAUAUGCUAGCCGGCUUGAAAAUUAACCGAUUAAAAUAAUUAUUUCAAGACAGAAAUAACUUAUCGGCUUCUCGAAGCAUGUGUAAUGUGAAUUCAAGGACUUGAUGGAAGUUGAAUCGCUUAAUCUAGAUUGCUUUCAGGAUUUUGGGUAACUAAAUUUAACAUUUGCACAUACAAAUGUUAAUGUACAAAUAUUAAAUAUAGUUACCCAAGCAGAAUAUGAAGAUACUCUAUAGUAUAUAUAUACUAUAUAAAUCUAGUUAACAUUUAGUCUAAAUGUUAAAUCUAGUUACCUAAAAUCCUGAAAGCAAAAUGUAUAAAUAUAUAUCUUUUAAGGAAUCCCAAAGCAAGAGUUCAGUGGCAUUCUAUAGUCCCAUGCUGCUAGUUUGAGUUGGUCGAAGCCAACUUAAAUAGGAGAGCUCUCUCACUUCUCUAAAUACGUAACUGAAGGAGAGAAGGGGGCUUGGUUACACAACGCACGCACGCACGCAUAUUUGCGUUCUUUUCGCGUAACCAACCGCGUGACUUGAAACUUGCGACGUAGCGUGCUGCCAAGUCAAGUUGAUAUAACCUUUUUGCCGUAGGCGUGUAAUCUUUUGACAACGGUCAUUGGAGGUGAUAAGCACGCAGUCAAUACCUUAAUCCUGAGUUAAUAGGGCGGUUACUACUGCCAAUUAGUGGGGCAAUUUUGUAGGGGAAACGGUUAGCAGAGGGCUACCAUCUUCUCUAUAAGAAGUUCUGGAGACGUCCAGGAACACACAUGUACAUGUGAGAGACCCACGAAUUCCUUCCCAUCUCCCUUUUCCAUCUGGUGAAGUGUGCUAUGGUACUGAGCUGCUGGAUCUCGCCGGCUCUUCUCCUUGGCGUGCACCGAGGAGGAGGGUGAGCGGUAUCUCCGAGCUAUUGCCGUCAGGAAGCCUGCACGAGGGACAACAAUAAAGUUUUUGGGUAGCGCAACUACGCAACCGCUCGAUUCGAUCGACUAUGUUCUGCGCUGCCUCAUCUUCGAUCUGCACUGCAACACGUAACCCUGCAGCAAGUCUACACAAGGACGGAGCACUAAUCUGUAAGUCCUAGAUUGGUUUCUUACAGAGUUGUAGGUUACACAAGAUCUAGAAUUGUUACAUACUUAUUAUUAUGGGUUACAUGAUGUUUUGUACGGUUACGUCUAUUUUGCAUAUGCUAUUUUUACAUACCGUUUACAUGCAUAUGUAAUGGUUACGCCUAGCUAUUUGAAUCUAGAAUUGGGUUACAUAGCAGUAGCAAUGACUUACGUAAUAUGCCUCAUGUUUAUAUCUGGUAGAAUUUAACACGUAUCUCCAACAUAUUUUGAGGCAGUAUAAAUUUCAAUUCCUUUUGCUGCUCUGUUAAAUCCCGUCUUUCGUGUGGCCCAACACUCUAGUAUGCAUGUAGCACCAAGCUUGUUUGAGCCGCUUUGUGCUCUGAUUUUGCUGUCUGUAUCAGGUUGGACUGUUUCUUUGUCUUGCGAUGUAUAGCUUCAUAUCUUCUAGAGGUUAGACAGCAAAACCCGCGUUCUCUUAAGGCAACAACUCGAAGAAUCUGCAGCGCUCCUGAUAUAUCACUGCUGCAGAAACAAUCUUUAGUACUGAUUUCCAACCCCCUUUAGUAUCGGUUUGGCAAUCAGUACCACUACGUCGGUACUAAAGGGAGUUCUCUAGAAUCGGGUCAAAUAACUGGUACUAAAAGUGCUCCUCUACUACCAGUUGGUAACACCAAUAGGUAGUAACUUUUUUUGCACCCAAAAAAUUAAAGAAAAACAGCCGGGAGGCUCGCGCACACACGCAUCAUGAGUAAUAUGCGCGUGCAUGGUUUGUGGGAUUCCAACCCACGACCAAGCUAUAAGCACGUAGUUACAAAAAAAUUAAACACUUAGACAUUUUAGAGCAUCCCAAAUAACUACAAAUUCUUUAGUUUACCAUAUACCAUAAAAUAUUAGUUAAAAUAAGAGCAUACGCACGUCGGAAGAGUCCCAAUGCACCGGUUGAGGAUCAGACCAGGCACUUUGAAUGCACAUGCCAUAAGAUAAUUCUGCAGGACGAUGAUUGCAAUAAUGGACCAUCGAGAAGAUAGGGGCGAUGGGGUUGCCUCAUCAAUUAUGACUUGGCGCAACAAGACCAGCAAAGUCUUUAUCGACAGGGGUGGAUCAAGGGGUGGGGCGGGUAGAGCUCCAAUCUUCCUACCGCCGCUCGAACAAUGGAGCCCCCCUUAGCCCCUCCAUAAAUUUUUAGGUAGAAGAAAAAAGAAGAGAAGGGAAGGAAGGGGAAGAAUAGGGAGCCCCUCCUAAGUAGGUCGCCAUCGUGCUUCCCAACGCAUGAUCGCCGCACCGCAUCCAUUCCUCUACAAGCCUCCAGCGUCUCUCCUGCCGCUACCUCUGAACCAUGUGCAGCUGCAGACCCAACUAGUGUCUUGUCACCCAUCUCAAUCCCAACAGAGCGGCGGCUCCUGCCAGCACAAAUCUCCCUCCGCCUGUUCUUCACGAUCGAUGGCCACCACAAGCAUAAACCUCGCCUUCGCAUCCACGCAAAAGGGUCGCCGGUGUGCCUUCUCGCAUCGCUUCUCAGCCUCCUUCACUUGCGGCUGGCCAAGAACCGUGCCACCACCUCGGGUGCGCGCCACCGCUCCAGGGCCGCUACCCCAUGCGUGCGGCCGCCGCCGGCCACCACGCGUGUGCAACCGUGUCGCACCGCUUCCCUGCUCUGUGCCACCACUGCUACUGCACCACCAGCUCCACCACCUUGGGCUGGUCGCCAGGGUGACUGAUUGGUGGAUUAUUACUACAAAUAAGUUCCUUAUUAUCUGCAACUACUAUUAACUCAGGGAUACAUGCGUCUUUUGCUUCUCCUGUUAAUAUGUCCUAAAAUAUCUAGAAUGCCUUAUAUUUCUGGACGGAGGAAGUAUUUGAAUAAAAUGAACCAAUUUUAAAAAAUGUGUUGUACACUACUACAGAAAGAACUAUCAGUGUCAAACCCAAAAAUGUCGUCACUGCCAGUUUUGGGCAUCGUUGGUGAAAGGUUGGCGGUGAUGGGUAUCCCCUUCAACAACGGCACUAGAGCUAACAGUGAUUGACAUUAGAAAACGAAAAAGGGGACCCACCUAGCCACCCCUGCAACCCGGCUGGCCGUGCCUCCCGUCAUCCCCACCACCUCGCCUCCCCCGUGACCCCCCGCCGGCGCCCUUGCGCCUAGCCCCCUCGCCUGCCUGGCCGGCCACCCUCGUCACGAGAGAGAGGGGUGCAUGUUGUAUAAUUGCGUGAAUUUUUAAUGUUUAAUUUCAUGUAAGUUUCAUAUAAUAAAUUGUACAAGUUUUAUUGUAUAUAUGAAUUCCAUAUAUAUAUAUUUAUAAUUUAAUGUAUGGUUUCAUGUGUAUAUUUCAAUAAUGUGUAUAUUUAGUAGAUAGCCGAUUUUCUUUUUCUACAAGACAAGGGUUGAUGUAUAAUUACGUGUAUAUGUUUAUUGUACGGGCAAUUAGGACAAGUUUUGUAUAAAUUUCUUUUAUUUCAUGGUUGUUGUAUGGUUUCAUGUAUAUACAUUUAUUGUACUACUUGAGACAAUUUUUAAUUUAAUGUUUCUAUGGUUACAUGUGUGUAUAACUAAUUGUAUUAUUAGUUAAGAUGGGAGCCAAAGAGGAUGAAAGGUAUAUAAUGGAGCAGAUUAUUGCUGGCGGUAGUGGCUCAAACGUUGCAAGAACCUACAUCAAGGGUGAGGGUAGCUAGGUGGACAUGUACCUCAACAUGUCCAGUGAUGGCAAUGACGAUGAGGAGCACGAGCAUGACGUUUAUGAUAGUGCGGAACAAGACAUUGCAGAAUUGGAAGGUUCUAAUGAGGUGUGCUUCAUGUUGAUGAUCUGGUUGGCUUUUUUUCUUUGGUCACACCUUAGUUACCAUAGAACUUCGUCUCGGGAGAAGAUUGGAGGUGCUAUGGUGAUUGGAAUUUUAUUGCCUCCAAAUAUGAUUUCCAUCGAAUCAUAUCCCUUGUAUUUAUCUUCUUUUUAUUUGUGAGAGCAUCUUCUUUAUGCUUGCAAAACAAUUCAAGUGCACAUACUACACCUAGGGUGAUGAUUAGGAGUAGAAACAAUUGCCAACAAACGAACACCACAUCCUAAGAUUCUUAACUUGUGGUAUAAUUAGUCUAGUAAAAAGAAAGAUAAAAACCUAAUGGGUGUACGUGAGUGCAAUGCGUAUAUGCAUAUGAGUGGAAGGCAUAUAAGCAAAGAUAAUAUUUACACAUAGAUCUAAGCACCAUGUUUACAACUAAGUUGCUGAAUUUCUCCAUAGCUAUAGAGAUUAAUGAACCAAGGUCAAAACACCAUGUCUAUCCCAAGAUCAGUAAUUCUUUAUAGCACAAGAAAAAGAAAGCGCAUUGCAAAGUUUAUAAACCAACCAAUGCAGCAUGAAAACAAGAUGAAUAGCUAGCAAGGUUUAUUAAACUGAAUGAUGACGGUCUGCAAGCAAGUUUGAACACCAUCUUUACACAAGAUUGCAAAUGGAAAAUUCCCAUAUGAAGAACUAACAUGGAUAUGAAAUCAUUCAUCAUAAAGCGUAAAGAACAACCAAGCCAACCAUAUGCAAAGCAUGAAUGGAAUGCAAUGAAGGUGCAAGAGAACAUUUUUGGAUGAACCCAUUAUGAUGAUGGCAAAAUGCGCCGUGCCCCCCAGCCCCCGCGGUGAGAUCCCGCCGCUCGCUGCCGCCAGACCCUAUUAGGCCUCCACCGGCAGGUCCACCCACGGUCCCGCGCGACGUGGCAGCCUCUUGGCUCUCGGCGCUCGCGGCACGCCAGUGCUGGCGCAGCCCCACCAGGCGACUACCCUCCCCCCAUAAGGCCUCGGCCCCUCCCCAGCGCCGCCCCCCAACACCAGGACUGCCUGCUGCCCCCCACCGUGAGGUAAUCGAAAUCGACUGCUCAAUCUCUCAAUCUGUUGAUAUGAUGCACACGGUUGCAAAAAUAGAUGUGUCAAAAUAGAUGUUUUGCCAAUUGCUAUAGAUGCAUACGGUUGACAUGAAGUCAAAAAUGACAUUUGGUUCCUUGUAGGCAGUCAAAAAUGAAGAAGUCAAAAAAUAUUGAUCUGAAAUCAAUGUGGGAAAGGGCUAUGAAGACACGCAGGUAGAUUCCCUUGUGAACUUUUUAUGUCGUUCGUCUAAAUAAUUUUUUGCAAUGGGCAUACCCUACUCUGAAAUCCUGGGUCCGCCACUGAUGAUGAUGGUCUAAAAAUAAACCAAGCCUAGAUUAAUUAGCCACAACUGAAAUUAAGCAAAGGUUAAUGUCAUUGACCCUAGCUCUAUCCUAGCUUUUACCAAAGUUCCGGCACAUAUAGUGGUUGGGCCCACUCUCUCUGCUUCCCUCUCUGCUGCAUGCACGCACACGAGCAACGGGAGGCCCGACGAAGCCCAGAAGGGUUCGGCCGAACCAGUAUGAGCGCCGCUCCCUCCCAGCCUUCGCGCAGAUGCUCCUCCAACGUUCCUUGACCCCUCCCUCAGCGUCCCGUUGGGUUUAACAUUGCAGGAGAGGAGUCCCUUUUUUAAAAUCUCAACCACCUCCUCUCCCCAUUCACUCCACUCUCAUCUCCAUCAAACUCACCAAGAUCCGCACCGGAAAUCCCUGCUUACCACCAUGGCUGGCAAAGCCCUCAUCCCUUUCACCAACUUGGGCUUGACCACUGAUCUCGAUGGGGAAAUCACUCUGGCAAAUAUGCGUGUAACACUGCCCCCUUUGCCGAGGGUUAAAGCCAAAACACUCAGCAAAGUGGAUAGUACCCCCCUUUUUACCCGUUUUGUCAUGUAUAACGGACCCCUCUCAAUUCACAAUAGACAUCAUCAUAGGCAUUUAUAAUAAACAAUCACAGGCAUAAUUCACAAUCACCAUUACAAGCAUUAUUCAUAAAUAUCACAGACAUAAUCCAAAGUAAGCAUGAAACAAGCCAUAAAUCCAAGUUCAAGUCACAACUAAGUUUCAUCCAAGUUCAAGUCACAAAUGCAAUGUCUAAAUCCAUGGAGGCCAAGGAGACCACUGCGACAAAUCUUGGUCUUCAUUAUUCGAAGCCGCCGAUUGAUUCUGCACAUAGGAUAGGACAUUCUGAGCUAACAUCUAAAGUUGUCAAAAUUAAAGUAUUCAAUCUUAAGCACAAUGUGUCAAAUGACUCACAGGAGUAGUUGUGGGUGGCUGAGGCGGAGGGAACAGCAUCGAUGGCGGUGGCAAAGAUUGACCCAUGCUCGAAGCAAAAUUCUGCAUGUACUGGAACAUCUGGUCCAUCCUCAUCCGAUUUUCUUCCUCCAUCCUCUGCCGCUCGGCCUCUAACCUCCGCUGAACCAUCUGCUCCAUCCUCGCCGCCAUCUCCUCUUGUUGCUUCCUUGCUGCUUCCACCUGGGCCUACAAUAUUUCAUUGCAAUGUUACAAUGCAAAGCUAAAGUAUAGCAACCAACGAACAAUGAAUGGAAGAGAAAGAACCUGGAGAGCCUCCAUCUGGAACUGUCCAAUGGUUGGUCGUAGCCGUAUCGCCGGGCUCGAGUCCGUGCUCCUUGCUUGGAUCUGGGAGAGAGUGGCAGUAGAGGCCGUGUUGAUUACGCCGUCGCCAAUCCAAUAUCGGCCAUGCUUCUUGCCUCCUCCCACCCUCAUCACGAUUUCUCCAUCAAUAUCCUCAGAGCUUGAAUCGAAGUCUGGCCCGUGAACCUCCCUUGCCAUCACUGUAUAUUCCUUUGCCGAGUGCCCGAGAUAAAGCACUCGGCAAAUAGAAAACACUCGGCAACUUUACUGUUUCCCGUAGUGUCGCUAUUUUUGCAGGUUCUCGACCAGGCCAGUUCUUUGGGCCAACCUAUCAUUCACGACUUAAACAUACGGUGGCUGUAGAAAUGUUCUAUUCUUUUCAACAAUACCAGCUGGUUCCUCCGUUUUUAUUCCACCAAUACAAGCACCACCUUGUAACAUUUCCUAUGUUUUUUUUUCCUUUCGUCUGUUUUCUACAUGCGUUGCUCUUUCAUGCAUUUUUUUCCAUUCCUGUAUUCCAAAUAGGUCUACAUGAACACAAAAUGAACUAGGGGACAGAAAAAGCCAGUGAAGCCAAUUUUGAGCUUCACCAGCUACUUGCUACAUAAAGUGUGCUAUAGUGACGUGUUUUAGCAAAACAUGUUAUCAAUGACUUGACAUUGGUGACGUGUUAAAACGCGUUAUCUCAAUGGCAAAUCAUUGGUGACGUGUUUUAAAAAAACAUGUCACCGUGAGAGUCAUUGGUGAAGGGUAAUUAUAAUGCGUCACUAAUGUUGUAGCAUUAGUUAUGAUAAUUUAGUAACGCAAAAAUCUACCAUCAGUAUUGAGCUUUAGAGCCAUCGCUAAUGUGGGUUUCUUACAUAGUGAUGCAAGCUCUACAAGGUGCUGUUGCUGCCAUUUUAAAGCAUCCCAUGACUACAUGUUAAUAACAUAGUUUACCAUAUAUCAUAAAAAUAUUAGUUACAAUAAGCACAUACGCAUGUGGAAGAGUCCGAAUGCACCGGUUGAGGACUAAACACAUUGAAUUACUAGAACCAAAUGUGUGUUUAGAACAAAGACAGGGGUCAAGGUUUGGGUAACCGCAUUAAAAACAUUGGAUUUUACUGUACAUGAACACUUAGUUACCAUUACCAUGCCUUGAGCACCUAGUUACAACAAACAUUAAUUUAGCCACUUUAGAGCUUCCAGAAUCGCUAUAAAUAAUAUACCUACGCCGUACCAUGAAAACAUCAAGAAGAGAGACGGAUACAUGGACCACCAUCAAGCGAGUAGUGACAGCACGCACAAGAAUACCCGGAACCUGUUAGCUUGUCUGUAGUGAUCUGUUUUCUUCCCCAUAAAAUCCAUGAGUAUUGCCACAAAUAAUGAAAGAGGCUGACCAAGCUAGCAAGGAGGUAGAGCAAACGUGAUACACGGCCUGCCAAGAUUGCCCUGGAUACGCCAAUAAGAGCGACAGAUACAUGGAUCACACCAAUAUGGUGAAACGUAUAUUCAUCACACAAGCAAAGCUGGUCAGUUUAUCCAUGGUCAAAUUGUGGUCUUUGUUUUCACUUGAGAGCUAAUUGAGGCACUAUAAUAUGGGCAGGCCUAUCUUCAACAGACAUGACAGCUACAGGGAACUUGACAUAAUUUGCUGGGCCGCCUGUGCACAAUUAUUUGUUUUAUUGUCCUUGCAUAGAAUGCUAAAAUACUCUUUACAAAAUGUUGGAUCUAAUAUUUGAAAUAUAGAGUAGUAAUCAUAUAUUGAUCAACAACUUGAAAUUAUCUGUACAUUCUCGGUGAAGCUGUUGAACUAAUUUUUGCAAAUUAUUAAUUCAUCUCAUUACGUAAAGAAAAAAGUAAGUGGAUAAGAUAUUUCGUGGACCACAUCACUGCAAACAUGUCAUGGAGAGACAGACCAAGGAGGCAGGACGUGAUACACGACUUACCCUAGGUUGCCGUGGAACCGCCAAGAAGAGAUACAGAUACAUGGACCACACCAUCUUGGGAGUAGUGACAGCAUAUAUGCAGAAGAAUACCCCGUGCCUAUUUGCAUGCAUGUCUCAAGUGAUCUGUUUUCUUCAGAAAAUACAUGAGCAUUGCCAGAAAGAAUGGCAAGAGACAAACAUGUCAUAGAGACUUGCAUGUCUUGCCUUGGAUACGCCAAGAAGAGGGACACAUACAUGGAUAACACAAAUCUAGUGACACGUAUAUUCAUCACAAAGGCAAAUCUGAUAAUUUUAUCCAUGGAGCAGACCAAGGAGAAAUUGAUGACGGACAUGUGAUCUCUGUAUUCAGUUGAAAGCUAAUUGAGCUACACUAAUAUGAGCAGGACUAUAUUCAAGAGACUUGUUGAGAGCUACAGGGAACUUGUAAUAAUUUGCUGGGCGGCCUGCGCACAAUGAUUUGUUAUACAUAGUUGAAAUAUUUCAAGAAUUUAUCAACCUCAUACUCUGAAACCCUUGGUGCAAUGUACUCUGCUUUCCGAGGUAGACUGUUCACGUAAAAUGAGGUCAUGCGUAAGACGGAAUCGGAUUGGAUUCACAGGGAAUCAGAUUUGGAUAGCACCUUUUAGCAGGUUUUUAGUCAAAUGCAAAUUCGGAUCCACAUGUGGUUGAAUGCGAGUUCAAAAUUCUACUUGGAUAUCCAUUUAAUUUAGGUGAUAGCAAUUAGCACAAAAUGUUGGAUGAACAAAAUCAUAGUUAGACAUACAAUUACAUGUAUGGUUAAAGUAUAAUACAAUACACCAAGAUUAUUCCUUGAAAAUAUUUCUUAAAAAUAUUAUAAUAAAUGAAUAAAUAUAAUUGUGGCCACCAACAAAUAGUCGGUGGUCGCUAAGUUGGAGCCAUUUCUGGUUACUAAUGCGGCCUUCUCCUCGACCAGCGACGACAGCUGAGCUUGUUCCUUCUGACACUAAAUCAUCAGAGUCUUCCCUCCACUACUAUAGAAUGCACCUUUAGCACCAAUUGGGAAAUCCCCUUCAGUAUUGGAUGCUGCAACCAGUGCUAUAUAUCAAAAUGGAGACUAAAAGCCUCGGUCUUGGGUACCGGUUGCAUAACGCAUUACUAAAGGAGGCAAAAGAGAAAUGUAACAAAAAAAAUAUUUUGAAUUCCAAGAAUGUUUCACUAUUCAAGAUGACUAGCUGAGAGUCAACAGACAAGAUACUAGGAAUGUGGGUGCUUGAAUGCAUUUGUACAGAGGUCAUACUAUUUACAAACUCUUCUAUGUUUCCAUAUGACUACCUACUUCAAUGUCACGCGAGCCAUUCAGCUGGACACAUGGCACACUAGCUUGCAUGUCGAAUCCAUGAUUAAUUAUUUCCACUUGUGAUCUCUUACCAGUAUUUGUCCAGACUAGAAACGUGCAACACAUUUUUAGGAUAUGGACACGCAUAUAUUUGGACUAGUAUACAGGUCACCUUUGGAUGCGUACAAGGAUGACCGGGAGGGACUAGAAAUGGUCUAGUUUUGAUUGGACUACAAAACUUUUUGUACAGUGAAUAGAGAAUAUAUAUUAUUGUUGGAAUACGAGGUAGGCUACACUAUCGCAAUUCUGAUAUUCUACCGCGUAUAACCAAGAAGAACUGUCGUAUAAGGAUCACGGGAUUACCACUCGACGCACUACUGGUGCGGAAGAUGUAGAUAUGCGUCGAUGCAGUGAAGACGAUCACGUAGUCGUAUGUAGUCGAUCAACGUAGUCGUACAUAGUCGAUCACGUCCAGCAGCUCCUCAGCAGCUCGUCCACGUGCAGCAAGAUCGCCUCCGGUACCGCGGCUCGUCGUUGGCUUGUCGUGGCUCGUCGACGGCUCGUCGGCGGCUCGUCCAAGUGCUGCAGGCGCAACACCUCCAAGGUAUCCACACGUGCAGGGAGGAAGCGUCGCAAGCCGGACUGCUAGAUCCACGAGUUGCAACAGGCGAGGGCGUGGGAGGCGCGGCAGGUGUGUUUCGCCAAAAAGGUGUAAACCCUAGGGCGCCCCCACCCCUCUAUUUAUAGAGGUUCCUGACGGGCCUCUGGAUCCGAGGCCCAUUAGUACUUCUAAACCUAAUCCAACUCGGAUCAGAUCCGAAUUGGGCUUCCAGCCCCUUAAGUGUGUGACCCUAUAAGUUCGGAUACGUAUAGACAUGGCCCGAGUACUCCUACUCGGCCCAAUAGUCGGUAGCGGCCUCUAGCAAGACGUGCCAACUCCUAUACGCACACGAAGAUCAUAUCAGACGAACCAUCACAACAUAAUAUACAUGCUAUUCCCUUUGCCUCACGAUAUUUGGUCUAGCUUCAAGCCGACCGCUCUUUCUCAGUCCUGUGAUUCGGAAUCCCUUUGUAGGUUAACUCUUAACCGUACGUAGCAUGGCCAUGCAUUUUCGGAUCUGAUCACUCGAGGGGCCCAGAGAUAUCACUCUCAAUCAGAGAGGGGCAAAUCCCAUCUUGAUUGACCAUGUCUCAUAGCAUGCUUCUUGACAAACCUAAAAACUACCUUUAUAACUUCCCUGUUACGGCGUAGUGUUUGAUAGCUCCUAAGUAGGUCGAUCCACAUCUAGAAUACAUGCGACAAUUUCAGGUCUAAGGACAAAGCGUAUAUGUUGUUUAAAGAGAGAACUACUUCUCGUGUUGGGUCAGUCCCAGCACAUGUCUCCACAUGUGUCCACAUUAUUAGUUCAACAUCUCCAUGUCCAUGACUUGUGAAACAUAGUCAUCAACUAAUACAUGUGCUAGUCUAAUAUUCAUGUGUGUCCUCACAUGAACUCCGACUAGGGACAACUUUAGAAUAACCAUACAAGUAAAGAGUUUCACAUACAAUUCACAUAAUUGCAAAUCAAUUCAAGUAGCCUUCAAUGGAUAUUCAAUGAACACAACAUACAAAUCAUGGAUACAAAUGGAAUAUCAUCAUCUCUAUGAUUGCCUCUAGGGCAUACCUCCAACAGUCUCCCACUUGCACUAGAGUCAAUCUAGAAGGUACCUAAUACCCAUAGCUCUUACAUGCGCAUCAUGCUUAGCCUGCGGGAGUGGUUUUGUCAACGGAUCAGAAAUGUUCAGAUCCGUGUGUAUUUUGCAUAUCUUGAUCUCACCCCGGUUAACGAAGUCUCGAAUGAGAUGAAAUCGCCGCAUUACAUGUUUGUUCUUCUGGUGGUUCCUUGGCUCCUUUGCUUGCGCAAUUGCCCCAUUGUUAUCACAGUAGAGAUUCAAUGGGCUGGACCCAUUCGGGAACACACCAAGCUCAAUGAGGAAAUUCCUUAUCCAAACACCUUCCUUCGCGGCUUCCGAAGCCGCGAUGUACUCGGCUUCUGUCGUAGAAUCGGCCACCGUCUCCUGCUUGGAACUCUUCCAACUAACAGCACCACCAUUUAGCGUGAACACAAAUCCUGUUUGUGACUUUGAAUCAUCUCUGUCGGUUUGGAAACUAGCAUCGGUGUAACCUGUUACAACGAGCUCCUCCUCACCUCCAUAGACGAGGAAUAUAUCUUUAGUCCUUCUCAAGUACUUAAGAAUGUUUUUCACCGCUGUUCAGUGACUCUCACCUGGAUCAGAUUGGUGUCUGCUUGUCAUACUUAGCACAUAUGAAACAUCUGGGCGAGUACUUAUCAUUGCAUACAUGAUAGAUCCAAUAGCCGAGGCAUAUGACACUCUACUCAUGUGAUCCCGCUCAUCAGCAGUCGAAGGACACUGAGUCUUGCUGAGAUGUAUGCCAUGUGACAUAGGCAAGAACCCUUCCAUGCUGAACCGCUUCAACACUUUGUCAAUGUAAGUAUCUUGGCUUAAACCUAUAAGCCUUCUCGAUCUAUCUCUAUAGAUCUUAAUGCCCAGAAUAUAUGCCGCUUCCCCUAAGUCCUUCAUCGAAAAACUAUUUUUCAGUGAAGUCUUUAUGGACUCAAGCAUAGGAAUGUUAUUUCCAAUCAGUAAUAUGUCAUCCACAUAUAAGAUUAGAAAUACUACAGAGCUCCCACUAACCUUCUUGUAAACACAAGACUCUUCUUCGUUCUUGGUGAAGUCAAACCCUUUGACCACUUCAUCAAAACGAAUGUUCCAACUCCUAGAUGCUUGCUUCAAUCAAUAAAUGGAUCUCUGAAGCUUGCAUACCUUUCCAGCAUUUUUCGGAUCGACAAAACCCUUGGACUGUAUCAUAUACACGUCCUCAGUUAGGUUUCCAUUCAGGAAAGCUGUCUUGACAUCCAUCUGCCAUAUCUCAUAAUCGAAAUAUGCAGCCAAACUUGAUUGUCUCCCAUGGACUCUAUUUCGGAUUGCAUGGCAUUCUGCCAUUUUUCGGAGUCUGGGUCCAUCAUUGCUUCUGCAUAUGUCACAGGCUCAUCAUUGUCCAACAAUAAUAUUUCCUGCAUUUCGCGGAGCCUUGCCGACCUUCGUGGUUGUGGCGGUGCUUCUCUUGCCAUGGGUAUCUCAACUUGUUCUGCUACGUUAGCAUCACUCAUUGAUUCUUGCCCGAUCGGCUCAUCUUGAACUUCUUCAAGAUGCACUGUCUUUCCACUCUUUUCUCCUUUGAGAAACUCUUUCUCUAGGAAAACCCCGUUCCGAGCGACAAACACUUUGCCUUCUGAUCAGUUGUAAAAAUAAUAUCCCAAAGUUUCCUUUGGAUAUCCCACGAAAAUGCACUUAUCCGACUUGGGUGCGAUCUUGUCCGACUGAAGUCGCUUGACAAACACAUCACAUCCCCAAAUCUUUAGAAAAGACAAACUAGGAACCUUUCCAGUCCAUAUCUCAUAUGGUGUCUUAACUACGGAUUUAGAUGGUACCCUAUUAAGUGUGAAAGCUGCUGUUUCUAGAGCGUAUCCCCAAAAUGACAACGGUAGGUCCGACUGGCUCAUCAUUGAUCGAACCAUGUCUAACAAAGAUCGAUUACGUCGCUCGGACACACCGUUUCUCUGAGGUGAUCCAGGCGGCGUAAGUUGUGGAACAAUUCCGCAACUCUUUAGAUGAUUGCUAAACUUGUGGCUCAAAUACUCGCCUCCACGAUCAGAUUGUAAGGCCUUAAUUUUCUUGACACGCUAAUUUUCAACUUCAUUCUGAAAAUCCUUGAACUUUUCAAAGGUUUCAGACUUGUGCCUCAUCAAGUAGACAUAGCCAUAUCUACUAAAAUCAUCAGUGAAAGAUAUGAAGUAUUGGAAUCCUCCUCUAGCCGUCGUGCUCAUUGGUCCGCAUACAUCACUAUGUACGAGUUCCAACAAGUCUACUGCUCUCUCAGGAAAUCCUGUGAAAGACGUCUUGGUCAUCUUGCCUAGCAAGCAAGCCUCACAUGUCUCGUAUGAUUCAAAAUCAAACGAAGUUAGAAGUCCAUCAGAAUGGAGCUUCUUCAUGCGUUUUUCACUUAUAUGACCCAAACGACAAUGCCACAAGUAGGUAGGACUCAAAUCAUUAGGCCGAGGCCUUUUAGCACUUACAUUACAGACAGGUGAACCAUCAAGAUUUAAAACAAAUAAUCCAUUCACAAUGGGUGCAAAAGCCAUAAACAUAUUAUUCUUAGAGAUCACACAACCAUUGUUUUCACUCGCAAAUGAAUAACCAUCCUUCAUCAAGCAUGAAGGAGACAAAAUGUUUCGACUUAAACUAGGAACAAAAUAACAAUUAUUCAACUCCAUAAUAAAUGCUGACGGGAGGUGGAGUUGCAUCGUCCCGACGGUCAACGCAGCAACUCUUGCAUUAUUGCCCACGCGGAAAUCAACUUCUCCUCUUUCCACGCUUCUACUUCUUAUCAUUCCCUGCAUCGAAUUGCAAAUAUGAGCAACCGAUCCGGUAUCAAAUACCCAAGAAUUAAUAAUUGUAUCAGCGAGAAAUAUGUUGUCUAUGACAUUAACAACAAGCGUACCUGAGGUAGAAGUACUCUUACUUCCUCCAUUCUUCAACGAAGCUAGGUACUGCUUGCAGUUUCUCUUCCAGUGACCAAGUUCAUGACAGUAAAAGCACUCUUUGUCUGGAGCAGGUCCAGGUCCAGCUUUAACCUUGGGCGCUCGCUGGGUUUGGCUUGGAAAUUCCAGCCUUGCCCUUCUUCUUCCAAGAAUUGCCCUUCUUCUUAAAGCUAGGCUUGUUCUGUAUAGCCAUCACAUGGCUAGUACAAGCGCUUUUCUUGAUGUCUACCUCUGCUGUCUUGAGCAUACCACACAGUUCAUUCAAACCCUUCUCCGUCCCAUGCAUAUGGUAGUUCGAGAUGAAGUUCCCAUAGCUAGGCGGAAGAGAUGAAAGAAUGAAGUCAGUGGCCAACUCUUUGCCCAUUGGGAAGCCCAGCUUCUCCAAUCGCUGAGUGUAACCAACCAUGUUGAUUACAUGUGGUCCUACUGCUGCGUCUUCUGCUAGCUUGCACUCCAGAAAAGCUUUGGACACAUUGAACCUUUCAGUCCUAGCCUGUGUCUGGAACAUGUCCUUGAGCGCCACGAUCAUAUCGUGUGCCUCAUGAUUUGUUUCGAACUGCAUCUGCAGCUCGGGUUCCAUGCAAGCAAGCAUAAGGCAGCUUACCUCAAGAUUAGCAUCAAAUGCCUUCUUGUAAGCAGCCUUAACGGCAGCAGAUGCAUCAUCAGCAGGUACUGGUGGUAGUGGGGUAUCUAGAACAUCUUCCUUUUUAUCGGCCCUGAGAACAAUUCUCAGGUUACGGAUCCAAUCCGAGUAGUUUGUUCCAUUCAACUUGUCCUUCUCAAGGACCGAGCGCAAAGCAAACGAUGUGGUGGUGUUGCUAGGUGCCAUUUAAUCUACAACAAAAGUAAUGCAAAAUACACUAAGACAAACGUAUCCAUGAUAGAGCAAAUUACAUUAAACUAUUUUAACAGAAUCUACUCCCACUAAAAUCAAUAUCCCUCUAUUGAAACUUAGUGAUUCAGGAUCCACAACUAACAAGUCUACUAGUGAGCUUUAGCAUCACCGCUAGCAAACGAGGUAGAUCGGUAAGCAACUUUUGCUAAUCAUAUCACAUAUGACUCCUGUUGUUGGGUGACAUCUCCAUGUCUCGGCGCCCAACCAUUAUGCCCCAAGGUCCUUAACCGUUAAGAUGACCUCGUUAAGCAAACCAACCCUUAUGCGUGUAAGUGUCCGACACAAACCCGUCUAGUCAAGGAAAACUAGUGGCACCCUAAUUUCAUAGACCCACCACUAAUUGUACAAGACAUGGGACGGUGCAAGUUUUAGUUGGGAGGGCAUACUAACUUAAAUUUUUUGUGAGGGAUCGUUCUACUUCUAACAUCACAGCAUGCAGAAAGUAAAACAUAAACAGAAUAGCAUUCACACAGCUGUGACACAGUAUGGCCCGUUUUUAUAUGGUGAUCUCCAUCUCCAUAGAACCUGUUCACCAUGGUGAUCUCCAUCUCCAUGUUCCAUGUGCGCCAUCCUCCUGGUGAGGAGUCCUCCAAGAACUAGAACAUGCUAUUACACCUAAUAGCUAGUAAAGAAUCUAGUAAUGAAGAUUACAUAGUUGCUUGGAUCAUCACAGAUUGGUACGCAGACCAUUAAAUACAAUAAAGUGACAACACAUAUGGCUCCUGCCGUGUUGCCGUACGCGCGACACGCAGGUCACGAAUGAGUUACACACAUGCAUCACAUACACAAGGGGGCCAUACUGAUCACAAGAUACAUACAUACAUCCUGCAAAACAGAGUUAGGCGUCCUAACGUUCCAAACUUCGAAGGCCCGAAACUCCAUCUUCCAAGCCGAAUUUGGGAAAUCUAAUUUUGCCGAAAACGGCAAAGCGGUUGAAUUUCAUGUGUAACUUUUUCUGUAGAUCAAUUUUCAUAUAAAAUUCGCCCCGAUCCGAGAUCGUACCGAAAAGUUACGGCUGAUUUACCGAAGCAUACGCAUACGGCAAAAAUUCCGACCCCGGCAGUAGAUCCCAUCUACUAUUGCACAUCUAAUGCGCCUGGCGUAUGAUCCUGGAUUUCGAUUCGACCAAUCAUAUUGAUCUUCGCUCACUGCAACUGGAAUUACGUGUAUCACUUAACUCGUCGGCGGCUCGUCGGCGGCUCAUCCAAGUGCUGCAGGCCCAACACCUCCAAGGUAUCCACACGUGCAGGGAGGAAGCGUCGCAAACCGGACUGCUAGAUCCGCGAGUUGCAAUAGGCGAGGGCGUGGGAGGCGCCGCAGGUGUGUUUCGCCAAAAAGAUGUAAACCCUAGGGCGCCCCCACCCCUCUAUUUAUAGAGGUUCCUGACGGGCCUCUGGAUCCGAGGCCCAUUAGUACUUCUAAACCUAAUCCAACUCGGAUCAGAUCCGAAUUGGGCUUCCAGCCCCUUAAGUGUGUGACCCUAUGGGUUCGGAUACGUAUAGACAUGGCCCGAGUACUCCUACUCGGCCCAAUAGUCGGUAGCGGCCUCUAGCAAGACGUGCCAACUCCUAUACACACACGAAGAUCAUAUCAGAUGAACCAUCACAACAUAAUAUACAUGCUAUUCCCUUUGCCUCACGAUAUUUGGUCUAGCUUCAAGCCGACCGCUCUUUCUCAAUCCUGUGAUUCGGAAUCCCUUUGUAGGUUAACUCUUAACCGUACGUAGCAUGGCCAUGCAUUUUCGGAUCCGAUCACUCGAGGGGCCCAGAGAUAUCACUCUCAAUCAGAGAGGGGCAAAUCCCAUCUUGAUUGACCAUGUCUCAUAGCAUGCUUCUUGACAAACCCGAAAACUACCUUUAUAACUACCCUGUUACGGCGUAGCAUUUGAUAGCCCCUAAGUAGGUCGAUCCACAUCUAGAAUACAUGCGACAAUCUCAGGUCUAAGGACAAAGCGUAUAUGUUGUUUAAAGAGAGAACUACUUCUCGUGUUGGGUCAGUCCCAGCACAUGUCUCCACAUGUGUCCACAUUAUUAGUUCAACAUCUCCAUGUCCAUGACUUGUGAAACAUAGUCAUCAACUAAUACAUGUGCUAGUCUAAUAUUCAUGUGUGUCCUCACAUGAACUCCGACUAGGGACAACUUUAGAAUAACCAUACAAGUAAAGAGUUUCACAUACAAUUCACAUAAUUGCAAAUCAAUUCAAGUAGCCUUCAAUGGAUAUUCAAUGAACACAACAUACAAAUCAUGGAUACAAAUGGAAUAUCAUCAUCUCUAUGAUUGCCUCUAGGGCAUACCUCCAACAAUUAUUUCAUGUAAAUUUUUGACAAUUUUUUAAAAUUGUUUGAUAUUUUUUAAAUUUUUUUUAAAAUAACUUUGCCGAGUGUCCUAUUGUAGACACUCGGCAAAGCAGCCUUCACCGAGUGUUACCCCUGGGACACUCGGCGAAUUAAUGCCCGGCCGCUCAAGAAUAUGUGCCCGGCCCCCUCACUCUCCCGGCCCCCCUCACUCUCACUCCCCUCACUCCCUCCUCUCUCCCUCCUCUCUCCCUCUCGCCGCCGCCCGAAACCCCCGCCGCCGCCCGCCGCCCGGCAUGCCGCCCAGCGCCCCCCGCCGCCGCCCGGCGCUCCCGAAUCCGCCGCCGCCCGCCCGGCGCCCGGCCCCCGGAUCCGCCGCCGCCGGCCGCCCGGCGCCCCCGGAUUCGCCGCCGCCCGCCCGGCCCCCGGCCCCCGGAUCAGCCGCCGCCCGCCGCCCGGCGCACGGCGCCCCCGGAUCCGCCGCCGCCUGCCCGGCGCCCGGCCCCUGGCCCCCUGAUCCGCCGCCGCCCGCCCGGAUCCGCCGCCGCCCGCCCGGCGCCCGGCCCCCGGCCCCCGGAUCCACCGCCGCCCCCCCGGCCCCCGGAUCCGCCGCCCGCCCGUCCCCUCCACCGGAUCCGCCGGCGCCGGGGCCUGAAGAGAAGAGAAGAGGAGAGGAUGGUGGCGGCGGCGGCCGCGGCGGCGGAGCAGGUGGCAGAGCAUGCAUGAUUUUUUUUUAUUUUUUCAAUAAUUGUUCGCCAAGUGUUUUCUGGGCACUCGGCAAAGUCUUUGCCGAGUGCCCGACACAAAACACUCGGCGAACCAGUGUUUGCCGUCAAGAUUUUUGCCGUGUGUCGUUUGCCGAGUGUUACACUCGGCAAACGCUUUGUCGAGUGUUUUUGGGGUUUCGCGGAGUGACCCUGGCACUCGGCAUCACGCAUGUUUCCCUUAGUGAACUUGAAAUUAUCUGUACAUUCUCGGUGAAGCUGUUGAACUAAUUUUUGCAAAUUAUUAAUUCAUCUCAUUACGCAAAGAAAAAAGUAAGUGGAUAAGAUAUUUCGUGGACCACAUCACUGCAAACAUGUCAUGGAGAGACAGACCAAGGAGGCAGGACGUGAUACACGACUUACCCUAGGUUGCCGUGGAACCGCCAAGAAGAGAUACAGAUACAUGGACCACACCAUCUUGGGAGUAGUGACAGCAUAUAUGCAGAAGAAUACCCCGUGCCUAUUUGCAUGCAUGUCUCAAGUGAUCUGUUUUCUUCAGAAAAUACAUGAGCAUUGCCAGAAAGAAUGGCAAGAGACAAACAUGUCAUAGAGACUUGCAUGUCUUGCCUUGGAUACGCCAAGAAGAGGGACACAUACAUGGAUAACACAAAUCUAGUGACACGUAUAUUCAUCACAAAGGCAAAUCUGAUAAUUUUAUCCAUGGAGCAGACCAAGGAGAAAUUGAUGACGGACAUGUGAUCUCUGUAUUCAGUUGAAAGCUAAUUGAGCUACACUAAUAUGAGCAGGACUAUAUUCAAGAGACUUGUUGAGAGCUACAGGGAACUUGUAAUAAUUUGCUGGGCGGCCUGCGCACAAUGAUUUGUUAUACAUAGUUGAAAUAUUUCAAGAAUUUAUCAACCUCAUACUCUGAAACCCUUGGUGCAAUGUACUCUGCUUUCCGAGGUAGACUGUUCACGUAAAAUGAGGUCAUGCGUAAGACGGAAUCGGAUUGGAUUCACAGGGAAUCAGAUUUGGAUAGCACCUUUUAGCAGGUUUUUAGUCAAAUGCAAAUUCGGAUCCACAUGUGGUUGAAUGCGAGUUCAAAAUUCUACUUGGAUAUCCAUUUAAUUUAGGUGAUAGCAAUUAGCACAAAAUGUUGGAUGAACAAAAUCAUAGUUAGACAUACAAUUACAUGUAUGGUUAAAGUAUAAUACAAUACACCAAGAUUAUUCCUUGAAAAUAUUUCUUAAAAAUAUUAUAAUAAAUGAAUAAAUAUAAUUGUGGCCACCAACAAAUAGUCGGUGGUCGCUAAGUUGGAGCCAUUUCUGGUUACUAAUGCGGCCUUCUCCUCGACCAGCGACGACAGCUGAGCUUGUUCCUUCUGACACUAAAUCAUCAGAGUCUUCCCUCCACUACUAUAGAAUGCACCUUUAGCACCAAUUGGGAAAUCCCCUUCAGUAUUGGAUGCUGCAACCAGUGCUAUAUAUCAAAAUGGAGACUAAAAGCCUCGGUCUUGGGUACCGGUUGCAUAACGCAUUACUAAAGGAGGCAAAAGAGAAAUGUAACAAAAAAAAUAUUUUGAAUUCCAAGAAUGUUUCACUAUUCAAGAUGACUAGCUGAGAGUCAACAGACAAGAUACUAGGAAUGUGGGUGCUUGAAUGCAUUUGUACAGAGGUCAUACUAUUUACAAACUCUUCUAUGUUUCCAUAUGACUACCUACUUCAAUGUCACGCGAGCCAUUCAGCUGGACACAUGGCACACUAGCUUGCAUGUCGAAUCCAUGAUUAAUUAUUUGCACUUGUGAUCUCUUACCAGUAUUUGUCCAGACUAGAAACGUGCAACACAUUUUUAGGAUAUGGACACGCAUAUAUUUGGACUAGUAUACAGGUCACCUUUGGAUGCGUACAAGGAUGACCGGGAGGGACUAAUGGAUACAAGGAAGGGACCAUCAGGAUUAAUAUUGACAUAUGCCACAUGACAAUCUUCAUUGUCAUGCAAUCCCUAUCAACAAUCAUGGAAUCCCUAGUGUACUAAUCCCUGGAGGGUUGUGUGGAAAUUUAUUUUACCUUGCGGUGAAAAUCUCAUGAGCAGUCAUUAGUUAAGCUGACUAGCUGAGAUAUAAUAGACAAGCUAGUAAGAUUGGGAGCAUCAAUGCAUCCAUACAGGGUCACAAUAUCCUUUCCAUUCACUUUUAUAUAUAACCCUACGAAUACAAGUCCAACGAAAUGCGGGCCUUUCGAUCAAGAUAAAUUAAAUGGCCCACUUGUAUUUCUAAUCCAGGAUUAACUAUGCCCUCUGUUCAUCUCUUGCAAGCACGUGCAACACAUUUUCACGAUAUGGACAUGCAUGGAGGUUAUUAUACUGUUUGGACAAACUCUGAUGUGCCAUGACCUAAAUGCUUAGGGCCUGUUUGGUUUGAGUUGCUUAUUAUAAGCAACUUAAAGUUGCUUAAAGUUGCUUAUUUGAAGUUGCUUAUUUUUAGUCUAAACUGUUUGGAUACCCUUGCUUAUGAGCAUUGAAUGAGUUGGACAUUGUCAAAUUUGCCCCAUGUGUUGCUACCCCUCCAAUUUGCCUCCCCACCCUUCUUCUUCCUGCACACGUCCGAUCCCGGGGGCCGACGGCGGGCAGGGAGCAGCAGCAGCUGGCCAGGGCGGCGGUGGGGCGGGAGCGGCGGCGCACACCAGCACGCGCUCGCACGCCAGGUGCUAGGGCGCGGCGAGGCAGUCGUCGUAGCCCACCGGGAGCGGGUGCUCGGGCGCGAGGCGGUACUCGACGGAGAUGCCGAGCGUCGGGCGCGCGGCGGCGAGCGCGUUGAGGAAGCGAUGGUAGUGCGGCGACGUCGCGGACUCCGCCACGAAGCCGCCGCCGUGGACGUACACCACCACGGGCAGCUUCGUCUUGCCGUCGGCGGCCGCGGCCGCGGCCUGGGGUGGCAGGUAGAGGCGGACGGAGCAGGAGCCGAGGUCGACGUCCCUGGAGUCGACGCCCGUGGCGGCGUCCAGGCUAGGCCCGACCGGCGGCGGCACGAGCGGGCGCUCGAUGCGGCCGCUCUUGUAAAUCCGACGGGUCUGUGCGGAGGCGGGCGGCGGGCGGGAGCGGCGGGUGGGAGCGGCGGCAGGUGGUGCGGAGGCCGGCGGCGGCGGGUGGCGCGGAGGAAGGGGAGCUGGUGAGUGGUGACAGGGGAGGGGGGGAGAGAGAGGGGGGGGUAGGGUGCAUUGAAUGAGGGCAGGAGGUGUAAAGUGCACCUUUUAGUCCCCAUGAGCAACCAUAAGCAGCCCAAGAGUUGCUUAUUUGCUUAUAAUAAGCAACCUCAUAAGCAAGAGUGAUUGGUUUCAUAAGCAACUUAUUUGCUUAUUUUAAGUUGCUUAUGCAUAAGCAUGUGAAACCAAGCAGGUCCUUAACCUAUGGUUGUGGCACCACACAGUACAUAGUAUUUAAUAAUGCUAUUCGUUUGGUAUGUGCACAAGGGCACGCAUGAAAUGUCUGGCCCACGGUAAACAAGUACGGACGCUGCAAAUAAUCUACUCUGCUCGUCCAGUCCCUAGCCUAUAAAUAGAUGCCAUGCUAGCUCUUGUUGUGCUCACAAUUAAUCCUGACUACACACGAGCUUCUCUCCCUGGCCAAGACACAAUCAUAGUAUGAUGAAGAACAUGGCACUAGCCGGCAAUGGUAUGAAGAACUUAAUCCUCGCUGUUCUCUUACUGUGUCUAGUUAUAGGGCAGAUACAAGUGGAAGCUAAGAGCUGCUGCCCAUCCAUUACUGCAAGAAAUAUCUACAAUGCCUGCCGUAUCACGGGUACAUCCCGUCCAACGUGUGCAAAACUGUCAGGCUGCAAAAUUAUCAGCGGGGACAAAUGCAAGCCCCCUAACGACCACCUCACCCUUGACCCGGACACUGGUAAAUAAUAAAUUUAUCUCACUUGAUUUCUUCGUGUUUUGAGUCGUUAAUGUAUUUUCCAUCUGAUGAAACGUAUUGGUUUUGCAUUGAAGAGGAAGUUAAUGUGCUUAACUUCUGCAAGUUGGGGUGUGCGUCGUCUGUGUGCAACAACAUCAACGCUGGUAAGCACCUUUUGCUCAGACGGAGAAAACAAUAAUCAUUAAUUAGCGGCAGCUAGAAUCCUAUAAUCUAAUAUAUUUAUAUAUAUAUAUAAUUUUAUCAGCUCUGGGAAAUGAAGAGGCGAACGAUGCCGUUGAGAGUUGCGACCAAGCCUGCUCUAGCUUCUGCAACGUGCACGUUGGCGCUGCCACCGUGGUUGCUUAAGCAAAUGCAUCCAACUGGAUCGUCCUUGUGCUAAAUAAUUGGAUAUCGUAUCCACUUAAAGCUGCCUUGUGUAGUACGUUUUUGUUUGUGUCUCUCUUUAUAUUCCAAUAAGGUCGGUGAUCUUGAUGCCACACACUCAGACGUGUGUUCAUCUCCAGAUACUACUCCAUGCUACCUGCCCUUUGUGUUUUGUUCAAUAACUGGGUAUCAU
This 145039-nucleotide long non-coding RNA is filed under the name Setaria viridis. RNAcentral describes it as "long non-coding RNA (SVIR_LNC007217)". The record is from RNAcentral. Lineage: Eukaryota; Viridiplantae; Streptophyta; Magnoliopsida; Poales; Poaceae.